This 93542-nucleotide long non-coding RNA is filed under the name Malus domestica (apple). RNAcentral's name for it is "long non-coding RNA (MDOM_LNC011556)". Lineage: Eukaryota; Viridiplantae; Streptophyta; Magnoliopsida; Rosales; Rosaceae. The record is from RNAcentral.
CCUCUCAAUAGCUUCAGUAAAGAGCUCUAGUUCUUCAAAUUUUCCAUGUGUAUCAUAAAUGUCAUCCAUAAUGGAUGUUAUAGCGGUAACUUUGCAUGAUGUCCUCCUAGCAAAGGAAUACUGAGGCUGAAAGUAGACAGACAUACUCCAGCAGAAGUAGACCUCAACCAAUCUGUCUCUUGCGAAAGGUAGCUUGUUUGGCACGUCCAAGUCCUUCCACCACCUGAGUUACAAAAAUAAGUAUUUAUUAGUAGCUAGAGGUGGAGAAUUCAACUCUUUAGUAAGUGAUGUAUAUGGAUGAAUAAGGAAUUAAUUUACCUUGUGAUUUCGCUUAGUUCUUUCUGAUGGACUCGUUGCAGUCGGUUGAAAUCCAACUUGGCGAACGUUAGGAGAGUUUCAUUUGGUGAUUCUCUUAGUUCCUCGUAGACAGACAAGUAAUACCUUGCUUCAACCCUUGGUAAACCCUUUCGGAGCUGCUGAUUUAAGGCAUGGGUUACUGUUUUUGCAAGUGGGGGGCUUAGACGGUAUAUAGUCAACUCAAGCUGCGUGGUUGUGAAGGUUAGUGCCUCAUCUAGUAUCUCCUCUCCAUGUAUUCUAAGGUGUGUGGCUUCAUACAAGCUUAGUAGUCCUACAACAUCAUCAACGAGUGUUUCCUUGAAUUUUCCAUCACCGUCCUUGAAUUUGUUGAAUAAGUCUGCAUGACCAACAAAAUGGAAAAUUCAGAACCUCAAAAAGCAUUUAGAUAAAAAGAACAAAAUAUAUCACCAGAUCACCAUCCGAGAGUACUUACCGCAUGAAACGUUAUAACCUUGUUGUCUAAGCAGUCGAAAAUGAAGAGCAGUGGUGUACAGGUCAUCCAAAUCAUAUGAGUUCUCGUGAAUUUUCUGUAAAAUUUCUUCAAUCUCAUUUCCAAAAUGGUAGGACACACCUAAGCGCUGAAUGUCAUCAAUCAAGUUCAGCUUUUGUGAAACAUUUUCAACUGAAGUCAUUAGCAUCCUUCUCACUUCUUCCUUCAGUUCUUGUACAUGUUGUUCAAGUUCAACAUCCACUUCCUCCAUAGCAUCACGUUGAUUUAAGAAAAAAGAAAACGCAUAACCUUUACAAUAUGUUUGAUACCAAAAGAUAUAGACUACAAUUAAUAUAAGAUGAUUAUAAGUUUGGUAACACAUUAGAAAACGCAUAACCUUUAUGAUGUCAAUUUCUAAUUGUAAACAUUGAGAAAAGAGAGGCAGCUAGCCUGAAAUAGUUAUUGCAUAUCAGUUUUCAUGACUUUAAGAACUUGUUUUUCCCAAAAAAAAAAAAAAAAAUUGUGUGUGAAUUUAACUUUGGUAGUUAGAUUCGCAACAUGCUUGCCACGUGAAGGAAGGGAAAGUUAGAUAAAAUGAUUUCGAAUCAGUAGCAUUUUAAAUGAUUAAAGUACUCUUUGGUUUUUUUCCUCGUUUAAAAUUACAAAUUUAAUUUUCAUAAUAAUAUAGUGUUCAAAAUAUAUAAUAGUUUAUUGUAGUAAGAAAGAAGUCUUACCAAAGAAGCAUAGGACAGAAAAUGGUCACCCCAAAUGCUGGGAGAAAAAGUGGCUGAAGGCUUAGGAUCAAAAGUGUCAUUUGGGCUUGAAGAUUGAGAUAGUGGAACUUCCAGAGAAGACAUAUUUCAAAAGAUUUCAAACUUGAAGCGAACUAGCCAAGUGUUAUUGCUUUUGUAUCAAGUGCUGGUGUGAGUUCAGGAGCUCAUUAGCUUUGCUAUUUAUAGUAUCGCUGACUAUCUACCCCGCACCCACUGGAGAAAAAAAAUAUCUACAGAAAUUUUACUGGUCGGUCAUCUUGGCUUUUUAAACAUUUUUUAUUACAUAAAUUCUUAUCUUUAUUUUUUUAACAAAUAGAAUAAUUUAUAUUAAAUUAAAUUAAAUUACAAAAAAAAAUAUAUAUAUAUAUUCGAACACAAAACCACAUGAACGAAUAUUUUUAACCAAUUGAACCACAAAUUAUUUACACAUAAAUUCUUAACUUAUGCUCUUCCCAAAUCUGAUCUUUAAUUUGUGGGUCCCCCACUCAACAAAUUAAUAAUAAUUUGUCUCCCUUCCCACUCAACAAAUUGGUUUUUUGUUUUUUAUUUUUUAUUUUUUCAGUGAGUAAACCAACGCGCACCGACUAAGGUCAGUUUGAUGAGCGGUUCCUAUAAUUCUUGGACAUCGGUUAACCGAACCGACUCGUGGUUACUUUUGUAUGUUUUAAUCAGAAUAGAUGGUGGUGUAUUUGUGGUCUCGUUUUAAGUGUCUAAUUAAUAGAAAUCAGGGCUAGGUUCGGUUGGCAAACCGUGCCAAAUUCCUUGUGUCACCUACCAGCCACAUAUACAUGAUUACUGAAAAUCAGUUACUGCUAGCCAACCAUCUUCUUACGGUUGCCAAAAAUUGAUUCAACCAAAAUUAUUGGCUGGUUCGGUUGGUAAAUGGCACAACCAGUGGUUUCCACUUCUUCCUCGCUAUCUUCCAGUUCCAAGGGCUUAAUUUGAUUUUCAGAUUGGGGUGCUUGUUCGGUUGCAUUGUGUGGUUCAUUUUAGGUUAAUCCAUGUUGUGCACUAGCGGUUGAUUGGCUAAACUCCAUCAUCCUAAACAUAAGCAAUGCAUAUACAUUCAAAAUCAUAUAUAUGUAUGUGUAUGUAUAGUAUUAGUAAUCAUCAUGCUAUCAAUUUUGUUAACAAUAUUUUCUAUAUUUAUUAUGGCAUGAAUCAUAUACAUAUACAUAUAUUUUUUAAACCCUAAAACUAAGGAGUCAUUUAUUUUCUAAACCCUAAAACUGAGGAGUCAAGUAUGUAAAAAAUACCUAAAAUAUCUAAAUAGGAAUAUAUAUAUAUAUGUAUGUAUGGCAUACUGCCGGGAUACAAAAUCAAUUACCAAAAUCAUGCCAUUAAUUUUCGGUUCGGUAAAAUGCCAAAACUAUAUCAUACCAUCAUGAGCCGCCCAGUAUGGUUCGGUCGAUAAAUUAGUUUAUGGCAAAAUUUCCCACCCCUAGAUAUCACUUUUAACCAAAAAAAUAUAUAUAUAUCAGAGUAGAGAUAAGAUUCCCCUUUCCUUUCACUCACUCGCACUCAACUCUCAGACCGUCGAAACCCUGUCGUUGAAAUUUUUUUACAAUGGUCCCAUUCGUUUCUACUUUUGGGUUUGAUUUCACCUGCGUUUUAUUCUUUCACCUGCUAUUAUGAUUUUUUUAGUGGUCCCAUUUGUUUCUUCUUUUGGGUUUGAUUUCAUAUGCAUUUCUAUUCUUUCAUCUGCUUUGGUGGUUUUUUUUUACAGUCGACCCAUUUCUUUGAUUUUUUUUUUCUUAGUUGUCUAGAUUCGUUGACAAUGAUUAAUGUAUUUGAUUAAUCAUUAAAAGUUGAUAAUGUUGUAUUUGAUUAAUCACUAAUAGUUGUUAGUGUUUGGGUAAUUAAUUAACAUUGGGCUGAAAAAUAUUAAAAGCCCAAGCAUGCAAGGGCUUUUUGAAUUUGGGUUAGUUGAAGCACAGGCCCAAGACAGAAUUAAAUAUUAUUUCUUGGCAGCCAAUAGACAGCAAGUCUACGAUGGAAGUGGUAAGGAACAAAUGACAGCUCACCUUCCGUUAAAAUUAAUUACUCUUAGAUGUCAUUUGUAAGGAACAAAUGACAGCUCACCUGCAAUCCACUUAUAGGCCCUAUGUCAUAAAUCUAUGUCCUUGAUUUUGUGCGUGAUUUAAAAGGGAUUGAAGGUAACCAGUCAGCUGACGUUGCCUCUCCUUACUCCAUUACAUCACUGACCUUGAACUGCGUGGCCAAAACAUUUUCUGACAAAAGUGGACGCGGAGAAAAUGGUAGAGUUAGUGAUGGAGAAUUCGCAGUUGGAGACCACGGAGGGCCCGCAGAUUUUGUCGUGUAUGAUGAUAGCAAAAUCACCUUAUUGGCCUGAUGUCAUGAAAGUUGAACGAAUAUACGUAAGAGUCGUGUUCUUCUAANUGUCAUAUGAACUUGUGCAUAUUUUUCAAUUUGUCGUAUAAACUAAAAUUUUAAGCAAUUUGUCAUACUAACUUUCUGAAAUUAUCAAUUUAUCAUCUCACCUAACUCCGUUAAGUUUUUCAUAAAAAAUAAGUCAUGUGCCUCGCUUUCUAAAAUCAUCAAUUUAUCAUCUCACCUAACCCCGGUAAGUGUUUCAUAAAAAAUAAGUCAUGUGCGAGGCAUAUGACUUGUAUUCAAUGUUAUUUCUAUCAUUUAAGAUCUUUUUAUUAAAACUCUUAAAUUUUGGGUUCGAGAGUAUUCAUGCGGAUCGUUGUGCUCGAGUAUAUGCAUCUACAUUUCCAUUUCUAGCACCAAACAUCAACUCGUUUCUUAUAUUACAGAGCCCAUAUAAAAAGAUUUUAUGAUAUGCUAAACUGAACACUGUAGAAUUGUUUUAAUUGAAUGCAACAUAAUAGAAGGAAGUGAGAUGUUAAAAUGGUAGAAAUAACUCUGAAGACAAGUCAUGUGCGAGGCAUAUAACUUAUUUUGGAUGGAAAACAGAGUUAAGGUGAGAUGACAAAUUGAUAAUUUCGGAAAGUUGACAUGAUAAAUUGCUUAAACUUUUAGUUUAUAUGACAAAUUAAAAAAUGGGUACAAGUUCAUAUGACAUUUUAAAAAAAUUUCCCUUAAAACUCAAAAUGGGUACAAGUCCUUCCGACUCGAGGUUGUCGGUUUGCUCUGGCGCUGGUGCCCGAUGAUGAAAGUAACCAAUCUCCAAAAAUUAACAAAAAAAAUUUCAGUCAAUAAGGAAAGAAAUUUAGAACAAUAAUCCAACCCAUCAUUUGCUUCAAUUUGAUUUUUGAAUUCGAACAACUAGAGGUCGGCACGGUCUAAUUCAGUUCGGUCCAUUUUUUAAUCCAAAAUCGAAGAACACCAGUUCAGUUAAGUUUAGUUCAAUUUUACUUAAAUCUAUUAAUGAAACCAAGCAGUGCGGUUUCGGUUUAGUUUGACCGGUUAUUCAUUGUAAACCGAAUUAUAUAUAAACUUUUUUAUUAGCACUCCAUAUUAAAAUUUAAUAUUAGAUGACUUAUAUACCCUACAACCAAGCCAAAUGUAGAAGAUGUAUAACACUGAUGCAUGUAAAGAGCAUUGUUAUGUAUCAUUGGUGCAACACAGUAUGUUACACAGCGUAUAAUUUGCCUUUUUGAUUAAUUGAAAACGGGACGAAAAACGGAAGUGCACAAGGAAGGAGGAGAAAAAAGGUUGGGUGGGGUGUGAGGAUAUUAAGGGAAAGUGUGUGGCUAUAUUAUGAUAAAUUUUAAUUGUAAAAGCAAUUGUGUGAUGUACUGUAUGCUUAACAAUAUGUAGGAUGUUAAUAUAACAAGCUUUAUAUAUACUAACCUUUUUGCACGUACUUAUGCACUUGCAAAAUGCCUUUUUACAUCACGACGCGUUACUCACGGCUUACGAAUUUCUCUUUUCCUUUUUACAUUUGGUCACUCAUAAAGACAUUCUUAUAAUUAUUUUUAAUUUGUAACCUACAUUAUGAAAGGUAUCAAAUUAAUAAACCAAGAAAUCAAGAAUGUCUUUAUGCGUGGAGUCAAGUAUUAACUGGAGAUACAGAAGCAAAUCAAAUUAAUUUAUAUAGGUCACAAAUGCUAUUCAUUAUGUAAAAUUAAAUUAUUGCUCCUAUCAUUUGUGUCCAUUCUUGAUUUGUUGAUAUCCACUUCAAAUUUCCGUCGUAUUCCUACACAAACCAAAAAAAAAAAAAAAGAACACAAUAAUUUUUUUGACAAAAGAAAAAAUAACAUGAGGAAACAAUAUAUGCAAUAACAGUGACUUGCAUAUUAAUAUCAGUGCAGAGAGAGCUAUAUAUUCUUCUGUACCGAGAGAAGAGUAAUUUAAAAGACAAAAAUUCUCUUGCCCACCCCUAAAAACUAAGGGUGCGUUUGUUGCGCCGGACUGUCUCGGACUGGACUAGCUGCCGGGACUAAGCUGGACUGGCUUAGACUGGACUAAGCUGGACUAACUUAGUGAAGCGUUUGGUGUAAUGUCGGACUAAGAAGCAGGAUAAGAAAAACAGUACUGUUCACCAGAUUUGUGUUUGCUUAGACUAGGACCACAAAUUUUUGCCAUUGUGUAAUAGAGUAAUGCUACAAAUCUCAUGAUAUGGGUUAAUUGGAGCAUAUUUUUGCCAUGUAUAUUAUGAAUCUUAAAAAAAAUUGACAAUUGUUUUGUUUUUAUUACCUGCUAAUAGAAUUGGGUUUAAUUUGCAAAUGUAGCUUGGUUUAAACUCUAUCACCCAACAGAAGAAAAAAUAAAUGCCCAAUACAUGCAACUUCAACAAAUACAAGUACAUAAGAAGAUCUCCAUAAUUUAGAAAAUCCUAGUUAACAUUAGUUAACAUUAGCCAAAAUAGAUCUCCAUAAUUUACAAAAUGGCUAGUUAACAUAAGCCAAAAUACUAGUGCAAAGCUAAGUUAUAAGCCAUAACAUAAGAUUGUAUGAUUAAUAAAAUACAUCCAUGUUAACAUUAGCCAAAAUCCUCAUCCGCUUGCGUUGUCGUUUAAAAGCCUUUGGACGAACACUUUCUUGAGUUCCGGUUUGAUUGCCCUGAACACUCCCACAUUUUUUGGUUUAUCCAAAAUAAGAGACAAUGCAUCAAUUUGAUCCAUAGGAGAGAGGCCCAUUGCUUCAAGUUCAUUAGCUAUGUCAGUAUGAUCUGCAGUACCUUGAACUAAAGCUUCAGUUACCAUUUGCAUCCUUUUCCCACUUUCAACAUAAAAAUCUUUCAGUCCACUGAUAAUUGCCUCGGUUUCAUCACUUGAACUUCCCACAGCUCUUUUCCUCUUUCUCUGGCUAUUUUCAGAUGGGGUGCUUUGUUGGCUUUGUUGGUUCAUUGAAGAAACAAAAUUUUCACCUCCAAUAUCAUUUUCACCAACAUGAUCAUGACUUUGUUCCUCCACCAUUUGAGCAGGGGUUUCGGCUACAUUACCCGUAGCCCGAUCUUUUCCAAAUAUAUAUGCAAAUCUAUCAAACAGUGGAAAAGGUUUGCUUCUCCAUCCAUUGGCUUCUUUAUUUCUCUAAGAUUAUAUCAACAUAGCAAAACUAAAAUUUAGCAUGCGUAACAAAUAUAGCAGCAAUAAUAUAACUAAUGUAUAAAUAAAAUAGGAUAUGAACCUGCACAUAAGUUUGCCAUGAGUCAUCACUGUCAACUUCAACGCACUUUUUGACAUCAUUCCAUGCAAAUCCACUUGUGUUUAUCAUGUCAACGACCAUACUAUAUGUUUUUUCCAUUUCUUCAACUUGGACUCAAUAUGUGGAUUUACCUUUAUAUUUGAAUGAGGACAUAAAACAUUGACAGCUUUUGCUAUUUCAACCAAAGUACCUUGUUUGAAAGCACCGGUGUCACACCGUUGCUUCCGAGCAACAAAAUCCUCAAGAACUCCUAGUAAUGCUUCUUCCUCAAAUGCUUCCCAUUUACGCCUUCUUCCUUUUGGCUCUUGAGUAGCAUUCAAAAUAUUUUCGUUAUCCAUACCUAAACAAAAAAAUAUUUGAAUGAAGGAAAAUACCAUACAAAUAAUCAAUUUGCAUAAUAUCCAAUCAACUUGCAUAAUAUCCAAUCAACUUGCAUAAUAUCCAAUUAAUUUGCAUACCAUCCAAUCAUUGUGCUAAUAUCUAACAAAUGCAUGAUAAAAAGGAAUACUAAAAUAAAAUGUUAUCAUUAACACAUAUAGCUAGUUCGAUUGCUGGUUCCUAAUUGCUCUCCACUCGUUAUACAUUUCCUGAGCCAUGUCAUUCCUCUUUGCAGUCCACUGGUCAGAUGUUUGAACACUACCAACAUAUUCACCUUCUUCUGUAUUUUGUCCAUCUUCUAUUAUUGGCAAAUUCUCCAUUGGAUCUACAGACAUCUCUUGCCUAAUAAGAUUGUGUAGUAGGCAACAAGCGGUAAUUAUUCGACCUUGUGUCCUUAUCAGAUAGAAAGAUGGACUCCUUAGUAUCGACCACCUUCCUUUUAGCAAGCCAAAACAGUGUUCAAUUACAUUCCUUGCCUUAGAAUGCUUCAUGUUAAAAUAUUCUUCCUUAUUAGAAGGUGUUCGUCCCUCCCAUUCAGAUAAAUGAUAAGGUAUUCCUCUAUAGGGUGCAAGGAAUCCUUCACCAUUUGUAUAACCACCAUCUACAAGGUAAUAAUAACCUAAUGAAAAAAAAAAAAAAACAGACCUUAUUAGUGUUUUGUAGUUGACAAACAGAACUAGACCUAACUUAGAAAGUUGAGACUAAGUAAUAGUCUUACCCGCUGGUACCUUAAAACCAUUAGGCCUAGUAAUUGCAUCAUGUAGCACUCUAGAGUCUGAUGCGGAACCCUCCCACCCCGGAAACACAUAUAUGAACUGCAUAUCUCCUGAACACACACCUAACACAUUAGUUGCGACUCGACCCUUUCUUGUUCGGUAUCUUGGUUUGUCAAUUUCAGGUACAUGCACAUCAAUGUGUGUUCCAUCCAAUGCUCCCAAGCAAUUCUUAAAAAAAAAAAAAAAAAAGUUUUUGUUAAUUUAUACAAAGGGAAUGAAGAGUUAAAGCUUAGGGAAAAUGAAAAAAAAUUCUCAUCAUACCUUAAAACAUCGCCACCUAGGAUCUGUAGAAUCAAUAGGCACAGGCUGAGGGACUUUUAGUAGGAUACCUUGUAAUCGUAAAAUUCCUUGCAAUACGCUAUUGAAAUACCUACUUAUAGUCUCUCCCGACCUAUAAAAUCUACCGCCAAUACUACGAUUCUUAGUAUGAUGUGCUAGUAUUUGUAAAGUCAUACACACCUGCUCCUCUACAGACACCAAACCAUCAGUUUUUACCCUCCCAUCUUGACGAAGUAAGUCACAUAAUAAGGCAAAAGUCCUUCUAUCCAUUCUCAAUUCGUUGACACAUUCAAUAUCAGUAUUCCCUAUUAUACCAUUCAGAUAACACAAACUAAUCUCUCGUCUAACAAGUGAACGAUUAGUCAAAGUGGGUCGUUCAACAUGUCUCUGUUUGGCCCUUAGCAUCAUCACCACAAGAAUCGUACAAAUGCAAAUUGUCUCUAAAUGAGACAUCUCUAACAAUAAGAUCAAUAAAAGCUUCCUUCGAUCCAUAUCUAUCCAAACAAAAAAAAAAGGAAAAUUAAAUAAGGACAUUAUAUAUGUAAUAUUUACUGUUAUUAAGGGUGAUGAAAAUGAAGUGAUUAUGAUUCGAAAUGAACUAGAUCAAAAUAAACGCUAUACAAAGAAUUCUGAAACAAGUAACUGCAUUAACAGCCCAAAAAAUAAACAGCCAAGUCACAAUUAAUGUUGGAUCAACAAAAAGAAAAAAACCAGUCAAGUCACAAUUGCUAGGCAUUGCAUGUUAAAAUGGAAAUUAAAUGACACCUGUGAAGCGGUAGUCUCAGCCUUAUCCUUCCGUUUAUGCUCCUCUUCUCUGCAACUAACAACCACAGAAUAUUGCAGUUCAGCAUACAAAACAUUCACAUUGUAAUAUCAUGGUUAUAAACUAAAUAGACACACACACUUAUUAUAGAGCACACACACACACACUUCCAGUGCAGUACACAAACACAUACACAUAGUACACACACACACACACAUACACAGAAAUUAGAUACACACACACACAGGCAGUACACAAACACACACACACACAGAAAUUAAACACACACACACAGUACACACACACACAUACACAGAAAUUAGACACACACACACAGUACACAAACACACACACACAGAAAUUACACACACACACAUACACAGAAAUUAGACACACACACACAGACACAGACACAAACACACUCACACUCACACUCACACACAAACACAGUCACACACACACACACACGGAGACAGAGUGCAACACACUCAUACACUCACACACACACUCCGUUUUUACACUCACACACACACACUCACACUCACACUCACACACAAACACAGUCACACACACACACACACACACGGGGACAGUGCAACACACUCUUAUCCUCACACACACACUCCGUUUUUAUACUCACACACACACACACAUAUUACAUACACACACACACACAUAUUACACUUACACACACACACACACACACGGCACAAUACACAACACACACUACACAAACACACACACACACAUAUUACAUACACACACUACACAAACACACACACACACAUAUUACAUACACACACACACACACACACACACACAUAUUACACUUACACACACACACACACGGCCACAAUACACAAUACACACACACACUACACAAACACACACACACACACAAUACACACACACACUACACUAACACACACACACACACACAAUACACACACACACACACACACACACAAUACACACACACACACACACACACGGCCACACACACAAUACACACACACACUACACAAACACACACACACACAUAUUACAUACACACACACACAUAUUACAUACACACACACACACAUAUUACACUUACACACACACACACACGACCACAAUACACAAUGCACACACACACUACACAAACACACACACACACACACAAUACACACACAAUACACACACACACUACACACACAAUACACACACACACACACACACACACACACACACACAAUACACACACACACUACACAAACACACACACACACACAUAUUACAUACACACACUACACAAACACACACACACACACAUAUUACAUACACACACUACACAAACACACACACACACAUAUUACAUACACACACUACACAAACACACACACACACAUAUUACAUACACACACACACACAUAUUACACUUACACACACACACACAUUGCCACAAUACACAAUACACACACACACUACACAAACACACACACACACAUAAUACACACACUACACUAACACACACACAAACACACAAUACACACACACACUACACAAACACACACACACACACAAUACACACACACACACACACACACACACACACAACACACACAAACACACACACACACACACAAUACACACACACACACACAAACACACACACACACACAAUACACACACACACACACACACACACACGGACACAAUACACAAACACACACACACCCACACACACAAUACACACACACACACUACACAAACACACACACACACACACAUAUUACAUACACACACACACACAUAUUACACUUACACACACACACACACAGCCACAAUACACAACACACACACACACACACACACUACACAAACACACACACACACACACAAUACACACACACACUACACAAACACACACACACACACACAGAGUAUACACACACAGAUUACAUACACACACAUAUUACACUUACACACACAGAUUACACACACACACACACACAGAGUAUACACAAACAGAGAUUACACGAGUAUACACACACACACAGACAAACCAGAGUACACACAGACAUAGUAUACACACACACGCACACACACACAGACACACACAGAGAUUACACACACAGAUUCUAAUCUCAAUUUGACCUAAAAAUUGAUUUUGAAGUUUACCAGAAAAGUUGAAAUACGAAAACCCCAAAUUCUAAUCUCAAUUUGAACUAAAAAUAUGAAAACCCCAAAUUCUAAUCUCAAUUCGACGAAAUCAAUCGAAGAUUUGAAGCUUACCAGACUGUCUCCGACCAGAUGAGGGCGAGAAGACGCAGAGAUGAGGGUGAGGAGGAGGACGACGAGGAAGCAGGGCAAGGUCGACGACGAGCGACGAGCAGGACGAGGGACGUUGGGGAUCCUCGCAGAGAUGAGGACGAGCAGGACGUUGGGGAUCCUCGCGGUUUUCUCUCCGGGCUUACGAGUCCGCCCAAAAUUGGGGUUCUUCGUUAAGAACUCGUAAGGAGGCGUGUAAUCCGAGCGAGUCCCACCUAAGCCCAUUAAAGCUAAUCCGGUUGCACAUCAAACACAGGACUAUAGUCUAGUCCAGUCCAAGCCUUGCUAAUCCUGUCAAACAAACGUGCCCUAAAGGUGUCAAACGGUCCAGGUGUCAUAUGGGCCUAAGCCGUUCUUGGACCAUGCCACUAAACAAGCGGCUAAACAAACUUUAGUUAUUUUAUAUUAUCAGAAAAAAUUAUUUGAAUCUAGUUUAAAACCUAAUAUCACAAUUAUUUAGUCUUAUUAGUUCCAAAAUGUAUGUUUUACUUGAAAAAUAAUGAAUAAAUAUAUUAAUAUUUAGUUAUGUAUUAGUUUAAAUGGGAUAGUCAUCAUAAUAGCCCCACGUCAUGGGCCGUGCUUGGCCAUGAUGAAUCACGGCCGGGCCAACCUAUUGGACCUAAACCUUAGGACCGACCUAGCCACUCAUUGCUAAUCAUGCCAUGUAGUGCCUUAUCUAAAUGAGCUUGUGUCGUGCCUAUUUUAAUAAGGCACGGCCAUUGACAUAGUUCAUUGUUGCGGUUUCCCUUUCUGUUCUUAUUAUCUCACAAACAUACUAUUUCAUUCACCGUCCGUAAUUUUCCAUUUUACAAUGGGAAAGGGGGGUUGCAGUUGUGUGUGGAGGAUUUCUAUCGGGGUCCUAUGUGUUUAAUUAGUCAUUUAUGAUUUAUGAAUGUUAAAGUUUCCUCCUGUAUAAUGAAUUUGUAUUAUCUUCCUGGUUUCUCAACUUAUAUGUGAUUGUAUGGGAGACAAAAAUGGAUCUUGUAAAGAAGUCGUUGAUGUCCUCAAAAAAUGGAUGCUUUGGUGGUAAUUACUUAUGUUCUAACUUCUAAUCAUAUUGGUCCUUUAACCAGCAACUGCCAAUAGUUAUGCUAAAAUAUGAUUUCGAAGCCAUUUAGCACUAUGGUCUAGUGAUAUUUUUAUUCAUUUAUAAGUGAGGGGUCUAAGGUUUGAUUCUCGCCAAAUGAGAAUUUGAACCAUAUUAUUGCCAGCACAUUGUAAGGUUAAGCUCACCCCUCCCUUUCAGUGUAGAUAAUAUUGUUUGUUAAAAAAAAAAAUAUGACUUUGAAAUGGAAAUAGGGUGGUGUUAAGCACACACCUCUUUUUAUCUUUUACACACACUCUCAAUUUUCGACCGUUGGAUCAAAUGAAUUGAUGAGGAUUAAGGGAUAAAAAUUCAUGGAAGGUAACAGCCACUAGAUUAUGUCUACAACUACAUAUAUGACGCAAUUAUCGUUUUACAUUUGAAACUAGAGAAAUAGAACACCUUGAUCCAAAGGACCGGAAUUACAAAUGUUUUGACAAGUAGAUAACAGCUUUCCUGCCCUUGGAACUUAUUCAGCCUAAAACACCAAUUCAAUUUUAGUUCGAAUAAAAAAUGUUGGGAAAAUUACAAGAAAAUUGACUUGCUCUUUGCUUUGUUAUUAUGUACUGUUAUUCUGUACAAAAUGAUCCUACCUAAUUCACCAAUUCGGGGUAUAAUAAAAUUAUAUUCUUCUAAAAAGCAUGUAGACAAUUAGGCUAAAACGCAAGUAUAUCGCUCUCCUUAAGGAGAUUAAAGUUCACUGCGGUUUAACAAAGUCCACGGACAGAUGCAGCAGUAUAUCCCAUGACUUGUUCCCUCCAGAAUACAAUAGCCCAACAAAAUUGUUUUAUGACUCAAACCUAUCUGCACAAAAGGAAGAGUCCAAAGCUCAACUACACGAACACUCAUCUUUGGUCAGUAUGUAAAAACGGAAAAGAUGGAGGAAUAGAGAGAAUAAUCGUUGUAGAAGAAAUUAGGUAGGGGGAUAAAAUAAAAGAAAACAAAGGAUGAUGGAGAAAAUGCUACUAAUUAUAGAUUUAUUAUCACCCUUAGUGGAUAAGGUAAUAUACACAAAUUAAAAAGACAAAAGUUAUAAAAGUUACAUAAGAUGAACUGCUCAAAGACUCCAUCUUAGUUUUCCCACUAACAACAAAUAAUGACAACUGUCUUAACUUCUCACUUACAACAAACUAGCCCUUCUACACACGCCUUGCGUGUGCAAAAAAGUCUUUUUUUAUAUCAUGGUGUGUUACACGUGGCAUACAGAGUUUUUAUCCCCUUCACAUUUGUGCAUGCAUAAAAACAUCUUUGCUUCAGAAACACUUUAUACAUGUUCUACAUGCAUUGAUUUUAUAUGUCCAUAAUUUUCCAUAUUAAGGGAGUGAUAAAACUACUUUUGAUUGGGGCCUAUCAACCCUCCUUCAACUUUUCCAGAGGUUGUUGCCAAUUAAGAAAUUUGUGUACUUUACGGCAGCAGAGUUGAUAGGGGCCUCUUUAGUAGCCUAUAAACUCCAUUCCUGCAUGGCUUUUAUAUUCUAGACAAAACAAAAUGUAACUUAAGAGAAUGUAAAACAGUAAUUUUCUACGAACAUUUGUCCGAAGUAUCUAAGACAGUUGGAACUUUUGGCUGCCACAUCCGUUCGGUAUCAAAAUGAAUAGUUGAUUUUGUAAAACUACGCAAUCCCUCACGCAGAGUAAGGGAACAUUGUAAAUUAUCAAAAGAAUAUACUGAGUUUUUAUAUGUGAAAUAAGUGAAGAGACAGAGGAAUCAUGCAUACUCCAAUGACAAUAAAAUUCACUGAAUCUAAAUAACUAAUGUUGCCAAUGUACCAUACAAAAUUAGCAAGCAAAUCAAGAAACUACCGAUGAGAAUAUAAUGAUUCCACUUUUAUCUUCCAACAUUCUGAAAACCUAUCAAACAGAAGAUAAAUUUUCAAAAUUGUUAGGAAUACAAACUCCCAAACAUGUACAUGCUGAUUGAACCAACUCACUCAAACAUUCAACUCUGAUCGAAUUUGGAUCCUGAUUUCUUCCUUUUGCCGCAACAAUUUUCUCACCACAUUUUAUAUUCUUUCUAAUUCCUUGGGCCAAAGAAUUCUUCCUGCAACACAUUUGUUUCUGGUUUCAAAAAGACGAAUUAACAUAAUCAAACCACAUCUCUUGGUGUUCAUGCUUCAAAGGUGCCUGUGCAAUAGAAUAGCAUUAGAAAUAAGUGAAGAGACAGAGGUAGAUAACCUAUAGUCGGACAAACAAACGUAAAGAAAUCCAAAAACGAUCAUCCCAAACCUGCACUAACCGAAAUAGAAUCGAAAUUAAAACUAUGAUUCUGAUUCGAUAGAGAACUGAGGAAUAGCCAAGCUAGGAAUACCAUAAGUGCUCGACAGAUAGUCGAAUUGAUGAAAACACAAACGAACAACAUCAGUAACGAAUCAUGGUGUUCUUUCAACUACCCGAUCAAAAGGACAGAAGAACAUUCCUGUGUGAGAAGUGCCUGAAGGGAUAAGCAAGUAAUAUAAGUAAAGGAGAAUUGUUAAGUAAACCAAACUUGAACAAAACUAAAGGAUGGUUAAGUAAACCAAACUUAAGCAAAACUAAAUCUCACAUAAGAACCUUUGGGUAUCAGUGGAGAAGAGAUUGCUUUUGAAUUUCACAAUGGAGCAAUUGAUUUUAUUUCUCCGCUUCCGCGAAACAGUUUUCUCACGUGUUCGCAUUUUCCCUCCUUCGUUUACACUUCUACACAGCGAGGUUUAUCAUGUUUGUAGAAUAAUGCUUCUACAAAAGAGAGUCUCUAUCUAUAUGUGUAAUUAAGCAGAAAUUAGAGUUGCAAUACCAGGAUGUGCUCCAUGUAGAUUGCAGAAUGUAACCAUGAACAUCGUGAAAAAGUAGGCGAAGCACAAAUGGGAAGAGGCCAUGAUGUUUUUUUUUUUAGUCAAAAAAAGGGAGAACCUUCAAAACAAAGUUGAAUUCUCAAGAAAACUGAACAAAGUAGAAUAAAAACAAUCUAUCAGUCUUAAAUCGUGAUUGACUCAAAAACAGAAGAGGAACAAUGAGCUUCACAAUGCACAAUUUGUGUUUUUGCUGGAGUCUAGUAACUGUUGGCAGCAUCGUAGAAUGAAAUUGAAAACAAAAAUUUGUUCAAACCAUUCGAAGUAGCAGGAACAAUGAAGCUUCUUCCCUCCUUCUCUAAUGUUGGAUUUGUGAAUUAUUGAAUGUGGAUUUGUGAGUUCUUGGGAGUUUAUUCAUCUUCUCAGUUAGUUUGUGGCAGUUUACUCCCAGUUGAGUUGAUAUCUGAUGACAAUCAAGCUGAAACCGAGAUCAAAUAUGGGGAUUUAAUCUAAGCGCUUCUAUUUGGACCCGAUUUUACAUCAUCGGCCCAAGCAAUCGAGGCCGUUGAGUGGGCAUGAUUCUCGACCGCUAGAUGAGAAAGUAGAGAUAAUUUGAUUAUUAAAGGAUAAUAUUAUAAUUAUCUUUUAAUAUGAAUUAUCUCGGUAUCUUCUUAAACCAGAUAAAUAGAAUGCGAUUCAUAUCCCGAAUAAGCAGUACAAUUCGAAUUGAUUUGGGAUGUCUGUCAGCACUGGGAAGUAAGAUGAAUUUAAAAUUCGUUUGAUCAGAAUGAUGAUGGCUAUUGUGGAUGAGGUGAGGAUGAGGUAGGAGACCUAAGGGGUGUUGUCGGAUGAAGUAAAUUGAUGAUGGACAUGGCAUGUAUGCUGUGUCAAAAGCUAUCAGCCAUAUAUAUAUAUAUAUAUAUAUAUAUAUAUAUAUAUAUAUAUAAUUGACGACAUGAGGUCUGCCAAUUCAUGGGAAAGGUGCAACCUUUUAUAUAUAUAUAUAUAUAUAUAUAUAUAUUGGGUGGUUGAUUAGAUGGACGUUACCCAAGCUUGCAGAUUAUCUUGGAUUCGAUAAGAUGAGUUUUAAUUGUUUGGGAGUCUUUUUCAGCUUAUCAACCAGUGCGUAUUCGUCACUAUAAAUACAGAGUCGCCGGCAACGUUCAAAGGACCUCCAAUUCAACACACAACUGCCCUGCGCAAACUCUCUCAACAACUGAGAUUUUUAUUUUCUCUUUUCACUGACACAUCUUCCGUUGGCAUCAACAGCACUGUGAAAGCAACCGGUGAUAUCUUAAGUCGGCAUAGAUAGCUCUGUCACCGUAGAGUCAGCCGAUCUCGCAGCAUCUUCCGUUGGCAAGGACGGUUGGUUACCUAUCCAAGUCUCAGUCGAGAAGGAUUGCCAAAUCCUUAUUGGUCGAGGUCAUCUCAUCAGCCUUCUCGGCGAAGUGAGGUGUUACAAGUUACUACAUUCGGCAUAUUGAAAGCCGAAUUUGAUAUUGAACUUCGCUAAGUUAGCAGCCUUGUUUUUAGGCUCUAGAACCCAAGAGGCCGAGACGUGUUCCUUCCUCGGUCGCAAUCGCGAGACGCAGAAGUCAGCAGCGCACCCAACGCAACAUCAACAAAUUUACUCCUCGGCCGAGCGUGGCCGACGAGUUGGCACGCCCCGCAUUCACCGAAGGACGUAGUUAGCUUAUAGAUUACUCGGCCUGCGCGCCACGUAGGCUUGGUAGUUUCUAGGUUCAACAACUUCAAACCUUUUAAGGGCAGGGAUUGAGUUUGAAAAAGGGGAAGACAAUUUAUUGAACAUAACUUUGAGUAAUGACAAACUCAGAAUUCCACCAGUGUAUAUUCACUUGACUUCGGAUUCACUCUUCAGGAACCUCGUGGCUUAUGAGCAAUGCAGUCUUAGAGGUACGCAUCACAUUACCUCAUAUUUGAUACUCAUGAAGAGUCUCAUCACUUCCACAAGGGAUAUAAGACUUCUUCGGAGAAGAGGAAUCAUAAAUCUACUAAAUCGCAAUCGCGUUGGGGACCAAGAAUAUUUCGCUGAAUUCAAAACUAAACUGAAUACAGUUGUUGUGAAGGACUUCUGCUUCGGAAAGUUGUGUGACGAAGUGAAUGCAUACAGUAAGUCCUGGUUGCCCUUGAGCAAACAUAACAUUCGUUGACAUGCAAAUUUCCUUUGUCGCACUUAUUUUUCUAGUCCAUGGAGUAUCAUAUCAUUCGUUGCUGCUGCAGCUCUCUUUGUUCUUACUGUCAUCCGGACAUACUAUAGCAUUCACCCGCGCUAAUGUGUAAUUGUUCCGAGUGCAGUCGAUCUUAUGCCUCCGCUGAGUUCCUUAAUCGUUUAUGUAAUGUAAAUUUCAUUGUGUGCUAAGCUGAGAUGGUUUAAUUGGUUUAAUUGGUUGUUUCGUUUUUCUUCAAAUUGCAUGAAAAUGAGCUUAGAUUCUAUAAAUUUUGAACGUUAAUUCUUUAAAGGAAAAUUACCUUUCUGGAUUUCUCCUUGAAAGCAUAACCAACCAUAGCGUGGGACGCUUUAUUACAAGUUCUUGGAAUGAACUUAAAAAUAAUAUCUCUAAAUUGGGAAGCCAGCAUAUGAAUGUCGUGGAUUAUACAUUCCACCGACACCUCUGAAAUCUCCCCGCUGUUAAUCAUGUCCACCACAGUUUUUGUAUAUGUCUCCACUUCAAUCCGCAAGAAGCCCUUUUCUACACAUUCUGUCAAUCCUGCCUUAUCGCUUCAACUCCAGCCGUCAAACUCGAGCAGCACCAAAAACCACCUGCACCCCUGCUAGCAAUUCACUUAAAGAAGGAAGGACCAAUUCAGUUUUGAUGGAUUUGGGAAAUAUUCGUAGCAGAAGCAACAUAAACAUAUCAAAUGUGCAGCGAUGUUUAGAUAUGUGUAAGGGGGAGAUUUACGUGUAUAUAACUCAAAACUACAUAAACAGAACGACUUUGGAGAUAUGAAACUCGAAGGCUCGGAGAGCUCCUACACGAAACUUACUUGAGAGCUCCUACACAAAACUACAUAAACAGAACGAUUUUGGAGAUGUGAAAGUCUGAAGGGCUCGAACCUUCGUGAAAUUAAACAAAACCUUGAGUGAUUCUUUAAUUAACCCAACUGCUUUUCAGUAAAAACCCAAUUGCUCCUUAGCAAAACUCUCUUAGCUCUUCAACUACAAUUUCAAAGCCUUCCUUCCAAACAAACAUUGUGUACGAUUCCUGAGGUCUAAAACAUUAACAGCUCUGUCACCCUCUUGUAUGAUUCGGCUGAUGUGCAAUUCCAAACACCCUGAUUUCCUCUCUGAGGCUCAUGUUUUGUACUAAGUCAAAUCUGACCAGUAAUCUAGGUGGAUUUCUUUAGCAUUAUCUUGCCCUUCAUGGCCUAAAUCUUGCUAGAGUUUUACUACUUUCUUUACAUUGCCUAUCAAUUUACAUUUCAAAUUAUGUAGUUCUGCCAAUCGGCCUAGAUUUUAGUUUUGUGAAUGUUCGUAAUCUUGACUCCAUCAUGAAAUGAUUACAUUCUGUUUCCCGUUUUAGUUUCUAUUUCGCUUUCAUUUACUUUUUUGGUAAGCAUACACGAAGUUACAAUGAAUAUUAAGUCCUCAUUCACUUGAGGCACAUAAACGAACUUUAUCCAAAUCAACGUCCCACUCAGUGCAUAAUUAUUUGGUUCAGAAAUCAGAUUAACGCGUAACUUGCACACAUGCACAAACGCAAACAUUGUCUAUGUUGACAGUCUCCAACAGUGGCACACCUAUUCUCUCUUCUCUCGAGCCAUCUUGUGGCACUGAGACUGAAAACAAUACUCAUGGCAAAUACGUGUUGAACUGCGUAACCAAGCUCCGUUCAAGUUUUGGCACCAACAACUAUAUAAAUGCAUGUUCAAGUGUGCUAUUUGAGCUGAAUAAUUAAUAUAUGAUUACAGGAAAAAAGGAGAGCUGUGAGCCUGAAAAUAAAUUUUUAUUAUUUUUAUUACCGUUGAAAAUCGGACGGUCCAAUUUAAAGAGCCGUUGAGAUCGAACGGACCGUGGGAAGCCACGUGGCUUCCCAACGGUAACCUCGGCAGACUGCGACGCGAGCCCGUUCUCUGAAAAGCUGUCGGUUGAUGAGCCCCCAUGUGCGGGUGAGUCGCACGCGCCCGACAAAAAAAAAAACAUAAAAUUAGGCUGACGCCAGGAUGACGUCAGCCCUGGCGUCACAUCCACUCAGGCUUUCGAGCUGGCAAUUCCUCACAGGCCCCGGAGCUCGGGCCUUCACUCUCCCUCGGGCUGCCCACGCUGAAGCUUCAAGGCCGGGCUAUCUGGCCCUAUUUCGUCCCCCGAGCACCAGCCCAAGCUAGAGUUGCUCUGAUUGGUCCUCACUUCUCCCUCAUUUAUUUUCCAUCUCCACCGACCAUCUCUCAUUUCCUUUAAUCUGGGCUACACAUGUGGCUUCCUCACUACUCCAGAUUUUGCUGGAACCUUAUAGAAACAAAGAUUAAAUUUACUAAAAUGCCCUCGACUUUAAACGUUGAUAACUCUUUCAUUAUAGCUCCAAAUUACGUUACGUUUGCGCCCACGCGUUCGUAGCGACGAGUACUACGAGGAUACACCAAGAAAAUAGAUCUCACGUGACAUGACAAGGUGGUCAAACAAAGUCAACGCAUUUGCCUCGAAGGGCAUUUUCGUAAAUUCACAUUUUAAAAUUAUAAAAACUAUAAUUUUUGGAGACAGGUCGUUACAUGAUUGACACAACUGAAGCAUAAUUUGUGUUUAUCGUUUGGUUGGCUAUUUUGACUAAUCGAUCCUAUGAGACUUUAUAAAGAUGCUUCCGCAAUUUUGUAUCACUUGAGUCUGCAAUUUUGUUUUAGGGAUUUAGGUCCAAAUAAAUUGAAAUUGGGCAUGGAAAAUAAAAAAAAAGGGGAAAUAAUUUAAUUACACGUUGAAUUGGAGUUUAUAGUUAGUCAUCGGCUAAUUGUCCUUUUUUCUUCUUUUCGGUAAAUUCUGGAGUUUUCUUGAGUAUAUAGGGUUGUCUUCUUUUCCAAAACACCCUCACGCAUGGUGUUGACACCUGCUCCCUAUUACAAAAGCUUUUGGUUCCAAUUGAUUAUCUAUCUAAUGCCAAAAUAAAAAAUUAAAAAAACUAGGAAAAAGGGUUGUGAAUCUGGGUGACGAGUGUUUUAUUCAAACCUUGUGCUUGUGUUUUUCUUUUCAAUUUAUUUUCUCAAAAAAAUAAAAUAAUAAUAAUAAAUUUGUUUAAACUGAGAAUCCGCUUAUUAUUAUGGAAAAACUCAUCCUUUAGAAAUUUUGUAUUUUGGUAGGUUUGCUUGUAUUUUUUGGAUUUUUACUUGAAUCAUUAAGUUCUUUGGAAUUUCAUUUUAGUUGUUCCUCUAUUAUAAUCUUUUGAUAUUAUUUUGAUUUGAUGGAUCAAAUUAAUCUUACGGAUUUGGUCUUUUGGCUUGUGUCAUUUUGUUGGAUUAUAUUGUUAAUUCUUGUAUAAGAUUCAGGAUGCUAAUUACUUUUUCCAUCUUAUGAAACAAGAAGAAGGUAACAAUUGAUUGUGGCUUUCUUCUUUAUAUCGAUGUUGUGAAUUCAUUUAUUUACUAUUGGUUGCUUAUGCUAUUCUAAUUUUGCCUUCCGUUAAUGCUUUGAUGAAUGUGCUAAGGCACAUGUCUGGUUUUAGAGGUUUUGCUAAUAAAAAUCUUCUCUUUGUUUAAGUGGGUUUUGAUCACUGCAAUUUUACAAUUUUAAUACUGAUGUUUUUGUUGAGCAUAUGCAAAUCAAAAAGUCAGUCUUGGUUCUUGAUUAUUUUGAAAUCGAUUUUUUUUUUUUUUUUUGGUAAAACCUUUCCGAAGAAAUGAUAAGAUUUUAUUCCAUGCAAUAUAUUACAAGCAAAGGCUGACAAACAAAAUAAGACCCUAAACACAAUUGGACCUCCCAACUAACUAAACAAAGCUCAACCAAGAGCCCAACACUAUUAACAUAACAAAAGAGACUUUUCGACCCCAGCAUCCGCCGCCAUAAUAGUUUCACGAUCAACCCAAAACAAUCCUCCAACAAUCGCCAAAUCCAAACAAGCAGAUCCGCAUAAACCAUCCACGAAAACCACCCUAAUCGCCUCGAUUUCAGCCAAAAAUUGGAAGAAGCCCGUGCGAAUACCACGAACAACACUGCCACCGAAAGCAGACAGAGAAAAGGAUGUGGUGUUUUAAGCACCUGAGCCGAUGAACCCAUCGAAGCUCUCUCAAAUGGUCGCACCAAAUUGCAAUGAAAACUGACUGCAAAUCGAAUUGAAAGGAGAGAAAUUUUGGGUAGAUCGGGAAAGAAAACUGGGGGAAAAGUUAGCAAAAGAUCUGAAAAGAAGAAACAGAUAACAAAAGGAAAAUCAUUCAUAUCGUCACUAACCUGCGCCUGAUAGACUUUCUAUUUUUUGAUAGACUUCCCUAAUUUAAAAUUUUAUGAAAUUCGGUCUUGUGGUAAUAUUAAAUGGAUUAUAGAUGUUGGUAAUUUUUCACGUUUUUUGGACAAGAAAUAAAUUUAUGGUAAACUUUUAAGUGUGAUACCAUGUUGCUGGAAUUCUACGGACUUCCAGAACAGUCUGUUUGUGAUACUAUUUUGAUAUAUCUAUGUAACUCAAAAAUUCAUGAAAUUUUAGUAUGGUAUACAUUGAGAUGUUUAUUUCAAAUCUGGAAAUUUUCACGAGCAUUGGUUUGAAAAUGAAUUAUUGGUGAAGUUUUUAAUCUCUGGACUAUAUUGCAAAAUUUAUGCGGUUUCUGCACAUUUAUAUCUAAUUCAUUUCUAGAAAUUUUCAUGCACAUUGGGGUAAAAAUAAAUUUUUAGUGAAUUCACAUCGUAUUUAGAAUUUAAUUUUGGUACACUUAUAAAAUCUCAAAAAAAAAUAUGAAUUUUUGGGAAACGUCAGUUUUGUAUGUCUAGUUUAUGUAUGAAAAUGUUUAUGCACAUUGAGUGAAAAGUGAAUUUUUAAUCUCAGGUCUAUACUAUACAUUUUCUACAAUUUAUGCAGCACAUCUCUUUUCAAAUUCGUUUUUGACUCGCUUAUAAUUUAAAAAUCAUGAAAUUGUGUGAAAUGGUAUCCAUAUAUGUCUAGUUCAUACUUGAAAUUUUUCAUGACAACCUAACAAGAAUCGAGAUUUUAGUGAAUUUGCAAAAUAAGCUAGUACUGCUGAAUUUUGGGACUUCAAACAACUAGUUGUGUUUUGAAAUAUUGUUUUCACUGAUUUUUGCACAUUUAUUGGUACCGAUUAUUAGGCAAGUUUAUUGUUCCAAUGUGUCCUUAUUUUAUGCAAAUUCUCAAUACUAAUGACUUUUAUUUGGCAACACUGAUUAAAUUUUGAUUUAAGGACGUAUUGGUUUAUUUUCCUCAAACCAAUAUUUGGUUUGGUCAUAAAUUCUAAAACUCGAAGGCUUGAAGAGCUCCUACACAAAACUACAUAAACAGAAUGAUUUUGGAGAUGUGAAAGUCUGAAGGGCUCGGACCUUCGAGAAAUUAAACAAAACCUUGAGUGAUUCUUCAAUUAACCCAACUACUUUUUAGUAAAAACCCAAUUUCGCUUUAGCAAAACACUCUUAGCUCUUCAAUUACAAUUUCAAAGCCUUCCUUCAAAAUAAAAACUGCCUAGGAUCCCUGAUAUCUAAAAAUUUUACAUCUCUGCCACCAUGUGGUAUGAUUUGCUUCAUGUGCAAUUCCAAACACCAUGAUUUCCUAAUUGAGGUGCAUGUUUUGUACUAAGUUCAAUCCGACACCAGACACCACUAAUCUCGGUGAAGUUCUUUAGCAAUAUCUUGCCUUUCAUAGCCAAUCUUGCUAGAGUUUUACUGCUUUCUUUACAUUUCCAGUCAAUUUACAUGUCAAAUUAUGUAGUUCAGCCAUCGCCCUAGAUUUCACUUUUGAAAAAGUUUGUAAUCUUGACUCCAUCAUGAAAUGAUUACAUUUUAUUUCCCAUUUCAUUUUCUAUUUUGUUUUCAUGUAUUUUUUUAGGCAAGCAUAUGCAAAGUUACACUAAAUGUUAAGUCCUCAUUCACUAAGGGCACAAAAAAGAACUUAAUUGCAACAGUGUCCCAUUCGGUACACAGUUAUUUGGUUCAAUAGUCAUAUUGACGCGCAACGUACACAUGCUCAAACACAAACACUAUCAAUUGGCAGCCUCCAAUAGUGACAUGUCUAUUUUCUCUUCUCUCGAGCCAUAUGAUGGCACUGAGAUCGAAAGCAACACUUGAGACAAAUACUUGUUAAACCCCGCGCCCUAGCUCCGUCCGAGUUUUGGCACCAACAGCUAUACAUGCAUGUCCUAGUGUGCUAUUAGGGCUGAAUAAUUAAUAUAUAAUUUGUUCCCAAUUGCAUAGAAGUUCUUUUAUUAAUUUCAAAAUCAUAAUAUGGAUUUAUUCACAACGCAACUUUGUAGGCAACUUGGGGGCUGGACUAUAGUUUGAAAAGAAACAUCACCAAUGGCGGAUCCAGGAUUUCAAGAUCGGAGGUCCCAAGAUAAAAGUUCAAAACAAAAAAAAUUAAACUAGUGUGGUUCCAUAUCACUAUUUUUAUUGAAUUUGGCUCAUUAAAUAAUCGAAAUUAAUCAACCACAUCAAGUGGCCCAGUGGUAAGGGCACGAAUUUCGACUCUCAACAUACAAAAAACAGGAGGGUCCCGGAUCCAAGGCUCCAAGCUAAUGAGUCUGCUUGACUGUGGGCAAGAGAAAGCUGAAAUGCCUCUAUGAGUCUUCCAGGCCCCUAGAAGGGGUGGAUAACCGUGGCUUGCCACUAGUUGUCCCGCUUUAAAAAAAUAAUAAUAAUCAAGAUUAAACUCAAAGGUAAUAAAACCAACAAAUUCUCCUCAGCAACAUAACAUGUCAAUUAAUGACUCUACAAAGAUGAAAUUUGUUAAUGUAACAUAUAAUUACAAUUGGGAGCUGAGACUAGAGUCUAGGAUUAAAAAACUUAAAUGAAUUUGGAAGAAAUAAAAUUAGGGAGCUAGAGGUGGUGGAAUGGCAAAUGGUGUUGGGGGAUUGGGUAACUUGAGUUUAAAUUUGGGAGGUUGCGACGAUUUGGGGUUGGAGUUCUUAAACAUAAUUUGGGGAUACUGGAAAGGACCGGGGUUCUCAAGCUCUGUAUAAAAAACAUAGAUAUUUUAGUUUUUAAAUCUUUUAUAAUUACCUGGCUAAAAAACGCUGUCGUUUCGGCAAGGUCUUUUAAAAAAAAAAUGAGAAACCUCUUCUUCUUUGUUAUAAGCACUGCUGGAUGCACAUCCAUGGAGGCAACAAGCCUCUCCAAUCCACCUGCCCAAAUUGUUGGAGGGUCCCGAAGGUCGAUCACAAGUGUUUCUUCGGACUUCCAGAGGGUCCUAGGACCUCCCGGGUCCCUAAAUGGAUCCGCCCAUGACAGUAAGAUGAUAUUUUAGUCUUAUAAGCACACCCCCAGGGUUAUUGGCGUAGGCAUCUUCACACUUGUACACAACAUCAAUGACCCGAGUUAAAUUGAGAAUGCGGAUUAGCAGGGGCAUGGGGAUAGCGGUAGGGUGGAGGAACGCUUCGUUUUUGUCCUUCCAUGCAUUAUUCACUUGUCUUUGAAGUUUGAUUAUCGCUUCUUCUUCUGUGGCCCCAUGUGGCCCCAUAUUUCUUCACGUAACAGUUCAUAGCUGAGAUAAAAUGUUCUCUCUCUUGCUCAAACUAGACACCCAGCUAGGUUGCAACUCACUUAGACAUAAAAUAGAUAACUUUCAUUUUGCAUUAUUUUUUUAAUAAAUUGUAAGAAACUUGUUGAAUACUAAAAUGAACACAAAUUAUAUGCUUGUUCCUCAUGUUUUCAUUAUGUUUCAAUACUUCAUAAUAUAUGUCAUUCUAUUUUGUAAUUUAUGAUGUAAUUAUAAAUAUAUUUUAAGUAUAAACAGACACUUAUUAAACGAAAUAUAACAGAUUUACUUAAAUUCGCCUAAUCCGCCAAGCCCCACCUAGCCGCCUAGGCGCUAGGUCCCAUCCUACUGCCCGACUAGCGCCUAGCGUUUUUUAGAACCUUGUUUGUUUAUACACAUAUGGUAAAGCAUUUGCGGCACAUUUUUCUGGCCUUGUAAAACCUUUAGACUCAAUACUAAGCAUAUAUUGAAGAAUAGUACCGCUUCUCUUGCAUGGUGGAUGCGAUAUAAUUUUCCAUUGUGCGCAAACUUUUCAUGAAUUUCACUAUAUAUAUCCAACAAUGCCUGAUAGCAGACUUUCAUAUACUCUGGUAGUUGAUUUAUGGCUGAGACAUCCCACCUGAUCAAGUAAUACAUAAAUCAAUUGUGCAUAAUUAGGUUAGUUUUUCCUUUUUGAUCGGAUGGUGAUAUAAGGUAAGAUAUUUUAUAUAUAAGAGAAUUUUAACUAAUGAUAUAUUCAUGCCUCUCAAUAGCUUCAGUAAAGAGCUCCAGUUGUUCAUUUGUGCCAUAUUCAUAAACGUCAUCGAUAAUGGAUAAUUAUAGCAGUAACUUUGCAAGAUGUCCUCCUAGCAAAGGAAUAUUGAGGCUGAAAGUAGACUGACAAACUCCAGCAGAAGUAGACCUCUACCAAUCUGUCUCUUGCAAAAGGGAGCUUGUUAGGCACGUCCAAGUCCUUCCACCACCUGAUCAGUUACAAAAAUAAUUAUUUAGUAGCAAGAGGUGGAGAAUUCAACUGUUUAGUAAGUGACUAGUAAAAGUGCCCGCACGGAGUUGGGGUUUUAAAAUCAUGUAAAAUAUGUAGAAAGUUAUAAUGUGUAUAUAUACUAUUUACCUACAUGUGAAAUCUAUUUACAACCCUAAAAAAAGAUUUCAACUUCGACAUAACAAAAAUAGUUUGCAGAAAUCUUAGCAAGAAUUAACUACAAAUAUGAAGGGAUCCCCUAUAAUGAAUAGUUUGCACAACCCAAGAUGAUAUAGCAAGAAACGAAGAAUGAAAAACCUUUCCUUCUGUAAAAAUGAAAGUAGUAAUAACAACAUCAGUUCUAGACAUAUUUGAAGUGUCGAAUAUAGGAGCAUACUUAUUAGCUAUUGGAUUAUUCCUUGUCAAUGACAAACAGCCAAUUUCCGCACCAUUUUUCUAGAGCUUCAUAGUUGACAUAGUCUGAAGCUACGUAACAAAUCUCGCCACUUCUUUGAGAUAGUUUCGAGCAAUCUGUGGUUCCCAUGAGACACCUUUGCUUUACAUCUCAAUGUCAAAUAAUCAGGAAAUCCAGGAAUAAGACAUUGGUGCAAUGAUUCUCUAUAUUCCAAAAGAUUGUUAAAUAAAAUCAACGAAAUACUCGAAACCAUAAAAGAGAAAAACUACAUGUGUAUAGAGCUAUUCUUACAGGCAAACUGGUUGAGUUUGAUUCACAAGUUGAACACACGACUUAUUAACCAUAGUCAUUAGUGAUGACAUGGGUACUUAGUAAUGAAGAAUAUAGUUAGUUGAAAUGUGUUGGUAGGUUGUCAUAAGGAUAAGAUUGGUUAGUAUAGUUAGAAGGGUAUUAUUGUAAUUAGGUUAUAUGGCUAUAUAAGGGAUUGUAUAGCUAUCAUUUCCUUAAGUUCUUUUGUAUACAUUUUCUCCAUUUUAAUCAAUACAAUCUUUCUGGUUUUUCUCUCUAUCAUCUUCAUCUUCCUUUGUACCAAUUCUUCAUCUUUUACAAUGUAGUUAAUAUGGUAUCAGAGCCACCAGGCUUACGCCAUUGAUUCUGGUGGUUCCGUAUUAUUUUUUUUUCAUUAGUUUCAUUUUUUUUUCUUCCGUUAAUUUCCUUAGUGUUUCCGCAAUUGUUCCGUAACUUCUGGGUUGUGAACAAUAUAUUCCGAUAAGGUUUUUCUGGGUUGUGAAUUGAGAUGUCGGAUCACAGAUCGUAGUCAGGGAAUUCUUUGGAGUGUUGUUUGGAGUGACGGAUCGUGGUGUACACAAGAAGCCUCCGGACAGACGUAGACUCACAUCUUCACCUCUUUGCUCGACCUCUGUCGCAGCUUCCAUGGCAGAUUAUGGCCGCGUCGAUGAAGAUGAAAAUCUGAUCCCUCUGAAACCAUUUGCUGCAAAUUUCGCAGACAAAUCGGUUCAUCGACAGACGGGUCUUCAGGGCAGUGCAAUCACCUCCGCAUCUGGAUCUGGCAUUCCUGAUUUGGGAUGUUGUCAGUUUCAAGAUCAUGCCGAGGAAGACGACGGACCAGAACGUGAGCUUGGCGAGCGAGCCGUGCCAGUGGAGGUGGUAUUCCAAGAUACGACGACGUUUGGGUUUUGUUCAGUUGCUCUUGCUCGACUCGAUCGUCUCGGAAUUUCUCUUCUGUGUUGCUGAUUGGACAGUGGGAUCUUGGACUUUGUUAGGUUGUUUCUUGUAUCUGUCAUCUUCUUUAUGCAUAUAUGGUGUUUGUGAAAAUGUCUGAAUGAAACUAAAUGCCGCAAGGAGAUCGGUGAUCUGGAGAUUUGGUUCUUUCCGCUGUUAUCGUCUUCAAGGGUUGUUGCAGAGGUGCGAAAUCAGAGUGUUGGAUUCUUCUGGGCUUUAAUUCGAAGAUUAUAGUCAAUUUUUUUAUUUCUGGGUUGCUAAAUUCUCAAGAUGUUGAAGUGGGAUAUUUCUGAUUGCUCUGGGAUAUAUGUGUUGAUUUGGGUGUUUGUGUUCAUCUGCAUAUAUUGUAUUGGAUAUGGUGAUGUGUUGAAAUACGAAGUUUUGUAGUCAAGAAAGUGUCAAUCUUUACAAGAAAGUGUUAUUCUUUCUGCAUCAACAUCGUGUGGGAGUUUCUACGAUUCUGAUGAUCUGGUGAAGACUUCCGAUUGUUUGGGUGCUGCUUGAAGAUUGGGUGUUUGGUGAUCUGACACGGCGCUGUAUGGUUGUUUGGAGAUUUGGUGGUGCGAUUUUGGUAAAUCAGGUGAAUUCGUUUACUGGUUUUGUUUGUUGCUUAUUUCGUGAAGAUGUGGCCUUUGAUGUACUUUCGAGAUUUUAUUGAAGUGAAGAUUUGGAGUUUUUUUUUUUGGUAGAAUCUUGAUGUGUUGAUCUCUGCAAGUAUUAGUUUUCUUGUCAAUUUAAAGAAGAAAGUGUCAUUCUUUCUAUGAAGCUUGGAGUUUCAUUCUCCUAAGUUGCAGUAUGAUUUGGAGUUUCAUUCUCCUAAGUUGUAGUAUGAUUUGUGUUCAUGGAGUGUCAGUCUCCUUAUUUGGUAUUUUUAGUAGAACUGUGAGAUUUGUGUUGUGCUUUGGAGUGUCAUUCUCCUUGGCUGAUUUGGUUUCUUGGAGUGUCAUUCUCCUUGGUAGAUUUAGUUUCUUGGAGUGUCAUUCUCCGUGGUAGUUUAGUUUCUUGGGAGUGUCAUUCUCCUUGGUAGAUUUAGUUUCUUGGCAGUGUCAACUAUGGCUUCUCAGUUCACAGUCGAAAAUUUGUUGGGUAUGUUCAGACCAAGACCACGAAGCAUAGCUCUUUCUCCUGCAACCAUCAUGUACUUUGGAACAUCCUGUGCCAUCACAGAACCACCACCAAUAAAUGAGAAAUAGUCAACAUGGCAGAAUUGAUGAACGACAACAGCCCCUGCAGACAUCUUGGUCUUGCAGUUCCAGAUUAGUUUCAGCGUUCUAGCUCGUUCAACCUUCACUUGGCUACACCAAGUUCAGUUUGAGGGGGGAGUAUUAACCAUAGUCAUUAGUGAUGACAUGGUUACUUAGUAAUGAAGAAUAUAGUUAGUUGAAAUGUGUUGGUAGGUUGUCAUAAGGAUAAGAUUGGUUAGUAUAGUUAGAAGGGUAUUAUUGUAAUUAGGUUAUAUGGCUAUAUAAGGGAUUGUAUAGCUAUCAUUUCCUUAAGUUCUUUUGUAUACAUUUUCUCCAUUUUAAUCAAUACAAUCUUUCUGUUUUUUCUCUCUAUCAUCUUCAUCUUCCUUUGUACCAAUUCUUCAUCUUUUACAAUGUAGUUAAUACGACUUACCCAUUCUUAUGAUAAAAUGUGUGUUGUCUGUUGAGUUUGAGGGGUUAUGUUUUAUACAUUUAAUGAUAUUAAUAUCUUGUUAUCAAGAGGAAUAUGACGGACUAUUCUUAAUUAAUGUCACCUAUAUAGGAGUAAAUGGGGCCGCAUUUAUGAGAAUUGAAAUGGCUAAAUUAUCUAAAACUCCUACGAAAUCCGGGAUUUGUUCAGGGCCAAAAUGAACACAACCGUAUGAAUUGACAUGUGGCAGACAUGCUAUGUGUGUAGCAUGAACAGUUCAAGAUCUUCCACAUCCAUUGUGUCACCAAGUAAACCCGAUAUGUUUUCACUAGGGUAAGUUUAAGUCCAAAAGACACUUCACCUGAUGCAUAUCAUGUCUAUUCUCUCUUAGUUUUAGGCAGCCUAGACAUACAUUUGCAUUUACAUUUGCAUUCAAAUGUGGGGUAUUGUUGGAGUUUGAAUGAAAUUUCAACUCAAAUGUAGGGUAUUGUUGGAUUUUGAGUAGAAAUUUCAUUGUCCCACAUUGGCCAUUCCUAAAAGGUUUCCUCAUCAAGAUGUCAUGUCGAAUCUGUGUCCAAGUUUUGGCACCAACAGCUAUACAUUCAUGUUCUAACAGCUAUAUAUUCAUGUUCUAGUGUGCUAUUUGAGUUGAAGAAAUAAUAUAUGAUUUAUUCAAACUACAUAGAAAGUUCUUUUAUUAAUCAUAAAAUCAUAAACAUGGAAAACAAACGCACAACCCAAAUUACAUUUUUGCAGUCUUAACGGAUGGUAGCUAGCUCCUUAUUAUUUGUAGGCAACUUGGGCGCUGGAGAUACACUUUCAAAAGAAACAUUACAGUAAGUGGAUAUUUUAGGCUUAUAAAGCCACGGGUUCCACUAGUGUAGAAACUAUAAAAUCUUUUAGCCCACCGUCAGCAUUAUUGUAGCCAUCUUCGCACUUGUACACAACAUCCAUGACCCGAGCAAAAUUGAGAAUACGAAUUAGCAGGGGCAUGGCGACAGCGGUAGGGUGGAGGCACGCUUCGUUUAUGUCCUUCCAUGCAUUAUUCACUUGUCUUCGAAGUUCGAUUAUCGCUUCUUCUUCUGUGGCACCAUAUUUUCUCAUGUAACAGUUCACAGCUGAGGCAAAAUGUUCUCUCUCUUGCUCAAGCUAGUCAGGCAUGAGGAUUAAGAUAAAGGAAGACCAUUAAUAUAAGUAUUAGUGCAAUCAUAAUGGUCAUGCUUGUCAAGAUUUCAGUUAGGGGUUCAACAGUUCACUACUAAUGGGUCAAGCAGUGAUACUAUUCUAACUUAACCAUUUGCUAGUCCAGCAGGCGUAGGCUUUUGUAUAAAAGCGUCCAAUGCAAUUAGAAGUGGAACCAAUUAAUAUGAGUUAUAUUUUAUUCUGUCUGGUUUUCAGCGUGAGACUGUUUACAUUCUACAAUACUCAUUAAUACUAUUUACAUAUACGAUUAAGUACCUUAUGGUCCGCUAUGUCAUCCAUAAGUCUGGUAACUGUUGAUGCAGCCUUCACUGCCUGAGGGGAAGUUAACAACCAAUCAAAGGAGUCUAUUGUAGCUUCUUCCAUUCCAACAAACGAUGUGGUUAUUAGCAACGGGUAGCCACAGGUCAUGAGUGAUACAGACAUGUAUUCAUCCAAUGAUGGCAUGUGAUUCUGGCGGAACAUUUUCGCUUCAUCGAAGAAGCCUCUAACUUGGUUCUUCAUCUGGCACAUACCAGAUCAAGAGAUUAUAUCAAUUUUUAUCGUUUCUACUUUUAAUUAAUAUUGAUAUAUAAAGAUUAUUAUAAAUAAUUAUUUGUUUCUAUACAUAUUGUGAAGUAUUUGCAGCACGUUUUUCUGACCUUUUAACAACUUUAGACUCAAAACUAAGCGCAUAUAUAUAUAUGGAUUAUUACCGCUUCUCUUGCAUGGUCGAUGCGAUAUAAUUUCCCCUCGUGCGCAAGCUUUUCAUGAAUUUCACUGUAUAUAUUCAACAACGCACGAUAGCAAAGUUUCAUAUACUCUGGUAGUUGAUCUAUAGCUGAGACAUCCCACCUGAUCAAGUAAUAUAUAAAUCAGUUGUGCGUAAUUUAGUUUUUCUGUUUUGAUCAGAUGUAAGGUAAGAUAAUUUAUAUAAGAGAAUUUUAACUAAUGAUAUAUUCAUGCCUCUCAAUAGCUUCAGUAAAGAGCUCUAGUUCUUCAAAUUUUCCAUGUGUAUCAUAAAUGUCAUCCAUAAUGGAUGUUAUGGCGGUAACUUUGCAUGAUGUCCUCCUAGCAAAGGAAUACUGAGGCUGAAAGUAGACAGACAUACUCCAGCAGAAGUAGACCUCAACCAAUCUGUCUCUUGCGAAAGGUAGCUUGUUUGGCACGUCCAAGUCCUUCCACCACCUGAGUUACAAAAAUAAUUAUUUAUUAGUAGCUAGAGGUGGAGAAUUCAACCCUUUAGUAAGUGAUGUAUAUGGAUGAAUAAGGAAUUAAUUUACCUUGUGAUUUCGCUUAGUUCUUUCUGAUGGACUCGUUGCAGUCGGUUGAAAUCCAACUUGGCGAACGUUAGGAGAGUUUCAUUCGGUGAUUCUCUUAGUUCCUCGUAGACAGACAAGUAAUACCUUGCUUCAACCCUUGGUAAACCCUUUCGGAGCGGUUGAUUUAAGGCAUGGGUUACUGCUUUUGCAAGUGGGGGGCUUAAACGGGAUGUCGCCGACUCGAGAUUAGUCGUGGUGAAGGUUAGUGCCUCAUCUAGUAUCUCCUCUCCAUGUAUCCUAUGGUGUGUGGCUUCAUACAAGCUUAGUAGUCCUACAACAUCAUCAACGAGAGAUUCCUUGAAUUUUCCAUCACCGUCCUUGAGCUUGUUGAAUAAGUCUGCAUGACCAACCAAAUGGAAAAUUCAGAAGCUCAAGAAGCAGUUAGAUAAAAAAAACAAUAUAUAUGACCAGACCACCAUCCGAGAUUACUUACCGCAUGAAACGUUAUAACCUUGUUGUCUAAGCAAUCGAAAACGAAGAGCAACUGUGUACAGGUCAUCCAAAUUGUAAGAGCUCUUGUGAAUUUUCUGUAAAAUUUCUUCAAUUUCAUUUCCAAAAUGGUAGGACACACCUAAGCGUUGAAUGUCAUCGAUCAAGUUCAACUUUUGGGAAACAUUUUCAGGUGAUGUCAUUAGAAUGCUUCUCACUUCUUCCUUCAGUUCUUGUACAUGUUGUUCAAGUUCAGCAUCCACUUCCUCCACAAGAUCACAUUUUGAUUUAAGAAAACAGAAAACGCAUAACCUUUAUGAUAUGUUUGAAUGAGGAGGUUUCCAAGUAACAAAAGAUAUAGACUACAAUUAAUCUAAGAUAAGUCUUGUAACACAUUAGAAAACGCAUAACCUUUAUGAUGUCAAUUUCUAAAUUGUAAACAUUGAGAAAAGAGAGGCAGCUAGCCUGAAAUAGUUAUUGCAUAUCAGUUUUCAUGACUUUAAGAACCUGUUUUUCCCAAAAAAAAAUAAAAAAUUGUGUGUGAAUUUAACUUUGGUAGUUAGAUUCGCAACAUGUUUGCCACGUUAAGGAAGGGAAAGUUAGAUAAAAUGAUUUCGAAUCAGUAGCAUUUUAAAUGAUUAAAGUGCUCUUUGGUUUUUUUCCUCUUUUAAAAUUACAAAUUUAAUUUUCAUAAUAAUAUAGUGUUCAAAAUAUAUAAUAGUUUAUUGUAGUAAGAAAGAAGUCUUACCAAAGAAGCAUAGGACAGAAAAUGGUCACCCCAAAUGCUGGGAGAAAAAGUGGCUGAAGGCUUAGGAUCAAAAGUGUCAUUUGGGCUUGAAGAUUGAGAUAGUGGAACUUCCAGAGAAGACAUAUUUCAAAAGAUUUCAAACUUGAAGCGAACUAGCCAAGUGUUAUUGCUUUUGUAUCAAGUGCUGGUGUGAGUUCAGGAGCUCAUUAGCUUUGCUAUUUAUAGUAUCGCUGACUAUCUACCCCGCACCCACUGGAGAAAAAAAAUAUCUACAGAAAUUUUACUGGUCGGUCAUCUUGGCUUUUUAAACUUUUUUUUAUUACAUAAAUUCUUAUCUUUAUUUUUUUAACAAAUAAUAGAAUAGUUUAUAUUAAAUUUAACUAAAUUACAAAAAAAAAAAAAAAAAAAAAAAGAUUCGAACACAAAACCACAUGAACAAAAAUUUUUAACCAACUGAACCACAAAUUAUUUACACAUAAAUUCUUAACUUAUGCUCUUCCCAAAUCUGAUCUUUAAUUUGUGGGUCCCCCACUCAACAAAUUAAUAAUAAUUUGUCUCCCUUCCCACUCAACAAAUUGGUUUUUUGUUUUUUAUUUUUUAUUUUUUCAGUGAGUAAACCAACGCGCACCGACUAAGGUCAGUUUGAUGAGCGGUUCCUAUAAUUCUUGGACAUCGGUUAACCGAACCGACUCGUGGUUACUUUUGUAUGUUUUAAUCAUAAUAGAUGGUGGUGUAUUUGUGGUCUCGUUUUGAGUGUCUAAUUAAUAGAAAUCAGGGCUGGGUUCGGUUGGCAAACCGUGCCAAAUUCCUUGUGCCACCUACCAGCCACAUACAUAAUUACUGAAAAUCAGUUACCGCUAGCCAACCGUCUUCUUACGGUUGCCAAAAAUUGAUUCAACCAAAAUUAUUGGCUGGUUCGGUUGGUAAAUGGCACAACCAGUGGUUUCCACUUCUUCCUCGCUAUCUUCCAGUUCUAAGGGCUCAAUUUGAUUUUCAGAUUGGGGUGCUUGUUCGGUUGCAUUGUGUGGUUCAUUUUAGGUUAAUCCAUGUUGUGCACUAGCGGUUGAUUGGCUAAACUCCAUCAUCCUAAACAUAAGCAAUGCAUAUACAUUCAAAAUCAUAUAUAUGUAUGUGUAUGUAUAGUAUUAGUAAUCAUCAUGCUAUCAAUUUUGUUAACAAUAUUUUCUAUAUUUAUUAUGGCAUGAAUCAUAUACAUAUAUACAUAUAUUUUUUAAACCCUAAAACUAAGGAGUCAUUUAUUUUCUAAAUCCUAAAACUGAGGAGUCAAGUAUGUAAAAAAUACCUAAAAUAUCUAAAUAGGAAUAUAUAUAUAUAUAUAGGUAUGUAUGGCAUACCGCCGGCAUACAAAAUCAAUUACCAAAGUCAUGCCAUUAAUUUUCGGUUUGGUAAAAUGCCAACCGAUAAUUAAAAAAUGCCAAAACUAUAUCAUACCAUUAUGAGCUGCCCGGUAUGGUUCGGUCGAUAAAUUAGUUUAUGGCAAAAUUUCCCACCCCUAGAUAUCACUUUUAACCAAAAAAAAAAAAAUAUAUCAGAGUAGAGAUAAGAUUCCCCUUUCCUUUCACUCACUCACACUCAACUCUCAGACCCUCGAAACCCUAUCGUUGUCUUCCCCAUCUCUUCAGUAGAUUGCCCUUCAUCGUUUAAAAGGUAAUAAUCAAAAGACUUCUGCUUUUGGGUUCAGUUUCAUCUGCUUUUGAAAUUUUUUUACAAUGGUCCCAUUCGUUUCUACUACUUUGGGUUUGAUUUCACCUGCGUUUUAUUCUUUCAUCUGCUUUUAUGAUUUUUUUAGUGGUCCCAUUUGUUUCUUCUUUUGGGUUUGAUUUCAUAUGCAUUUCUAUUCUUUCAUCUGCUUUGGUGGUUUUUUUUUACAGUCGACCCAUUUCUUUGAUUUUUUUUUCUUAGUUUUCUAGAUUCGUUGACAAUGAUUAAUGUAUUUGAUUAAUCAUUAAAAGUUGAUAAUGUUGUAUUUGAUUAAUCACUAAUAGUGGUUAGUGUUUGGGUAAUUAAUUAACAUUGGGCUGAAAAAUAUUAAAAGCCCAAGCAUGCAAGGGCUUUUUGGAUUUGAGUUAGUUGAAGCACAGGCCCAAGACAGAAUUAAAUAUUAUUUCUUGGCAGCCAAUGGACAGCAAGUCUAUGAUGGAAGUGAUAAGGGACAAAUGACAGCUCACCUUCGGUUCGAUGGCAACCCUUCAAUCCACUUACCUUCGGUUCGAUGGCAACCCUUCAACCCUUCAAGGGCCCUAUGUCAUAAAUCUAUGUCUUUGAUUUUGUGCGUAGUUUAAAGGGGAUUGAAGGUAACCAGUCAACUGACGUUGCCUCUCCUUGCUCCAUUAUAUCACUCACCUUGAAGUGCGUGGCCAAAACAUUUUCUGAGAAAAGUGAACGCGGAGAAAAUGGUAGAGUUAGUGAUGGAGAAUUCGCAGUUGGAGACCACAGAGGACUCGCAGAUUCUGUCAUGUAUGAUGAUAGCAAAAUCACCUUAUUGGCCUGAUGUCAUGAAAGUUGAACGGAUAUAAGUAAGAGUCGUGUUCUUCUAAAGUUCUUAUUUUGAGAUUACGUGGAGAUGAAAUGCAUAUUAAUUAUAAAAUUAUGCUAGUUGAGAUUCAAAAGCUUAAUAUAUUUAAUAAUUUAAUAAAGCAAAAUCACCACUUAAGUGUGAUUUGCGUUUGAAGAUUGAGAUGAUGGAACCUCCACAUAAGACAUAUUUCAACGAUUUCACAAGCCAAGUGUUAAUGCUUUUUGUAUCUGGAAGAGAUCUCCUUCGAAUCUCUACCACCAAAUUCUAGGGAUCCGGAGAUUCGAGCUCUUAAAAUUUGAUUCAACGGCUACAAAAAUGAGGCUUCUCUAAGAGCAACUCCACCCCUAAAACUUUGCACCAGCACCCAACGUAUUUGUCCACUCAACUAAACAGUAAUAGACCCCAGUGAACAGUAAUAAGUCAAAGCAUCUCCACCUCUAAAAAAAAUAGCAUAGUCCAUUUUAUUAAAUUAUUAUUAUUAUUUAUUAUAAAAUAAUAAAAAUAAUAAUUUUAUUUUUUAAUUUCUGAAUUUAUAAAAAAUAAAAUAAUAUUUUUAUUUUCUCCUUCCCAUCACCAUCAUUACCGUCAAACAACCGGCGACGCAGAGGGACCUUGAGAGGCGGGGAGGUGGUGGCGCAGAGGGAUCGGACAACGGCCGCGGCGAUGAGGGGAGGAGCGAGAGGAAGUAAGAUCGGAUGUCGACGGUGCCGAUGAAGAUUGAGUAGGUGAGGAGGAGGAGGAGGAAGGCGAAGGAAAUCCCCAGGAGAAUGGAGAUAUGGGUGCAAUGGUGGGGUGAAGUUGGUUGGCGCGUAAAAAAAAAAAGGUCCUGAUGUCACGCUGGCGUCAGAUAAGCCGGUCCCAAGGUCAGUAAAAAAUGGGCUGGUCUGGAGACUGGCACGGGCUGGGUGCCAGGCAAGUUUGUGGGCUGGAGUGGAUUGACAGGGUGCCAGCCUUAUUUUUUGACUGGGUGCUGGGCUAUUCCACCUCCGGUGGAGUUUCUCUAAAAGUUAUAAUAAUUGUAAUCGUUUGAUCAAAUUUCAAGAGUCUGGAUCCCUAGAACUUUAUGGGAGAUAUCCGGAGGGGAUCUCUUCCCUUUUGAAUAAGUGCGGGUGUCAGAUGUCGGUUGAGCAGUUCAUGAGCUUUGCUAUUUAUAAUAAGGAAAACUAAUGAAAAAUGCUUGAAAACUUUGAGUUUUAACAAUAAGGACAAAAUAAAGGGUAAAGUAAAUAGUACUAGAAUUGAUUUUUUAGUGUAAAAAUAUGAUUUUUUGUUAAAGUAAAUCGUAUCAUGAACUUUUCGUUAAAGUUCAUUUUAUAAUAUCGCUGAUAUACAGAAAUUCUUCACAAAUCUAAUCUUUUAUUUGUGGGUCUCCCACUCAAAAAAGAUAAUAAUUUGUCUCCCUUUCGAUUUGACAAACUCGAUUUUUUUUUUUUUUUUUUUUUUUUUUUUUGUGGUGAGUUUAGAACUAAAAGUAAUUUUGAUAGAGGGUUGUUUGAGCUAGCAUUGUUCAAGUUUGGCUUGUGUUACUUCUUAUAUGAACUUAUCUAGCUUGAGCAAACUUAAAACUUUAAGCUCGGUUCUGAGCUCAAGCUUUCUCAAUCUAUUUACCAGUUCCGCUCUUGUAAAAGAAAUUCACAAGUGGGUGGCACAUUUUAGUAAUCAAAUAUAUAAAACAUUAAGAAUAUGGCAAAAAAAAUUUCAAAUAUGAUAUAUUUAAAAUUUUCACAUAAAUGCUUUUUUUUCGUCACACGUCUUAAAAAAUGCAAAUUAAAGAUAGUCAACAUAAACUUUAAAAAAAAUUAAACAUAUUUUACUUUCUAAAGUGUAUCACAUACAAAUUAGGUGAAAAAAAAAUAUAAUCUUUUUUUUUACAACAAAAAGUUUUGAAUCAAAUUUAGUUUGAGUUGUCUUAUGAAAAAAUGUGAGCUUGCUCACGAACUUUACAUGCAAAAAAAAAUAUGAGUCUUUAAAUUUUAUAUAUGAUUUUCUUUUCUUUUAUUUAUGAAUUUUUUUGAGUUAACAUUAACAUGAAAAUUUAAGAUUAGAUUUAUAUCUCUCAUUUUGUCGAUUUGCUAUUGGUUGGAUUUCAAUUGUUUUUUUAAGCAACGAGGUAGACAUGACAAUAUCGUACAAAACUCGUUAAUACGACAAAAAACAAUAACAAAACGGAAAAUUAAAAAUAUUUGAGUUGAGCUUUAAUGUGUUUGAGUUGAGAUUCGUUAGUGACAUAUUAACUAAUUGAUUAAUUUAGUUUUGCCCACAGGUAUCCAUUUCAACUCGUUAAACGCAUGUCUCUUUUAAUAAUUGUACAUAACCCCCUUAUCAAACUCAUUCUAACUAACUUUUGGAUAUCGGAAAGGCAAAUAAUUUCCUACAGUACAUGCUUAGAAGAUUAUAGCUGGAUUUUUGGGCCUUGUUGAUUGUUGUUUCAAGCUUCAAUCUCCAAAAAAAAUUCUUAACAUGUUAGGUAACGUUACUAAUUAUUUUUAACAAGUUGGGUUUAAAUUUGAGUUGCAUUACUUGUUAGCUUAAUCAAUUGACACAACAAAAAUCAUUAAAAUAAUAAAUAAACACGAGCACAAAAAAUAUGACUCGUUUCUUAUUUAGAGCCCCACAAUCAGCCCUGAUAGGGAAAUUACUAAACAUGCAAACGGGCUAAAAAUCUCCUAUAAUACUUGCAAGAAUGACAAGGUUAUUGUAGUAUAAACGGAUCUCGCAAGGUCGUUCUCCACAAAGAUUAUUAAAUAAAUUGAAGCAAACCAAUUUCCAAUUAAUUAUUGUAAAGUAGAAAGUUGAGAUGAUUGAUUUAUAACCUACUUAAAUUAAAAACGAAUUUAAUUAAUAAAAGUAAACUAAGCUGCAAUAUUAAAGAUGAAGAAAAAAAGAAACAGUUUUGGAGAAAUAAAAAAAAAAAAACACUAGGGAUCCGCUGUCACCUUAACAAUCCUAUUUAGUUCUCUCAAUUACUUAUAAUAUAUACAUGCAUAUUUCGAAGGUUAGAUUUUCCUAAUAUAUGCCUACUUGGGCCCCUAACAUAGAGCGUAUAUCAAACAUGCAAUUCGUCUGUGGUAUUCAGAUCAAAUUUAAACAUGCAUGACUCAUUAAGUUAUGUGAAACCUUUUGAAAAACCAUGCAACCCUUAUGACGUGGUAUUCAUCCUAAGUGAACUUGCACAUAUUAAAGUAUAAAAUCUCCAAGAACCCUAGCAAUUAUUCUAUGUCUCCAAAGUUGCACAAAAGCAAGUGUAGAGAAAUAUUGUGGACGGCAAAGCAAUAUAUGUUGCUAUCCAUCGCACAAACCCUAAAAACCAAGUCCUUUAUUCCAACUGGGAAACUAAGAUAACUAAAAUAAAAUAAGAAACAUAACCAUAAAUUAAAUGGUAAAAUUCGUCUAAAAUCUAAAGAGCCACGUUAUGGAUCCUUAAGUUGCUCCAAAAGUGGCCCAAUAUAGCUGGAUUUGAUGUUUGAAAUAUUAUGAACACUUCUCCAGAAGGCCAUGAACCCAUCAGAUGUCAUCUCGGGAUCCAAAAAUGCAAUUUAAGCCCUGAAACGUUAUUUUCCAGCACUGCACAUUGCUCCUUUAUUCCAUUGCCAGAAAUAACCGCUUGGUAUAAAAAAUCCCAAAUUUUGAUACAAACACGCCAAGAGACAUACGAACGUCCUCCAACUUGAAUCACUCCAAAAUUCGUCCGUUUGAUCAUGUUUUGCUCCAGAGGAAGUCGGAUGUCCUAUAUUGAAAAUAUAAAUCAAAGUAUUAAAAUUCUACCAAAAUAAUUACCAAAACAUACUAAAAAUAAGGUAAAAUAUACAAUAUGAAAUUGACUCAUCAAGCCCAAUUUCAAAAUACGUCACAUUUCAAACCUACAUCAGUACAUCUUUCAUUUUUUGUGUGUGAUUCGUGUCUUAUAGGUACCGUUUGGUAUGCAGACGGGACGGAAUAAGACGGAACAGAUUAUGUAAAUAUUGAAAAAGAUAAGGAGAAAUUUUGUCAUAAAAUGUUAUAAAUUUGUGUUCCACAGAUGUGGAACGGAUCGUUCCAGGAGGAAGAGGUGGAAUGAAAAAUCAGCCAAAUUUCGUCCCAUGGGACAACCCGUUCCACAGUUUUUAGGCACACCAAACGUGGGACGGAAUGGCUCGUCCCGUCCCGUCCCGCGUACCAAACGGUACUAUAAGGACCGACUCUUUGGUGCUCACGUUUUUUGAGAAAUUUAAAAGGGAUUGAAGGUGAAUAGUCAACUAACGAUUCUUCCAGCUCCAUUAUAUCACUCACCCUCUCCUGACAGUGUUUACGAGUGGCUCAGCGUGGUCAAAACAUUUUCUGAGACAUGUGGACGCAGAGAAAACGUCGAUGAUUCGGUCCGAAUAACUUUCCAAACCGAAACGUUUGGUUGAAACUGAGUAGUUCAGUUCUUGCGGUUCCAAUUCGGUUUGACCGCUUCAACAUUCAACAUGUAUGUUUCCACCGACAAAUUCAUAGCCAAACUAUUGGAAAUCUACAAGAUAGAUUUGACAAUAUUGCAAACAACACGGUAAUAACAUAAAAACUAUACAAUAUGAAAAAUUAUAUAUUUGAGUUGAGCAUUAAUGGAUUCAGGUUGAAACAGGUAGACUCGUUAGUGACAUGUUAAUUAACUAAUUGAUUUAGUGUCAAUCACAUGUAUUAGUUUCAACCAGAGACUGGCUUUUUUAAUAAUUGUACAAACCUCCCUUAUCAAACUCAUUAUGACAAUCCACAUCAAUGACUUUUGGAUACCUUCUUUGAAAUGAAGUUUCAUGCUUCAACAAAUUUCUUAAUAUGUCAGGUUGUAUCACCAAUUAUUUUAACGGUUUGAAUUUGAAUUUGAAUUGUAUUAAUUGUUAACUUAACCGGUGAACGUAAUAUAAACUAUUAAAAUAAGGAAUAACCACAAAUACAAAAAAUAUGAGCCGGUAUCUCAAGGGGCUUAUUUAGUUAUAUGGGCGUAUGACAUCCUUUUUCACACAUCAUCUUUCAAUCAACUUAUAUAGAAACAUGUGAUAUCAUGUGAUAUCAUCCUUUUUACACACAUCAUCAUUCAAUUGCUUAUAUAGAAACAUGUGAUAUCAUCCUUUUUCCACACAUCAUCUUUCAAUCUACUUAUAUGGGCCUAUGGUAUAAAGCUACGACUUUCAUUUUGUGUGUGUAAUUCCUGUCUUAUACUAAGGACCGACUCCUGGUGCUCUUGGGAAACUUCAAAGGGAUUGAAGGAUGUUGGGGGCCUCCGCGUACGAAGAGCGAGUACGAAAACGACUGGUUGAAACUUAGACCUAUGGGCCAAUGGCAUAAAGCUACGUCUUUCAUUUUUUUUUGUGUAACUGUGUCUUUUUAGGAUCUGACUCCUGCCGCGUGUUACGUACCUGUUGGGAGGUACUAUCAGCUUUCGAUGUAGUACUGUAUUAUUUAAUAAUUUCUUCUCCAAAUACUAGAGCAAGGACGAAGAUGACGUAACCGUAGAAGAAAAAAUGGUGUACAAGAAAAAAUGUAAGAGAAAGGAAGAGAGAGAGGUCGAGGAGACUCCCACCGCGUCCCUGUUGGCAGGUACUAUCAGCAAUGUAGUACUGUAUUAUUUAAUAAUUUCUUCUCCAACUACUACAGCAAGGACGAAGAUGACGUAACCGUAGAAGAAAAAAUGGUGUACAAGAAAAAAUGUAAGAGCAAGGAAGAGAGAGGUCGAGGUUUGCAACUUGCGGGUGAGGAAAGAAGUUGCAACGUGUGGGUGAGGAAUUGGUUUGAUAUUUUAUCAUUUUCUUUAUUAAAACUAGAAAAAAGAAUUGAAAUGUCAUAUGAACUUGUGCAUAUUUUUCAAUUUGUCAUAUAAACUAAAAUUUUAAGCAAUUUGUCAUACUAACUUUCUGAAAUUAUCAAUUUGUCAUCUCACCUAACUCCGUUAAGUUUAGCAUAAAAAACAAGUCAUAUGUGAGGCACAUGACUUGUAUUCAAGGUUAUUUCUAUAAUUUAAGAUCUUUUUACAAGUUCUUUAUUUUUCUUUAGUAAAACUCUUAAAAUUUGGGUUCGAGGGUAUUCAUGCGGAUCGUUGUGUUCAAGUAUAUGCAUCUACAUUUCCAUCUCUAGCACCAAACAUCAACUCGUUUCUUAUAUUACAGAGCCCAUAUAAAAUUUGAUUUCAUGAUAUGUUAAACUGAACACUUUAGAAUUGUUUUAAUUGAAUGCAACAUAAUAGAAGGAAGUGAGAUGUUAAAAUGCUAGAAAUAACUCUGAAUACAAGUCAUGUGCGAGACAUAUGACUUAUUUUGGAUGGAAAACUUAACAGAGUUAAGGUGAGAUGACAAAUUAAUGAUUUUGGAAAGUUGGUAUGACAAAUUGCUUAAACUUUUAGUUUAUAUAACAAAUUAGAAAAUGGGUACAAGUUCAUAUGACAUUUUCAAAAAAUUUCCCUUAAAACUCAAAAAGUAAGAGAUUUAACGAAGUUAAACUUAUGUUAAUUCCUACGUAAAUCCAUAGCGUUGGUAGCUGACAGUUAGGUGGCAAUUCCUUCCGACUCGAGGUUGUGAGUCUGCUCUGGCGUUGGUGCCCGAUGAUGAAAGUAACCAAUCUUCAAAAAUUAACAAAAAAAAAAAUUCAGUCAAUAAAGAAAGAAAAUUUAGAACAAUAAUCCAACCCAUCAUUUGCUUCAAUUUGAUUUUUGAAUUCAAACAACUAGAGGUGGGCACGAUCUAAUUCAGUCUGGUCCAUUUUUUAAACCAAAAUCGAAGAACACCAGUUCAGUUAAGUUUAGUUCAAUUUUACUUAAAUAUAUUAAUGAAACUGAGCGGUUUCGGUUUAGUUUGACUGGUUAUUCAUUGUAAAUUGAAUUAUAUAUAAGCUUUUUUAUUAGCAUUCUACGUUAAAAUUUAAUAUUAGAUGACUUAUAUACCCUACAACCAAGCCAAAUGUAGAAGAUGUAUAACACUGAUGCAUGUAAAGAGCAUUGUUAUGUAUCAUUGGUGCAACACAGUAUGUUACACAGCGUAUAAUUUGCCUUUUUGAUUAAUUGAAAACGGGACGAAAAACGGAAGUGCACAAGGAAGGAGGAGAAAAAAGGCAGGGCCAGGCGGGGUUGGGUGGGGUGUGAGAAUAUUAAGGGAAAGUGUGGCUAUAUUAUGAUAAAUUUUAAUUGUAAAAGCAAUUGUGUGAUGUACCGUGUACUUAACAAUAUGUAUGAUGUUAAUAUAACAAGCUUUAUAUAUACUGACCUUUUUGCACGUACUUAUGCACUUACCAAUUACUUUUUUACAUCACGACACGUUACGCACGGCUUACGAAUUUCUCUUUUCUUUUGUACAUUUGGUCACUCAUAAAGACAUUCUUAUAAUUAUUUUUAAUUUAUAACCUACAUUAUGAAAGGUAUCAAAUUAAUAAACCAAGAAUUCAAGAAUGUCCUUAUGCGUGAAGUCAAACAUUAACUGGAGAUACAGAAGCAAAUCAAAUUAAUUUAUAUAGAUCACAAAUGCUAUUCAUUAUGUAAAAUUAAAUUAUUGCUUCUAUCAUUUGUGUUCAUUCUUGAUUUGUUGAUAUCCACUUUAAAUUUUCUUCGUAUUCCUACAUAAACAAAAAAUAAAUAAAGAACACAAUAAUUUUUUUGAAAAAAAGAAAAGAUAACAUGAGGAAACAAUAUAUGCAAUAACAGCAACUUGCAUAUUAAUAUCAGUGCAGAGAAGAGCUAUAUAUUCUUCUGUACCAAGAGGAGCAAUUUAAAAGACAAAAAUUCUCUAACCUAAGUCAUGGAGGCGAAGCAUCCAUAUGAGAAACGACAGACCACCAUCAAAUUAUCAAAAUCCAGUCAAACAUAAAUGAAAAAAAGACACCAGUAAAAUAGAAAACAGAAACGAACUCCAUCGUCAAAAUUAAAUCGUGCUUUGCAUCGCCUCCUCAUCCACGGGAACAACACAUAGAACCCUCGCACUUGAAUUUCCAGAAGGCAUAUGAAUUUAAAGAUGCCUUUGCAUCGCUUCCUCAUCCACGGGAACAGCACAUAGAACCCUCGCACUGGAAUUUCCAGAAGACAUCCUCAAUGAAUUUUAACACGUCAUGCAGAUUAGACUCCAUUUGAAGGAGUUGCCGAGUUUUUUUCCUGAAAAACAGACGAAAUCGAAGAACAAAUGAGUCCAACUCUACAAAGUCCAUGCAAUGCACCACAUGAUAAGAUCAAAUCCACUACCUGUUUUCUUCACGUGAACUACUCUGAUUACUCACAGCACCAUCAGUAGACUGCCCGUUUUGCUGCGGCUCCGGCACUUUCUUUCUACCAAACUUGGCAUCCUACAAAUACAAAUAAUUUUAUCAGUAGAGAAAACAGAAGCAAACACUCUGUACCGCAAAGCAAAACGGAAGCUUAUACCCAGAUUAAUUUCAUUUGAGCACCUGGGAUAGGGAGGGAGAGAGGGAGAGGAAUCACCGCAAAUCUCAAAGCAAAAAAUUGAAAAAAGAAGAAUCGAUGACUUGGACGUUGGUUUCUACCCCUUUUAUCCCACGUUGGAGUGUUGGAGUGUCGGAGUCUACAAAACCGAACAUUAUCCCACGUACGAGUGUGGUAGUCUGCAAAACCGAAGGGUAACGGCUGAAUGUAGUUGCAAAACUGAACGUGGUGAUCGAUCCUUUCUCCCACGUUAUCCUUUUUUUAUUCUUCUUUUGUAAAAACCUUUCCACUCUUACGCUUGAGUUUAUUGUUCUAACUGUACGUUUUUUAAAUUGUUUGUUUUUUAUUUUUUAUUUUUUAUUUUUGUUUAAGGGGCUUGAGACACCAAAGUACUCUUCUAGCAUUCUAUUGUAGGGAUAUAUUUUUAGGCAAACUAAUGAAAAUGACUUGAAAACUUUGAGUUUUAAUGAUAAAGACAAAAUAAAAGGUAAAGUGAAUAGUACUAGGAUUGACUUUUUAGUGUAAAAAUAUGUUUUUUUUUGUUAAAGAAUACAGUAUCGUGAGCUUUUCGUUAAAACUCUUUAUAUUUUUCCUUUGAGUCCUGCUUCAACAUCCAACAGUAUGUUUCCACCGAUAAAUUCUUACAAAUUUGAGCCAAACUACUAGAAGUCUAUGAAAGUCUACAAGGUAAAAACAUAAACUUGCAAGAUUUGUGAGACUAGCAGAGAAGAAAAGAAAGGGCGAAGAAGGAAAGAGAGAGAAGAAAUGGUAUAGAAGAAAAGAGAGACUAGCUCUAAAGGGAGAGAUUUUUCAGUGUGAUGGGAACAUGAGGUGGUACACCACGUGUCAUUAUACAAAUGGUGGGAUAUGUGUGUUAAAAAGUUGUGUCAUUAUACAAAUGAUGAGAUAUGUGUGUUAAAAAAUUAAUAACUUAAAAAAUACAAUUUUCCAUCACCUGUAUAAAAAUACGUGGUGUACCAUUCGUAUUCCGGUCACAAGAAAAAGUUUUUCAUCUAAAGGCGGAGAGACAAAAUGUGAGACUUUGUUGGUGGCCAGACUUCAUAAAGAAAAGGAAGAGGAAGAGACAUAUCGUCACUAGGGUUUAGUUAGGUUAUGGGCCUUUGGACCUUCGAUUUAGUUAAAUUUGGUAGGCCUUGCGAGAGAUUAGUAUUAGAAGGGUUGUGUUUAUUGAAUAUAUUUUAAAGGGCAAAAGACUGUUUACUAUCCUCAUGUUUCGUGGGUUUCAACAUUUAGUACAUUAAUUUUUUUUCGUCACAGAGUCAUACCUAAAGUGUAAAUUUUGGGAUAGUCUCAUACAUCCGUUAGUCAAACUGUUAAGUCUGCCAUUAACUGUGAUGUGGCGCCCAUGUGGCCAAUGACUGGGCGCCACGUGUCAUCCACGUGGAAAUUUAAAAAAAAAAUUAUAAAAUAAUAUAUAUAUAUAUAUUAUAAAAUUAAAAAAAAAACCAAAUCUGCCGAAGAAGGAGAAAGAAGAAGGAAGAAGAAGAAGAAGAAGGAGAAGGAAGGAGGAACAAGAAAAAAAUAAGGAAAAAAACUGGGCAGAUUCGAUGAAGAAGAAGGAAGGAGAAGAAGGAAGGAGGAAGAAGAAAAAAAAAAAACUGGCCAGAUUCGAAGAAGAAGAAGAAUGAGGAAGCAGAAGGAAGAAGAAGAAGAAGGGGUAGGAAGGAGGAAGAAGAAAAAAAAAACUGGGCAGAUUCGAAGAAGAAGAAGAAGAAGAAGAAGGAGAAGGAAGAAGGAGGAAGAAGAAGAAAAAAAAAAUUGGGUAGAUUCGAAGAAGAAGAAGAAGAAGAAGAAGAAGAAGAAGAUUCGAAGAAGAUUCGAAGAAGAAGAAGAAGAAGAAGAUUCGAAGAAGAAGAAGAAGAAGAAGAAGAAGAAGAAGAAGAAGAAGAAGAAGAAGAAGAAGAAGAAGAAGAAGAAGAAGAAGAAGAAGAAGGAGGAAGAAGAAGGAAGAAAAAGAAAGAGGAAGAAGAAAAAAAAAUGGGCAGAUUCGGAAGAAGGAGAAGGAAGAAGGAAGAAGAAGAAGGAGAAGGAAGGAGGAAGAAGAAAGAAAGAAAGAAAAAAAAAAUGAAUCUGCUACCCAGAUUCAAAGGAAGAAGAAGGAAGAAGAAGAAGAAGGAAAAGGAAGGAGGAAGAAGAAAAAAAAAAACGUUUUUUUUUAAAUUUAUUUAUUUAUUAUUUUAUAAUAUAUAUAUAUUUUUUUUUUUUAAAUUUCCACGUGGAUGACACGUGGUGCCCAGUCAUUGUCCACAUGGGCGCCACGUCACUGUUAACGGCAGACUUAACAGUUUGACUAACGGAUGUAUGAGACUGUUCCAAAAUUUACACUUUAGGUAUGACUCUAGGAUGAAAAAAACUUGAUGUACUAAAUGUUGAAAAUCACGAAACAUAAGGGUAGUAAACAGUCUUUUGCCCUAUUUUAAAACAUAAGAAUUAAAUUCUCACCCUCUUUUUUUAAUGUAGAUACUAUCUUUUGUUAAAAAAAACAUAAAAAUUAAAUUACUAUUAACCGGUUCAGUUCGGUCAUGCUAGUUUUUUCAAGUUGAGAACUUGAAUUUAAACCAGUCUGAAUCGGCUCAAUUCAAUUCUUGUAAAAAGUUAAUUUAUUUUUGUCAACAAACACAAAUUUUCUUUUUUCGAUUUUUUUUUUUUGUCAUGGCUCAAUUCAGUUUCUCGUUCUAUAGUUCUCAUGCUCACCCCUAAAAACUAAAGGUGUCAAAUGGUCUAACACCUAAUGGUGUCAUAUGGGCCUAAGCCGUUCUUGGCCCUGCCACUAAACAAGUGGCUCAACGAACUUUAGUUAUUUUAUAUUAGUAGAAAAAAUUAUUUGAAUCUAGUUUAAAACCUAAUAUCACAAUUAUUUAGUCUUAUUAGCUCCAACUGUAUGUUUUACUUGAAAAAUAAUGAAUAAGUAUAUUAUUAUUUAAUUAUGUAUUAGUUUAAAUAGGAUAGUCAUCAUAAUGGCCCCACGUCAUGGGCCGUGUUUGGCCAUGAUGAAUCGCGGCCAACCCGGCCUAUUGGACCUAAACCUUAGGACCGACCUAACCACUCAUUACUAAUCAUGUCGUGCACUGCCUUAUCUAAAUGAGCUUGGGUCAUGCCUAUUUUAAUAAGGCACGACCAUUGACAUAGUUCAUUGUUGCGGUUUCCCUUUCCGUUCUUACUAUCUCACAAACAUACUAUUUCAUUCACCGCACGUAAUUUUCCGUUUUACAAUGGGAAAUGGGGGUUGCAGUUGUGUGUGGAGGAUUUCUAUUGGGGUCUUAUGAGUUUAAUUAGUCAUUUAUGAUUUAUGAGUGUUAAAGUUUCCUCAUGUAUAAUGAGUUUGUUUUAUCUUCCUGCUUUCUCAACUUAUAUGUGAUUGUAUGGGAGACAAAAAUGGAUCUUGUAAAGAAGUCGUUGAUGUCCUCAGAAAAUGGAUGCAUUGGUGGUAAUUACCUAUGUUCUAACUUCUAAUCAUAUUGGUCCUUCAACCAGCAACUGCCAAUAGUUAUACUAAACUAAGACUUCGAAGCCACUUAGUACUACAGUCUAGUGAUAUUUUUAUUCACUUAUAAGUGAGAGGUCUUAGGUUCGAUUCUCGCCAAAUGCGAAUUUGAAUAACAUUAUUGUUAGUCCAUUGUGAGGCUAAGCUCACCCCUCCCUUUUAGUGUAGAUAAUAUUGUUUGUUCAAAAAAAAAAAAGACUUUGAAAUAGGGUGGUGCUAACCACACACCUCUUUUUAUCUUUUACACACCCUUUCAAUUUUCGAUUGUCGGAUCAAAUGAAUUGAUGAGAAUUAAGGGACAAAAAUUAAUGGAAGGUAACAACCAUUAGAUUAUGUCUACAACUACAUAUAUAACAUAGUUAUCGUUUUACAUUUUGUUUGGACCCGAUUUUACACCAUCGGCCCAAGUAAUCGAGGCCGUUGAGUGAGCAUGGUUCUUAACCAUCAGAUGAGAAAGUUAAGAUAAUUUGCUAUUGUUAAGAGAUAAUAUUAUGGUUUUUAAUCAUAAUAUUUAUCUUUCAAUGAAUUAUCUCAAUUUUCUUGUACAAAAUAAAUGGGAUAAAAAUCAUAGCCCUAAUGAAGAGACAGGUGGAACAGUCCGAUUUAAUUUGGAAUUGUUAGUAGUGUACCGUGUGGGUUAGAGCAACUCGGCUUGGAUUCUUAUCACGUGGCAUAGCAUGGGAUUUGCAAGGCUUGGAUAAUGGUGAGAUAGGAGACCUAAGUAAGCUGGGUUAUUUAUAGAUGUUGGCAGAUGAAUUGAAUUGAUGAUGGACUUGGCCUGCGUGCCGUGUGAAAGGCUACCAACUAUAUAAUUAUAUAUAUAUAUAUAUAUAUAUAUAUUAUUGGUGGUUGCCGUAUGGUUUGGAUAUGACAAGAAAAGAAAGCCUAGCUAGGCUAAGCUAGGCUUUUAAUUACGAUGGGAUAAUUCAAGAUGAGCUUUUAUUAUCUUUGAGGAAUCAGCCAUCUGAAGAUAGGCGUUAGCACCUAUGUCGCAGAUCAGUCAUUUUUACGAGUUUGAGUUUCAGUCGGUUUCUGCUUAUUAUCCAGGCCAUGCCAAACAGAAAAUACGUUCCUAUAAAUACAGAUGCCGUGCAACGGAAAUGGACCUCUCUAAUUCAACACACAAAUUGCCAUGCGCAAGCUUUCGCUCUACGCGAAACCUCUCAACAACCUUGAGAUUUUUAUUUUCUUUUUCACCGACACAUCUUCAGUUUGGAUAAACAGCAUUGUGAAGGCAACCGACGAACAUUUUCAGUUUGGAUAAACAGCAUUGUUGCCGUAGAACCGGCCGACUGCGGAACACCUUAAGUUUGGAUAAACAGCACUAUGUCUAGGUCGACUGGUUAUCUAUCAAAGUCUCAGUCGAAAAAGACUUUCGGGUCCUUAUUGGUAGAGGUCAUCUCAUUAGCCUUUUCCGCAAGGUGAAGUGUUACAGUUUACUAGGGCUCGGCACAUUGAACGCCGAGUUGUUUUAUGAUUGGAUACUCACAAGUAGGUUUUAGAGUUCGGCAUUUUGACGGCCGAACCACGUUCACCAUCAAGACAUAUAUUUAUUUUGAGUAUCUGUGCCCCUAUACUUUGGUGUCGAUUCGGCGUGCUUAUACUCUUACGAAUAUAAUCACUAUGACCGAAUUCGGCGUCGACGAUUUGUGAACUUUGCAAAACUAGUAGCCUUGUCUUUAGGCUCUAGAACCCGAAGACCGAGAGUGUUUCUUCCUCGGCCGCAAUCGCAAGAUCGAGAAGUCAGUAGCGCACCCAAUGCAACAUCAACAUAUUUUCCUCCUCGGCCGACGAGUUGGCACGCCCUGCAUCAACCGAAGGACGUAGUUAGCUCACUAGUUACUCGGUAUGCGCGCCACGUAGGCUUGGUAGUUUUUAGGGUCAACACAUUUGUACACCUUAAUCCAAAAGACCGGAAUUACAAAUGUUUUGACAAGUAGAUAACAACCUUCCUGCCCUUGGAACUUAUUCAAUCUAAAACACCAAUUCAAUUUUAGUUUGAGUAAAAGAUGUUGGGAAAAUUACAAGAAGAUUGACUCGCUCUUUGCUUUGUUAUUCUGUACUAAAUGAUCCUGCCUAAUUCACUAAUUCGGGUUAUAAUAAAAUUAUAUUCUUCUAAAAAGCAUGUAGACAAGUAGGUUGAAACACAAGUAUAUUGCUCUCCUUAAGGAGAUUAAAGUUCACUGUGGUUUACAAAGUCCACAAAUAGAUGCAGGAGUAUAUCCCAUGACUUGUUCCCUCCAGAAUACAAUAGCCCAACAAAAUUGUUUUGUGAUUGAAAUCUAUCUGCACAAAAGGAAGAGUCCAAAGCUCCACCACACAAACUCUUCUUUGGUCAGUAUGUAAAAACAGAAAAGAUGGAGGAAUGGAGAGAUAAUUGUUGCAGAAGAAAUUAGGUAGUGGGAUAAAAAUAAAAGAAAACAAAGGAUGAUGGAGAAAAUGCUACUAAUUAUAGAUUUAUUAUCACCUUUAGUGGAUAAGGUAAUAUACACAAAUUAACAAGACAAAAGUUAUAAGAGUUACAUAAGAUGAACUGCUCAAAGACGUCGUCUUAGUUUUCCCACUAACAACAAAUAAUGAUAACCGUCUUAAAUUCUCACUUACAACAAACUAGUCCUUCUGCACACACCUUGCGCGUGCGAAAAACCUUUUUUACAUCAUGGCGUGCUACACGUGACAUACAAAGUUUUUAUCCCUUCCACAUUUGUGCAUGCAUAAAAAAAUGUUUGCUUCAUAAACACUUCAUACAUGUUCUACAUGCAUUGGUCACAGAUGAUCCUAAAAUGGUAUUUAUUCAAAACCCUUUCAUCACUUCUCAUCCAAUCCCCACCCACAAGGUAACUCCCAAUUAUUCCUUUCAAUUGGGGUUAAUUACCAAAUUAAUUGAUUAAUUGCCAAAUUGAAUGCAAGAUAUUAUUUGACAUAGUAUCUUGCAAUUAUAUUGAAAAACCACCAUAAGUGGCCGGUUCCUAUUUCUCCAAAUAGGGUCAGCCACACCCCUAUAUAUAGCCCCACAUAUCUCCAAAAACCCAAGUUCAUUCUCUCCCAAAAAUUCCUCAAACACUUUUUUCUUUCAAAUUAUAACUUUGGCAUUGGAGAUUCCUAAGCUAAAUCCCUCCCCAUUCAUCAUGGGCGCGUUAGACUUUUGACCUUAAUCUUAUGUAUUAUUAUUUUGCAGGUGCAUUUUCAUUAAAGAAUAAUAAGACGGUAAUUUGCAUCCACAACUGACAUUUGGAUACCUUCUUUGAAAUAAAGUUUCAUACUUCAACAAAUUUCUUAAUGUGUUAAAUUGUAUCACCAAUUAUUUUAACGGUUCGAUGUUGAGUUUGAAUUGUAUUAAUUGUGAGCUUAACAUGUGGAUGCAAUACAAACCAUUAAAAUAAGAAACAAACACAAAUACAAAAAAAUAUGAGCCGUUUCUCAAGGGGCUUAUUGAGUUAUAUGGGCCAUGUGAUAACAUGUGAAAUCAUCCUUUUUCCACACAUCAUUUUCAAUCGACUUAUAUGGGCCAAUGGCAUGAAGCAACGUCUUUCCUUUUUUGUGUGGUUCGUCUUAUAUGGAAACACAAUUCGUCUUAUAAGGACCGACACCUGGUGCUCUUGGGAAACGUAAAAAGGAUUGAAGAAGACCAAUCAAUUUAACGUUAUUUACGAGUGGAUCAGAGAAUUCGCUAUUGACGAUGGACGGUUUGGAGAUUCUGCCACACAUGAUGAUAGCCUCAACGUUGUCGUCUUUGUCGGGCAUGGGGGCCUCCGAAGAGUGAGGACAUAAACGACAAGUUGAAACUGAUACCUGUGGGCCUAUAUGGCGUAAAGCUAUGUCUUUCAUUUUUCUUUUGCGUGUAAUGUUGUCCUUACGAAAAAAAAUUCAUUAUGAUUAGAAUAGAAGUGAUAUAUCAUGUAUUUUUAUAUAAAUGGUUAGAAAUUUUAUUUUUUAAGUUAUUAAUUUUUUAGUACAUAUAUUCUACCAUUUAUAUAGUAACACGUGAUAUAUCAUCUCGUGUUCUCAUCAUAUUAAAAAAUCUCUCCUCUCCCUGCUCCAUUAUAUCACUCAUGUUCUCCUGGCAUUGUUUACUAGUGGCUCUCAACGUGGCCAAAUAUUACAAGUGGCUCAGAGAAUUCGCUAUUGGAGAUGACGAAGGGUAAGGAGAUUUUGCCACACAUGACGAUAGCCUCAACGUUGUCGUCUUUGUCGACCAUGGGGAGAAAUUAUUAGAUGGUAUAGUAGCAUCAUUGGCAAUGACUGGAUGAGAAAUUAUUAGAUGGUACAAUACUGUCACGUGGCAAUGAUAGUUGGCAGUACCCACCAACAGGUGCAUGACACGGAGAGCUAACAGGACAAAAAUAAAAACAAUAUUUGGCUACUCAAAGAUGAGUAGGAACUCCUACUCAAAAUUUCUCAAAAUUGUUUGUUGUCAAUUUAUAGAACUUCGUGUUUAUAAUCAAAACCGUUCAUAUUAUAAAUAAAGAUCACCUUUGCAAAAAAUCAAUUAAAAUUAAGGUCGUUUAGACAUCAAAUUGUUUAAAAACAAAUGAAUGGUAUUGGUAAAAGUAUUACGAAUCGUCUAUGUAUUUGCUACAAUAGAUUGAUUAAACGACCUUAGUUUUAUUUUUCUAUUUUUUUUAUUUUUUUGCAGAGAUGAUAUAUACAGUGUAAUUCAUAGUAUGAAUCGUUCUGUUCAUAAGUACAAAAUUUUGUGAUUAAAAUACUAAGAGUUUUGAGUAGGAGUUCCUACUUAUCUUUGAGUAGCCAAGUAUUGUUCUUUUUAAAAACCUUUCCACUUUUACGCUUGAGUUUAUUGUUCUAACUGUACGUUUUUUAAAAUUUUUAUUUUUUAUUUUUGUUUAAGGGGCUUGAGACACCAAAGUAAUCUUCUGGCAUUCUAUUGUAGAGAUAUAUUUUUCCUCCUAGUUCUGCUUCAACAUCUAACAGUAUGUUUCCAUCGACAAAUUCUUACAAAUUUGAGCCAAACUACUGGAAGUCUACAAGGUAAAAACAUAAACCUGCAAGAUUUGUGAGACUAGUAGAGAAGAAAAGAGAGGGCGAAGUAGGAAAGAAAGAAGAAAUGGUAGAGAAGAAAAGAGAGACUGGCUCAUAAGGGGGAGAGACAAAAUGUGAGACUGGUUUGGUAGCCAGAAUGCAUAAAGAAAAGGAAGAGGAAGAGACAUAUAGUCACUUGGGUUUAGUUAGGUUAUGGGCCUUUAGACCUUCGAUUUAGUUAAAUUUGGUCGGCCUUGCGAGAGAUUAGUAUUAGAUGAGCUAUGUUUAUUGAAUAUUUAAAAACAUUAAAAUUAAAUUAUCAUCCUCUUCUCUUAAUGUAGAUAACAUCGUUUAUUUAAAAGAAAAAAUAAAAAUUAAAUUAAUAUUAGCCGGUUCAGUUCGAUCGUAAUCAAAACUAGUUUGAACCAGCUCAAUUCAAUUCUUGUCAAAAGUUGAACUUUUUUUUUAUUUUAUUUUUGUCAUCAACAAACACAAAUUUUUUUCUUUUCGAUAUUUUGUUUUGUCAUGGUUCAAUUCGCUUUCUCGGUUCUAUGUUUCUCAUGCCCACCCUUAAAAACUAAAGGUGUCAAACGGUCUAACACCUAAAAGGUGUCAUAUGGGCCUAAGCCGUUCUUGGGCAGUGCCACUAAACAAGCGGUUCAACAAAGUUUAGUUAUUUUAUAUUAUCAGAAAAAAUUAUUUGAAUCUAGUUUAAAGCCUAAUAUCACAAUUAUUUAGUUUUAUUAGCUCCAAACUGUAUGUUUUACUUGAAAAAUAAUGAAUAAAUAUAUUAAUAUUUAAUUAUGUAUUAGUUUUAAUGGGAUAGUCAUCAUAAGGGCCCCACGUCAUGGGCCGUGCUUGGCCACGAUGAAUUGCUGCCUGGCCAGCCUAUUGGACCUAAACCUUUGGACCGAUAUGGCCACUCAUUGCUAAUCGUGCCGUGCAGUACCUUAUUUAAAUGAGCUUGAGUCGUGCCUAUUUUAAUAAGGCACAGCCAUUGACAUCGUUCAUUGUUGCAGUUUCCCCUUUCGUUCUUACUAUCCCACAAACAUAGUAUUUCAUUCACCAUCCAUAAUUUUCCGUUUUACAAUGGGAAGGGGGGGGGGUUGCAGUUGUGUGUGGGGGAUUUCCAUUGGGAUCCUAUGAGUUUAAUUAGUCAUUUAUGAUUUAUGAGUGUUAAAGUUUCCUCCUGUAUAAUGAGUCUGUAAUGUCUUCCUGAUUUCUCAACUUAUAUGUGAUUGUAUGGGAGACAAAAAUGGAUCUUGUAAAUAAGUCGUUGAUGUCCUCAGAAAAUGGAUGCUUUGGUGGUAAUUACUUGUGUUCUAACUUCUAAUCAUAUUGAUCCUUUAACCAACAACUGCCAAUAGUUAUGCUAAAAUAUGACUUCGUAAUCACUUAGUACUACGGUCUAAUGAUAUUUUUAUUCACUUAUGAGUGAGAGGUCAUAGGUUCGAUUCUCGUCAAAUGCGAAUUUGAACCACAUUAUUGCUAGUCCAUUGUGAGGCUAAAUUCACACCUCCCUUUUAGUGUAGAUAAUAUUGUUUGUUAAAAAAAAAAAAAAAGACUUUGAAAUAGAAAUAGGGUGGUGUUAACCACACAUCUCUUUUUAUUUUUUACAUACCCUCUCACUUUUCGACCGUCGGAUCAAAUGAAUUGAUGAGGAUUAAGGGAUAAAAAUUAAUGGAAGGUAACAGCCAUUAGAUUAUGUCUACAACUACAUAUAUAACGCAGUUAUCGUUUUACAUUUGAAACUAGAGAAAUAGAACACCUUGAUCCAAAAGACCGGAAUUACAAAUGCUUUGACAAUUAGAAUAACAGCUUUCCUGCCCUUGGAACUUAUUCAACCUAAAACACCAAUUCAAUUUUAGUUCGAAUAAAAAAUGUUGGGAAAUUACAAGAAAAUUGACUCACUCUUUGCUUUGUUAUUAUGUACAAAAUGAUCCUGUCUAAUUCACUAAUUCGGGUAAUAAUAAAAUUAUAUUCUUCUAAAAAGCAUGUAGAUAAUUAGUCUGAAACGAAAUAUAUCGCUCUCCUUAAAGAGAUUAAAGUUCAUUGUGAUUUAACAAAGUCCACGAACAGAUGCAGCAGUAUAUUCCAUGACUUGUUCCCUCAAGAAUACAAUAGCCCAACAAAAUUAUUUUGUGACUCAAACCUAUCUGCACAAAAGGAAGAGUCCAAAGCUACACCACACAAACACUCUUCUUUGGUCAGUAUGUAAAAAUAGAAAAGAUGGAGGAAUGGAGAGAAUAAUUGUUGUAGAAGAAAUUAGGUAGUGGGAUAAAAAUAAAAGAAAACAAAGGAUGAUGGAGAAAAUGCUACUAAUUAUAGAUUUAUUAUCACCCUUAGUGGGUAAGGUAAUAUACACAAUGAACAAGGCAAAAGUUAUAAGAGUUACAUCAGAUGAAAGACUCCAUCUUAGUUUUCCCACUAACAACAAAUAAUGACAGCCAUCUUAACUUCUCACUUACAAUAAAUUAGCCUUUCUGCAUGCGCCUUGUGUGUGCGAAAAGCCUUUUUUACAUCAUGACGUGCUACACGUGGCAUACAAAGUUUUUAUCCCUUCCAUAUUUGUGCAUGCAUAAAAACAUCUUUGCUUUAGAAACACUUCAUACAUGUUCUACAUGAUUGAUUUUAUAAUUUUCCAUAUUAAGGGAGUGAUAAAACUAAUUUUGAUUGGCCUAUCAACUCUCCUUCAACUUUUCCAGAGGUUGUUGCCAAUAAGAAAUUUGUGUACCUCACGGCAGCAGAGUUGAUAGGGGCCUCUUUAGCAGCCUAUAAACUCCAUUUAUGCAUGGCUUUUAUAUUCUAGACAAUACAAAAUGUAACUUAGCAGAAUAUAAAAUAGUAAUUUUCUGCGAACAUUUGCCGAAGUAUCUAAGACAGUUGGAACUUUUGGCUGCCACAUCCGUUAGGUAUCAAAAUGAAUAGUUGAUUCUGUAAAACUAUACAAUCCCUCACGCAGAGUAAGGGAACAUUAUAAAUUGUCAAAAGAAUAUACAGAGUUUUUAUAUGUGAAAUAAGUGAAGAGACAAAGGAAUCAUGCAUACUCCAAUGAAAAUAAAAUUCACUGAAUCUAAAUAACUAAUGUUGCCAAUGUACCAUACAAAUUAGUAAGCAAGUCAAGAAACUACCAAUGAGAAUAAAAUGAUUCCACUUUUAUCUUCCAACUUUCUGAAAACCUAUAAAAUAGAAGAUAAAUUUUCAAAAUUGUUAGGAAUACAAACUCCCAAACCUGUACAUGCUGAUUGAACCAACUCACUCAAACAUAUCGAAUUUGGAUCCUGAUUUCUUCCUUUUGCCUCUACAAUUUUCUCACCACAUUUUAUAUUCUUUCUAAUUCCUUGUGCCAAAGAAUUCUUCCUGCAACACAUUUGUUUCUGGUUUCAAAAAGACGAAUUAACAUAAUCAAACCACAUCUCUUGGUGUUCAUGCUUCAAAGGUGCAUGUGCAAUAGAAUAGCAUUAGAAAUAAGUGAAGAGACAUAGGUAGAUUACCUAUAGUCGGACAAACAAACGUAAAGAAAUCCAAAAACGAUCACCCAAAACCUGCACUAACCGAAAUAGAAUCGAAAUUAAAACUAUGAUUAUGAUUCGAUAGAGAACUGAGGAAUAGCCAAGCUAGGAAUACCAUAAGUGCUCGACAGAUAGUCGAAUUGAUGAAAACACAAACGAACAACAUCAGUAACGAAUCAUGGUAUUCUUUCGACUACCAGAUCAAAGGGACAGAAAACCACUCCUGUGUGAGAAGUGCCUGAAGGGAUAAGCAAUAAUAUAAGCAAGGGACAAUGGUUAAGUAAACCAAACUUGAGCAAAACUAAAGGAUGGUUAAGUAAACCAAACUAAAGCAAAACUAAAACUCACAUAAAAACCUUUGGGUAUCAGUGGAGAAGAGAUUGCUUUCGAAUUUCACAAUGAAGCAAUCGAUUUUAUUUCUCCGCUUCCACGAAACAGUUUUCUCACACGUUCUCAUUUUCCCUCCUUCGUUUACACGUCUACACAGCGAGGUUUAUCAUGUUUGUAGAUUAAACUUCUACAAAAGAGAGUCCUUAUGUGUAUGUAUAAUUAAGAAGAAAUGAGAGUUGCAAUACCAGGAUGUGCUCCAUGUAGAUUGCAGAAUGUAACCAUGAACAUCGUGAAAAAGUAGGCGAAGCACAUAUGGGAAGAGGCCAUGAUGUUUUUUUAGUCAAAAAAAGGAAGAACCUGCACAACAAAGUUGAAUUCUCAAGAAAACUGAACAAAGUAGAAUAAAAACAAUCUAUCGGUCUUAAAUCGUGACCGACUGAAAAAUAGAAGAGGAAAGAUCAGCUUCACAAUGCACAAUUUUUGUUUUUGCUGGAGUCUAGUAACUGUUGGCAGCGUCGUAGAAUGAAAUUGAAAACAAAAAUUUACUCAAACCAUUCGAAGUAGCAGGAACAAUGAAGCUUCUUCCCUCCUUCUCUAAUGUUGGAUUUGUGAAUUAUUGAAUGUGGAUUUGUGAGUUCUUAGAGUUUAUUCAUCUUCUCAGUCAGUUUGCGGCAGUUUACUCCCGGUUGAGUUGAUAUCUGAUGACAAUCAAGCUGAAACCAAGAUCAAAAUAUGGGGAUUUAAUCUAAGCGCUUCAAACCUAUAAAGGGCAGGGAUUGAGUUCGAAAAAGGGGAAGACAAUUUAUUGAACAUAACUUUCAGUAAUGGCAAACUCAGAAUUCCACCAGUGUAUAUUCACUUGACUUCGGAUUCACUCUUCAGGAACCUUGAGACUUAUGAGCAAUGCAGUCUUAGAAGUAAGCAUCCCAUUACCUCAUAUUUGAUACUCAUGAAGAGUCUCAUCACUUCCACAUGGGAUAUAAGACUUCUUUGGAGAAGAGGGAUCAUAAAUCUAUUAAAUUGCAAUCGCAAUCGCGUUGGGGACCAAGAAUAUUUCGCUGAAUUCAAAACUAUACUGAAUACAGUUGUUGUGAAGAACUUGUGCUUCGGAAAGUUGUGUGACGAAGUGAAUGCAUACAGUAAGUCCUGGUUGCCCUUGAGCAAACAUAAGGUAUCGACAAGGGUGCAAAUUCGUAGACAUGCAAAUUUCCUUUGUCGCACUUAUUUUUCUAGGCCAUGGAGUAUCAUAUCAUUCGUUGCUGCUGCUGCUCUCUUUAUUCUUACUGUCAUCCAGAGUCCAGACAUACUAUAGCAUUCACCCACGCUAAUGUGUACUUGUUCCGAGUGCAGUAGGAAUGAAAGGCUUCGAUUUUAUGCCUCCGCUGAGUUCCUUAAUCGUUUAUGUAAUGAAAAUUUCAUUGUGUGCUAAGCUGAAAUGGUUUAUUUGGUUUAAUUGGUUGUUCCGUUUUUCUUCAAAUUGCAUGAAAAUGAGCUUAGAUUCUAUAAAUUUUGAACGUUAAUUCUUUAAAGGAAAAUUACCUUUAUGGAUUUCUUUUCUCCUUAAAAGCAUAACCAACCAUAGCGUGGGACGCUUUAUUACAAGUUCUUGGAAUGAACUUAAAAAUAAUUUUUAUAAAUUGGGAAGCCAGCAUAUGAAUGUCGUGAAUUAUACAUUCCACCGACACCUCUGAAAUCUCCCCGCUGUUAAUGAUGUCCACCACAGUUUUUGUAUGUCUCCACUUCAAUCCGCAAGAAGCCCCUUGUUAGGAUAUAGACAUGUGUCAUAAUUGUAUUGGAGGAUCUUAGAGUUGGUUAUAGGUGUGUUGUACUUACAAGACAAGAGGGUCACAAUUGUAAGGUAAUGAAAAACUGAAAAUUUCCCUCCUCUUUCUCUCUCUAAGUUUGUUCUCUCUCUUCGAUGCUUUUCUCUUCCGUUGUUUCACUGCAUUACAUACAGUAGCUUUGUUAUCAUGGUAUCAUCGCAGGCAAUGGUUGACGCCGUCGUCUGACGAUCCUGAUGCUUCGGCUUUUCUUCGUUCCGGUAGCAUUCCAUUGUUUGCUAGAAGUCGGUUGUUCUCUGGUCGAAGUUGGUUGACUACUCAAACCUUAGAAUUUGAGGAUUCUUGGGUGAAGUUGCAGCUCAUCGUGUUGGUUGAAGGUAUUUGUUGCGUUCUUUGAUCCCUUGCUUCUGAUAGCUAUUCUUACUGUGAAUCUUGCUGCGAAUUGAAGUGUUGAUUGGUUGUUACUAGUUGUCAAUUGUUGAUUUCUUAAGGAUUGUUGGUGUAUCUGUUGAUUUCUUGAAGAUUGUUGAUGUGUUUGUCUUACUGGUCAAUUCUUGUACUUGUUAUGGACGAAAUCAUUCGUUUUUGUCUGCGAUUCUUGAUUUCUUACAAUACAAGCAAAGAGUGUUUCUUGGUGCUUCCAUAUGGUGACUGCUGCACAAUUAGUUCUCACUCAAUCGCCUAUCUCUUCCUUGAUACCAAGUGUUGGUAAUACUGUGACAGUAAAGUUAGAUGAUUCUAAAUAUGUUACUUGGAACUUUCAAAUUGAAUUACUAUUAGAGGGCAAUGGUAUUAUGGGGUUUCUUGAUGAUUUUAUUCUGUGUCCUGCGAAACAUACUGCAAUUGAAACUACUGAUGGUACUGUGAUUGAUAAAUCUUCUGUAACUGAUGCAUACAAAGUUUGGAAAAUUCAUGAUAAAGCCUUAAUGACCCUUAUCACUGCAACUUUGUCUCCUGCUGCAUUAUCUUGUGUCAUUGGGUGUCAAAGUUCCAAGGAAAUGUGGAUUAAUUUGAAAGAGAGAUUCUCUAGUAGGACCUGUUCAAACAUUGUCCAGAUGAAAAUUGAUUUACAGAACAUUAAGAAAGGGACAUAAUCUAUUGAUCUUUAUCUACAAAGGAUCAAAGAUUGCAGAGAUCAGUUUGUUGCAGUGGGUGUAAUCAUGUCUGAUGAAGACAUUGUUAUUGUUGCUCUUCGAGGUUUACCACCUGAAUACAAUACUAUUAAAGCUGAUAUUAGAGGAAGAGAAAGUAUUGUCUCAUUGAAGGAACUUAGGUCUUAGUUAAAAGCUGAAGAAGCAACACUUGAGGAAGGUUUUAAACAGCCAUUGAUGACUGCAAUGAAUGCUAAUGGUCCAGGCUGUAUGUAUGAGUUAGGAGGAAUAUCUAGUACAAAAACUUCUUCUGGAAACUUUCCUAAUGGUUCCUCAUCCUGUUAGUUUUCCCCAGGUCCUCAAAUGGUGCAAGGUGUUCAGAUGCCAAAUUUUGUUCAAAUGCCUAAUAUUGCACAAAUGGGCCAAGUGCCUCAGUAUACAUAGUUUUAGUAGUUGCCUCUUUCUUCUCCCACUAGACCAUAUGCUUUUGUCUUUCAAACAGAAUCUGGUACAUACAACAAUUUCAGGGGGAAUAAUUUGAAGUAUAAAGGCAAAGGGAAGAAAUUUCAUUUUGGAUUUCAGGGGUCUAAUCCUCAGUCUCAAUCUCAGACUAAUUUUCAGAACUUCAGUCCUCAAAUGUCAUCAGUGCAGCCUUAUAACCCUAUGCUUAUUUUUCAGAUUUGUGAUAAAAAAAGGGGUCAUUCUGCACUACAUUGCUUUCAACGUGGAUGUCAAAUAUGCAAUUGAGUUGGUCACACUGUAGCAACAUGCUUUGACAAGGGCAAUUCCAAUGCUUCCAUGUCUAUGUCUCAGCCUAUGUACUCACAAUAGUUUCAGGCUCCUGGUUUACAAGUUCAGCAUCUGGGUUCACUUAUGACUCCACAGUACAUACCUAAUCACUAUGUGGCACAACAAGCUCCUUCUCCUAUAGCUUUCCCUGCAAGGACCAAUCCCUUACCUUCUGCACCACAACAAGAGUUCUGGAUGCUUGACUCUAGUGCCACCAAUCAUAUGACCUCUGAUUUCUCGAACCUGCAAGCUGCUACACUAUAUCCAUAUAAUGAAACUGUUACUGGAGCUGAUGGUGAAGGUUUACUCAUUUAUCAUAUCGGACAGUCUUGUCUUACUACUCAUCUCAUAAGCUUCAGUUAAACAAAGUGUUAUAUGUUCCACAACUAUCUCAACAUUUACUUUCGAUGUAUUAGUUAUGUAAAGAGAAUAAUUGUCGAUGCAUUGUUGAUGAGUUUUCUGUGUGUAUACAGGACAAGGUCACCAACAAGGUACUCUUCCAAGGACUGAGUAACAAUGUUGUUUACCCUCUUCCAUUGUUCAAACAACCACAACUCAAACUUACAUCAUAUCUUGGAUACAAAGCGAAUGAUUCCCUUUGGCAUUGUAGAUUGGGUCAUCCAAUCAAUUAUGUAGUUCAAUUAGCUAUUAGUACAUCAACUAUUUUGUUUCCUUGUAAUUCCAUACCCUAAACAUGUAUUUCUUGCUUGCAAGGUAAGUUUACCAAGUUACCAUUUCCAUUAGUAGUAGCCAAAUCAACUGUACCUUUGAAGUCAUUCACACUGAUGUGUGGGGACUUGCACCUGUCAUGUCUAUAAAAGGUCAUAGAUACUAUGUGUCCUUUAUAGAUGAAUGUACAUGGUAUACGUGGAUUUUUCCCAUGAUGAAUAAAGCUGAAGUUUGUGAAAUAUUCCUUCAGUUUCAUGCUUUUAUUCAAAAUUUCUUUUCUGUUAAUAUCAAAGUGUUACAAAGUGAUGGUGGUGGAGAGUUUGUUGGGUCUGUUUUUCAAAACUUUCUCAAAACCAAAGGUAUUUUGCAUCAAAUGUCUUGUCCCUGCACUCCUGAACAGAAUGGGUUGGAUGAGAGGAAAAAUAGACAUAUAGUUGAGACUGCCUUCACUUUACUCCAAAAAGCAUCUCUUCCUUCCAAAUUUUGUUUUCAUGCUUGUGCCACAGCUACAUACCUCAUUAAUCGAAUGCCAACAUCUGUCUUAAAAAUACAGUCUCCUUUUGAAUUGUUGUAUCAUUCUCCACCUAAACUUGACCAUUUAAGGGUAUUUGGGUGUGCUUGUUAUCCUACUUUGGAACCCUAUAGACAAAAUAAGUUAGCCCCAAAAACCACACAGUGCAUAUUUCUAGGGUAUGCAACUCAAUAUAAAGGGUAUAUUGUUAUGCUAUUAGAUAUCACAAGCUCAUUGUCUCUCGGGAUGUUGUCUUUGAUGAAGAUCUAUUUCCUAGUAUAUCAGUGCAUUCAUCUAGCUCACCAUCUUCUGUGUCACAAUCUCAGGUCCCUCACCCUAAUACUUUUCUUCAUCCCUCCAUUGUUCCUAUUCCACUUCCUCACCUUAAUUUUUCUUCUUCAUCGCUCAAUUCCUCUGUAAACCAUACUGUUACUCAGUACUCCUCUACAACACUUGGUGAUCUUGUCUCUGAUCGGAAUUCUACAUCCAUGGACAUAGUUCAACAAUCAUUGGACCAUUAUGACAUCCGUCCUGAUGUCACAGUAUCUCAAGUUCUAGAACUGCAACAUGUUUUUGUCUCCCAGAUUAACACAUCUGAUGCAAACCAGAUCAAAGUAUGGUAUUUUCAAGAAAAAGGUUCUUCUUACCAAGGUUCAAACUCCUUCUAUCAAAGAACCACAAUCUUACACAGCUGCUGCUAAGUCUGUUGAGUGGAGGAAUGAUAUGGAGGAGGAAAUGGCAGCUUUAGUUAAACAGAAGAUAUGAAAGUUGAUCCCUUUUCCACUUCAAAAAAUUUGGUUGGUUGUAAAUGGAUUUAUAAGCUCAAACACAAUCCAGAUGGCUCCAUUGCUCGAUACAAGGCUAGGUUGGUGGCCAAAGGUUUUUUCCAAGAAGCAGGUCUUGAUUAUUAUGAAACCUUUAGUCCUAUGGUUAAGCCAACCACAGUACGACUUAUGUUAUCUUUAGCUGCAACCAUAGGCUGGAAGUUGAAACAGCUUGAUGUAAAAAACGCUUUUCUGCAUGGUUUUCUUGAUGAAGAGGUGUAUAUGUGUCAACCCCAAGGCUUUAUGAAUCCUGAUCACCCUGAGUUUGUGUGCAAAUUGGAAAGAUAUCUUUAGUCUAAAUUAGGCUCCUCGAGCUUGGAAUGAUCGUUUUACCAGGUUUCUUCUUACUUUGGGCUUUAAAUCCUCAUAUGCUGAUCAUUUUCUAUAUGUGAAAUAUGAUGGUCAAUCUGUGGUUGUGUUAUUACUGUAUGUUGAUGAUAUAAUACUCAAUGGUGAUGGUGAGAUUAAAGUUCAAGCUGUGAUUGAUCAGUUAACAAGUGAGUUUGAUAUGAAAGAUUUAGGACUUCUACAUUAUUUUCUUGGUCUGCAAAUUGAAUAUCAGUCUCAGGGUUUACUUAUGCAUCAGUCCAAAUAUGUUUCUGAUCUACUCAUAAGACCAACAUGAUGGAUAACAAUCCUUGUACUACUCUUUGUCAUCCAAAUCAGAAAUUACUCAAUCAUUGCAGUUCUUCAUUUCAUGAUCUAAGUCUGUAUAGGAGUAUUGUUGAGGCUCUUUAGUAUUUGACAUUUACACGACUAGAUAUUGCUAUUCAGUCAAUUAGGUCUGCCAGUUCAUGCAAUCUCCUUUAGAAAGUCAUUUUGUUGCUGUCAAACGCAUUUUGAGAUAUCUCAGAGGAUCCAUGACUCUUAGGUUAUGUUUUAAACCUAGUUCAUUGGAUCUUAAAGCCUACACAGAUGUUGAUUAGGCUGGUGAUCCUAAUAAUAGAAGGUCAACCACAGGUUUUGUAGUGUUUCUGGGAUGUUAUCCCAUCUCAUGGAGUUCUAAGAAACAACACACUGUUAGUAGAUCCUCCACCAAAGCUGAAUACCAAGCUAUGGCGACUGCAGAGGUUGUUUGGUUGUACCAGUUGCUCAAGGAUUUACAUCUUCCUUGCACUGACAUUCCUCUUCUUCACUGUGACAACAUCUCUGCUAUGACAUUAGCCACCAAUCCAAUCUUACAUUCCAAAGCUAAACACAUAGAAAUCAAUUGUCAUUUUGUUCGAGAACAUGUUUAGCAAGGUUCAAUUUUACUGCAAUUUGUCACUUCUGCUGAACAACAUGCUGAUAUUCUUACCAAGGGGCUGUGUUUCCUUUUUUUAGCUCUCAUUGUAACAAUCUUAUGCUUGGUUGUUCCUCGCAUAAGCUUGACGGGGAAUGUUAGGAUAUAGACAUGUGUCAUAAUUGUAUUGGAGGAUCUUAGAGUUGGUUAUAGAUGUGUUGUAUUUAUACGACAAGAGGGUCGCAAUUGUAAGGUAAUGAAAAACUGAAAAUUUCCCUCCUCUUUCUCUCUCUAAGUUUGUUCUCUCUCUUCGAUGUUUUUCUCUUCCAUUGUUUCUCUGCAUUACAUACAGUAGCUUUGUUAUCACCCUUUUCUACACAUUUUGUCAAUCCUGCCUUAUUGCUUCAACUCCAGCCGUCAAACUCGAGCAGCACCAAAAACCACCUGCACCCCUGCUAGCAAUUCACUUAAAGAAGGAAUGACCAAUUCAGUUUUGAUGGAUUUGAUAAAUAUUCGUAGCAGAAGCAACAAAAACAUAUCAAAUGUGUAGCGAUGUUUAGAUAUGUGUAAGGGGGAUAUUUACGUGUAUAUAACUCAAAACUACAUAAACAGAACGACUUUGGAGAUAUGAAACUUGAAGGCUCGGAGAGCUCCUACACAAAACUACAUAAACAGAACGAUUUUGGAGAUGUGAAAGUCUGAAGGGCACGGACCUUUGUGAAAUUAAACAAAACCUUGAGUGAUUAUUCAAUUAACCCAACUGUUUUUCAGUAAAAACCCAAUUGCUCUUUAGCAAAACUUUCUUAGCUCUUCAACUACAAUUUCAAAGCCUUCCUUCAAACAAACACUGCCUAUUCAUGACGUCUAAAACAUUAACAACUAUGUCACCCUAUUGUAUGAUUCAGUUGAUGUGCAAUUCCAAACACCCUGAUUUCCUCUCUGAGGCUCAUGUUUUGUACUAAAUCAAAUAUGACGCCAGUAAUCUAGGUGGAUUUCUGUAGCAUUAUCUUGCCCUUCAUGGCCUAAAUCUUGCUAGAGUUUUACUGCUUUCUUUACAUUGCCAGGCAAUUUAUAUUUCAAAUUAUGUAGUUCAGCCAAUCGGCCUAGAUUUUAGUUUUGUGAACGUUUGUAAUCUUGACUCCGUCAUGAAAUGAUUACAUUAUGUUUUCCGUUUUAGUUUCUAUUUCGCUUUCAUUUACUUUUUAGGAAAGUAUACACAAAGUUACAAUGAAUAUUUAAGUCCUCAUUCGCUCGAUGCACAUAAAAGUACUUUAACCAAAUCAACAUCCCACUCAGUGCACAAUUAUUUGGUUCAGAAGUCAGAUUAACGCGUAACUUGCACACAUGCACAACACAAACAUUGCCUGUGUUGGCAGUCUCCAACAAUGGCACACCUAUUUUCUCUUCUCUCGAGCCAUCUCAUGACAUUGAGACUAAAAACAAUAUUCAGGACAAAUACGUGUUGAACUGCGUAACCAAGCUCCGUCCAAGUUUUGGCACCAAAACUAUAUAAAUGCAUGUUCUAGUGUGCUAUUUGAGUUGAAUAAUUAAUAUAUGAUUCAUUUCCAACUGCAUAGAAGUUCUUUUAUUAAUCAUAAAAUCAUAAUAUGGAAAGCAAACACACAACCCAAAUUACAAUUUUACAGUCUUAACGGAUCGUAACUCCUCAUUUUUUUGUAGGCAACUUGGGCCCUGGAGACUGCACUUUUAAAAGAAACAUCACAAUAACUAGAUAUUUUAGGCUCAUAAAGCUACGGGUUCCACUAGUGUAGAAACUAUAAGAUCUUUUAGCACGCCCUUAGCAUUAGUGUAGCCAUCUUCACACUUGUACACAACAUCCAUGACCCGAGCAAAAUUGAGAAUACGAAUUAGCAGGGGCAUGGGGACAGCGGUAGGGUGGAGGCAUGCUUCGUUUAUGUCCUUCCAUGCAUUAUUCACUUGUCUUUUAAGUUCGAUUAUCGCUUCUUCUUCUGUGGCAUCAUAUUUCUUCAUGUAACAGUUCACAGCUGAGAUAAAAUGUUCUCUCUCUUGCUCAAACUAGGCAUGAGGAUUAAGAUAAAAGGUAAUAUAAGUAUUAAUCCAAUCAUAAUAGUAGUGCUUUGUCAAGAUUUCAGAGGAGAGGGGGGGGGGGUGGCACUUAAUAUGAGGUUAUAUUUUAGGGUAAAUUAGAAGUGGAACCACUUAAUAUGAGAUUAUAUUUUAGGGUUAAUCUCAUAUUACUACCUUAAAGUUUCAUGGUUUUCAAUAUUUGGUACAUAAAGUUUAUUUCAUCUUGGAGUCAUACCUUAAGUCUUAAUUUUGAGACAGUCUCAUACAUCAAUUAAGCUAGUUGUUAAGUCAACCAUUAACUAAUGAUGUGGUACUCAUGUGAACAAUGAUUGGGCGCUACGUGUCAUUAAGUGUCCACAAGGAAAUUUAAAGAUCAAAAUAAAAUUAAAAAUUAAUAAAUUAAUAAAAAUAACAAAAUAGAAAAUAUGGGGAUACUUGUUCCCUCUCCUAGGCAUGACAUUUUGGACCCAACCAGUUAAUCCGAUCCGACCUAACCCGUUAAUAUUUGUAUUUGGAUAGAUGCUUAACGGGUCGGGUCGCUAACGGGUGAACCCGUUAAAUAAUGGGUCAUUUUGGGUCAACCUGUUAGACCCGUUAACACCCGUUAGCAUCCGUUAGUUAAAGGUAUUUUAGUAAUUUUAGUAAAGUCUUAAUAACAAAAAAAUAAACUUUAUGCAAAAAAAAUAAUAAUAAUAAUUGUUAACGGAUGAAAUAGAUGACCCGUUGGGUCAAUCCGUUAAACCCGUUAGCAUCCGUUAGUUAAAGAUAUUUUAGUAAUUUUAGUAAAGUCUUAAUAACAAAAAAAUAAACUUUAUGCAAAAAAAAAAUAAUAAUAAUUGUUAACGGAUGAAACGGAUGAUCCGUUAGCUUAACGAGUCGGGUUCAAAUGACCCGUUAGCUUAAGGGUUGAGUUCGGAUGACCCGUUAACUUAACGAGUCAGAUUAAACCCGACCCAAACCCAAUAAACCCAACCGUUUACAGGUCUCGCCUCUCCCCCGUCCAUUUUUCUUUCUUCUACAAUUUCUUUGUGAUCUGGUUGCUACGAAUGUGCAACUUUGGUGCUUCUGGCAGGUUGCAGCGGGUGGUCAGGCUGGCGCAAGUUUGUAACGGUCGAGCAGCAAUAGGUGCGGGUUAUGGUGGAUCGAGAUUGGCUGGGUGGUUCAGGAAGAAAAAAAACGGUUGGAAUCUGGUGUGCCUUUGGCUUUGGUUAGCUCCGUCGCGGCUCGGAUUAAGGAACCAGAGAUGAAAACCCAAUGAGUGGGAUUUCUCUGGCCUUCACCUUGGUCCCCAAAUUUCUGUAAUUUUUUAAGGGCAAGAAUAGGAAGAACACGCGAUGGAAAUUGAAUUUGGAAAAAAAAAAAUUGAAGGGCAAACUCCAUGGACAAAGAAUUCGAAUUCUUGGGAGCAAAUCGAAUCGAUAUGCUUAUCAUCGGGCCCACCCAUUCCCAGUGGCUGCGAAAGGAGGGUUGCUGGGUAUAUGAGGUUUAAGGUAGAGAAGAGAAAGAAAGUCUGCAGGCUGAACGCAUUUUGCUCAAAUUUUUUUUUUAUUUGUUUAAAUUUUUAUUUUUUUUAUUUUUUAAUAUUUUAGUUUUCUAAUUUUUUAAUAUCCACGUGAACCUUUAAUGACACGUGGCGUUUAGUCAUUUUCCAUACAGACGCCACAUCAUUAGUUAAUGACUAACUUAACAACAAACUUAACGGAUGUACGAGACUGUUCUAAAAUUAAGACUUGGUGUAUGAUUCUAGGAUGAAAAAAAAUUCAUGUACUAAAUAUUGAAAACCAUAAAAUUUUAGGGUUGUAAACUGAGAUUAAUCUUAUUUAUUAUGUCAAGUUUUUAGUGUGAGACUCGUUGCAUUCGACAAUACUCAUUAAUACAAUUUACAUAUACGAUUCAGUACCUUGUGGUCCACUAUGUCAUCCAUGAGUCUGACAAUUUUUGAUGCAGCCUUCACCGCCUGAGGGAAAGUUACAACCAAUCGAAGGAGUCUAUUGUAGCUUCUUCCAUUCCAACAAAGGAUGUGGUUAUUAACAACGGGUAGCCACUGGUGACGAGUGAUACAGACAUGUAUUCAUCCAGUGACGGUAUGUGCUUCUGGUGGAACAAUUUGGCUUCAUCGAAGUAGCCUCUAACUUGUUUUUUCAUCUGACACAUACCAGAUCAUGAGAUUAUAAUAAUUCAAAAAUCAUCUCUACUGUUAAUUCAUAUUGAUAUAUAAAGAUUAUAUAUAAAUAAUAAAUUGUUCCUAUACAUAUUGUGAAGUAUUUGCAGCACGUUUUUCCGGCCAUGUACUAUAAGCAUAUAUUGAGGAUUAGUACCGCUUCUUUUGCAUGGUGGAUGCGAUAUAGCUUCCCAUCGUGCAAAAGUUUUCCAUGAAUUUCACUGUAUACAUCUAACAACGCCCUAUAGCAGAUUUUCAUAUACUUUGAUAGUUGAUCUAUAGCUGAGACAUCCCACCUGAUCAGGUAAUACAUAAAUCAGUUGUGUGUAAUUAGGUUAGUUUUUCCUUUUGAUCGGAUGGUGGUGUAAGGUAAGAUAUUUUAUAUGUAAGAGAAUUUUAACUAAUGAUAUAUUCAUACCUCUCAAUAGCUUCAGUAAAGAGCUCUAGUUCUUCACAUGUGCCAUAUUCAUAAACUUCAUCGAUAAUGGAUGUUAUAGCAGUAACUUUGCAUGAUGUCCGCCUAGCAAAGGAAUACUGAGGCUGAAAGUAGACUGACAUACUCCAGCAGAAGUAGACCUCAACCAAUCUGUCUCUUGCGAAAGGUAGCUUGUUUGGCACGUCCAAGUCCUUCCACCACCUGAGUUACAAACAUAACUAUUUAGUAGCUAGAGAUGGAGAAUUCAACUCUUUAGUAAGUGAUAUAUAUGGUUGAAUAAGUAAUUAAUUAACCUUGUGAUUUCGCUUAGUUCUAUCUGAUGGACUCGUUGCAGUCGGUUGAAAUCCAACUUGGCAAACGUUAGGAGAGUUUCAUUAGGUGAUUCUCUUAGUUCCUGGUAGACAGACAAGUAGUACCUUGCUUCAACCCUGGUAAACCCCUUCGGAGCUGCUGAUUUAAGGCAUGGGUUACUGUUUUAGCCAGUGAGGGGCUUAAACGGUAUAUAGUCGACUCAAGCUGCGUGGUCGUGAAGGUUAGUGCCUCAUCUAGUAUCUCCUCUCCAUGUAUUCUAAGGUGUGUGGCUUCAUACAAGCUUAGUAGUCCUACAACAUCAUCAACGAGUGUUUCCUUGAAUUUUCCAUCACCGUCCUUGAAUUUGUUGAAUAAGUCUGCAUGACCAACAAAAUGGAAAAUUCAGAACCUCAAAAAGCAUUUAGAUAAAAAGAACAAAAUAUAUCACCAGAUCACCAUCCAAGAGUACUUACCGCAUGAAAUGUUAUAACCUUGUUGUCUAAGCAAUCGAAAAUGAAGAGGUGUACAGGUCAUCCAAAUCAUAUGAGUUCUCGUGAAUUUUCUGUAAAAUUUCUUGAAUCUCAUUUCCAAAAUGGUAGGACACACCUAAGCGCUGAAUGUCAUCAAUCAAGUUCAGCAUUUGUGAAACAUUUUCAACUGAAGUCAUUAGCAUCCUUCUCACUUCUUCCUUCAGUUCUUGUACAUGUUGUUCAAGUUCAACAUCCACUUCCUCCACAACAUCACAUUGAUUUAAGAAAAAAGAAAACGCAUAACCUUUAUGAUGUCAAUUUCUAAAUUGUAAAUAUUGAGAAAAGAGAGGCACCUAGCCUGAAAUAGUUAUUGCAUGGCAGUUUUCAUGCUUUAAGAACUUGUUUUUCCCCAAAAAAAAAAAAAAAGUGUGUGAAUUAACUUUGGUAGUUAGAUUCGCAACAUGUUUGCCACGUUAAGGAAAGGAAAGUACUUUUUGGUUAUUUAUUUUUAUUUUUUACUCUUUGUUUAAAAUUACAAAUUUAAUUUUCAUAAUAAUAUAUGUUCAAAUUAAUAGUUUAUUGUAGUAUUAAAGAAGUCUUACCAAAGAAGCAUAUGACAGAAAAUGGUCGCCCCAAAUGCUGGGAGAAAAUUUGGCUGAAGGCUUAGGCCGAUGAACAUCAAAAGUGUCAUUUGGGUUUGAAGAUUGAGAUAGUGGAACUUCCACAAAAGACAUAUGUCAAAGAUUUCAAACCUGAAGUGAACUAGCCAAGUGUUAUUGCUUUUGUAUCAAGUCCUGGUGUGAGUUAAGAAGCUCAUAAGCUUUGCUAUUUAUAGUAUCGCUGACUAGCUACCGCACCCACUGGAAAAAAAAAAUUAGGAAAACUAAUGAAAAUGGUUUGAAAACUUUGAGUUUUAAUGAUAAGGACAAAAUAAAGGGUAAAGUGAAUAGUACCAUGAUUGACUUUUUAGUGUAAAAAUGUGGUUUUUUGUUAAAGUGAACAGUACCGGAUGCUUUUCGUUAAAGUUCCCAAAAAAAUUAUCUACAAAAAUUUUACCCGUCAUCUUGGCAUUUUAAACUUUUUUUUAUUACAUAAAUUCUUAUCUUUAUUUUUUGAAAAAUAAUAGGAUAAUUUAUAUUAAAUUUAACUAAAUUACAAAAAAAGAGAUUCAAACACAAAAUCACAUGAACGAAUAUUUUUAAAGCUUUUUAGUCAAAAUGGUUCCUCAUAUUUGCAUAACACAUAACUUUGAUUCCUGAGACUGUCCACCAUCUAUCAUUUUGGUCAUUCCGUUAAAAAGCUCAGGGACCACUUAACGAAGUUUUUUAAUGAAAUGACCAAAGUUAUGUGUUAUGAAAAUUUUAGAAACCAUUUUAGUUAAAAAAAACCUAUUUUUAAUGCACGACAAAUUAUUUACACAUAAAUUCUUAACUAAUACUUGUCACAAAUCUGAUCUUUAAUUUGUGGGUCCCCCACUCAACAAAUUAAUAAUAAUGUCUCCCUUUCCACUCACCAAAUUGGUUUUUUUUUUUUUUUUUUUUUUUUUUUAACCAUGAGUAAAACGACCUUCACACUCGGUUUGACAAACGGUUUCUAUAAUUCUUGGAUAUUACUUAAUCGAACUAAUCCGUGGUUGCUUUUGUUUGUUUUAAUCAGAAUAGAUGGUGGUGUUCUUGUGGCCCCAUUUUAAGUAUCUAAUUAAUCGAUAUCACUUUUGACCAAAAAAAAAAAAAAUCAGAGUAGAGAUAAGAGUCCCUUUUCCUUUCACUUACUCACACUCAACUCUUAGACUUACGGCACCCAUCAUCGAAACCCUACCGUUGUCUUCCUCGUCUCUUCAGUAGAUCGUCCUUCAUCAUUUAACAAGUAAUAAUCAAGGGACUUCUGCUUUUGGGUUCAGUUUCAUCUGCGUUUUUAUUCUUUCAUCUGCUUUUGAAAUUUUUUUAUUUUUUUAUUUUUUUAUUUUUACAAUGGUCCCAUUCGUUUCUGCUUUUGGGUUUGAUUUCAACCUGCGUUUUAUUCUUUCAAUGCUUUUGUGAUUUUUUUUACAGUGGACCCAUUUCUUUGAUUUUAUUUUUAUUUUUAAAUGGACCCAUUUGUUUGAUUAGUUGUCUAGAUUCAUUGAUUUUGUGCGUAGUUUACUGAUGUUGCCUCUCCCUGCUCCAUUACAUCACUCACCUUGAAUUGCAUGGCCAAAACAUUUUUUGAGAAAUGUGAACACAGAGAAAACAGUAGAGUUAGAGAUGGAGAAUUCGCAGUUGGAGAUGACGAAGGGUCUGGAGAUUCUGUCACAUAUGAUGAUAGCAAAAUCACCUUAUAGGCCCCAUGUCAUGAAAGUUGAAUGGAUAAGUAAAAGUUAUGUUAUUCUGAAGUUCUUAUUUUGAAAUUAUGUGAAGAUUUCGACAAAAAAAAAAAAGAUUAUGUGAAGAUCACAUACAUAUUAUUUUUAAAUUAUGUUAAUUUAAAUUCAAAAGUUUAAUAUAUUUAAUAAAGCAAAAGACCUUAAAAAAAACAAAAAAGCAUAUGACAGAAAUUGAGUGUACGACAGAAACUGGUCGCCCCAAAUGCUUGGAGAAAAAGUGGAUGAAGGCCGAUGAACAUUAAAUGUGUCACAAGCCAAGUGUUAAUGCUUUUUGUAUCAAGUGCGGGUGUCAGGUGUCCGUUGAGGAGUUCAUAAAAUUUGCUAUUUAUAUUAUGGCUGAUAUACAGAAAUUCUUCACAAAUAUAAUUUUUAUUUGUGGGUCCCCCACUUAAAAAAGUAAUAAUAGUUUGUCUUCCCUUCGAUUUGACAAACUCGAUUUUUUCUUUCUUUUUUUGGGUGAGUUUAUAACUAAAAGUAAUGUUUCAGAGACAUAUUGGAAGUUUAGAACUAAAAGAAAUUUAAUAGUUUUUUGACAUAUCAGGUCAUAUCACCAAUUAUUUUAACAAGUGAAGUUUGAAUUUGAAUUGUAUUACUUGUUAGUUUAACCGAUGAAUGCAAUACAAAUUAGCCGCACCUAGGCCUCUAGAAUAUCUGAUUUCCUUGCCUUGCAAGGCAUUCUAAGGGCCUGGAGAUUCUACAGCGUAUGAUGAUAGCCUCGACGUCAUCGUCUUUGUAGGGUAAUUUCGGUAGCGCCCGAAGGAUCUUUUGUGCCCAUAAUGCCUUUGCCCACUCUCUGCAUUUCCUCUUGACACUGUCCAUACACUUGAUUUCUCACUAACAAUGUUUAUUUAUUUAUUUAUUUUUAAGAACAAACAAUAUUAUCUACAUUGAAUGGAUGUGAGAGUUAAUUAAGGUCAUCUCCAACCAAUCCGGGCAAAACGGAUUUCCUACGCGCGAGCAGUGGACAAUCAUCCCUCAAUCAAGUUAAAAAUGCCCAAAAAAGGUAACAAAUUCAAAAUUAUUUCAUCCAUCCUCAUCUUAUAUUCCCUACAAGGUAAUUAUUCCAUAACAUUCAAAACAUUCCAUAUCAAUUGAGUUAAUUGACCAAUUAAUGAAUUAAUUACCAUAUAAAUCACCCAUUACACUAAAAAAUUACCCAAAAGGCCGGCCACUCUAUUUCUCAAGAAUGUCGGCCAUGCUCUAUAUAUUAAACCCUAUUUUCUCUAAAAAGCUAAGUGUUACACUCUUACAAAACUCUCAAAAACUCUCCAAACACUUUUCUCUCUAAAUUCUAACUUUGACAUUGGAGGUUCUUCGGCCAAAGCCCCCCCCAAAUUCAUCGUGGGCGCGUGAGGCUCUUGGCCUUGACCUAAGGGUUAAUUGUUUUGUAGGUGCAAUUUUGUCCAAGAUCAAGGAGGAAGAAAUUUGCAUCCACAGGGAUGAAGAUGGAUCUCUUACCCUUCAAGAAACAAGGGUAGAAAAGUUGUCUCUAGGUGAAGGUUCCAUACAUAAGGCUACGAGACAAAACAAGGCUCGAAAAUUGAAAGAAAAUGGCAAGGCAAAGGAUUAUUACGCCUUUCAACAGGAAAUGACAACCUCAUUUAGAUUAAUGGCAGAGCAAAAUGCCAUUGCCGCAGAAGAAAGGAACUGUGGGCAAGAAGAACGGGCCAAACAAAUACAAGAAGAGAUGGAUGAUAGAAAUAUGCAAAGGUACACUUCGGAUUACACUCAAAUGAGUAAGGCCUAAUUUGAUAGGAAAAAGAGGGAAAUUAUGGCCCGACGGGAUUUGUUGACCUCCAACUAUGAUCCUACAAUGGCGGAUGAUUAUGAUGAUGAUGAUGUUUAUAGACUUUAAAUUUAAGUUGUUGUAGCCUUUAAAUUUAAGUUGUAGAUUUAAAAUUUAAUUUGUUGUAGUCUUUAAAUUUAAAUAAUAAAUUAUGUUUGGCCUAUGGCCCUUUGGCCCUCUCGGUUGGAGAUGGUUUUUUAUCAUAGGGCUAUAUUUGGCCUAUGACCCCUCGGUUGGAGAUGGUAAGAAAUAUAGCCUGACAUUGUUUAUUAAAAUAUUAAUUUCUUGGAGGGCUAUAGGGCUAAAAGGAGCCCUCUGGCCCUCAUUCGGUUGGAGAUGGCCUAAGUCUCCUAAUGGACUAACAAUAAUGUGGUUCAAAAUCGUCUUAUGACGAGAAUCGAAUUUAAGACCUUUCGCUUACCAGUGAAGAGAAAUACCACUAGAUCGUAUUGCUAAGGGGCUGAUCACUAACAUAGUUAGGCCAUCUCCAAUCGAAGGGGGGGGCUAGAGGGCUCUCUUUAGCCCUAUGGCUCUCUGAGAAAUUAUAUUUUAAUGAACAAUGUCAGACUAUAUUUCAUAUCAUCUCCAAUCAAAGGGACCAAAGGAUCAUAGGCCAAACAUAAUUUAUUAUUUUAAUUGAGUUAAUAAAGUUAAUUAAAUUAAAAUAUCAUAUUAAAAUAAUGUUUUCGAACAUAGGAAGAUUAUUAGAAAUGAGGUAAGAUAUUAUAGAAUAGUGAAAAGUAUAUGAGAAAUGGUGUAGGAAAAAAAUUAAAAAAAAAAACAUAAAAAAAAGUUGGAAAAAAAAAUUGUCCAAAAAAAAAAGUGGGCCGAGCAAAAAAACAAAGAAAAAGGGAUGGGCAAAAAAAAUUGUCCAAAAAAAAAAGAAGGGCUGGCUGGCUGGAGAUGACCAACCCGUUGGCCUGAUUUGGUGCUUUUGGCAUGGUGGGGCCCACAAGCUCUUUGGCCUAACCCUCGGUUGGAGACAGUUUUUGUGUCAUUUCGGGCUAUUUCGGCCCUAUGGCCCUCUGGCUAGAUCGGUUGGAGAUGGCCUUAACUCCAGAUUAAAACUUAAAAGACGAAAAAUUGACUUCUAAUGUCAAUUGAAUUAUGAUUUCUAACAAUUAUGGGUGAGCAUAGGAAUGACAACGAUUCAGUUUGGAGACGGAAAUGUUGUAUCCAUCUCUAUAACCAUGAAAAGUAACCAUAUUCAUAACUGCAAAUUAACUACCGAGUUUUAUUCAUAACCAUACUCACUUUUAUCAUUAAAUAUUUGAUGUAUACACGAGACUGGGCUGUGCUUGGGCCAUGUCACUAAACAAGCGGCUCACCACACUUAAGUUAUUUUAAAAUAUUUAAAAGAGUAAAUUGUAGCUAUGGUCCCUUAACCUUAACUCAAUUGGAGCAAUUGUCCCUCAACUAAAAAUCCAUUACCAUUGGUCCCUCAAUUCAUCAAAACGUGCAGCUAUAAUCCCUCAACCAAAAAUCCAUUACCAUUGGUCCCUCAACUUUAAUUCAACGGGAGAAAUGGUCCCUUAACUUUAACCCAAUUGUAGCAAUCGUCCUUCCAACAUAACUUGUUUUGACAAAAUUUUUGACGUAGUUGACGAAAAUGACCAUAAUUACACACUUUGAUGAGUUGAGGGAUCCUAAUUAUAUAAAUGGUUAUUCCAACAUAACUUAUUUUGACAAAAUUUUGACGAAAUUAAUGAAAAAGACUAUAGCUACACAUUUUGAUAAGUUGAGGGACUAAUGAUAAUGAAUUUUUAGUUGAGGGACCAUUGCUCCAAUUUGAUUAAAGUUGAGGGACUAUUGCUACAAUUUACUCUAUUUAAAAAAUUAUUUGAAUCUAGCUUAAAGCUAAAUAUCACAAAUAUUUAGUCUUAUUAGCUCCAAAAUGUAUGUUUGUAGUUGAACAACAAUGAAAAAACAUAUUAAUAUUUAUGUAUUAGUUUAAACGGGAUUGUCAUAAUGGUCCCAAGUCGAGGGCCAUGCUUGGUUCGUGAUGAUUGACGGGCGGGCCAGCUCAUUGAGUAAUUACUCUUAGAGUGUGACUUGUUGGUCCAAAAAAUAUGACUGGUUUCUCAUGUGGCUUAUUGAAAAUUUAAGAUUAGAUUUAUUAUUUUGUCGAUUUGCUAUCGUAUGUGGUUGGAAUUCAAUUGUUUUUUUUAUGCUCCCUCUGAUGAGUAUCUCCCCCUGAUUUCGAUCUUUAAACUAAUUGAUUACUAUGUUGAUGUAAUCUAAUACCAUUCAUGAUAGUUGAGUGUUUGCUUCUGAAGGUGGUUCACAUGCGCUCCAAAUUUUAAUGGCCACGGGUUUUAACCAAACUCUUGUAUUUCUGAGAGAUAUGAAGAUGUGGCAAUGAAUGUUGUUUCCUUGAUCGUUUUAGGAUCAAUUUAUUUCCAUAUGUAAAUACAAAUCAUUUCUAAGAGCGAUUUGUAUGCAGGCUAAAGAGAUAUUUAGAUUUUUGCUUGCCCAAUAAGACCAUGGCUAUUAGUGAGUUCUUUGGAAUAGAAUAAGCACAUGUCUAUAAUUUCCUGGAGUUAUCAAAAGAUAAACUUUACUUCAUUCUAAUACCUUAUGUUGGUAUUGUGCGUCACAAGAAAUGUAACAUUUGACUCAGUGUAUUGUAUUAAAUACAAUAUGGUAUAUACUUCACUAAGAUAUGGUACUCCUGGAUCAAAUAUCAAUUCAUCAUUUCCCUCAUGAGAAUGAAUGAUCUUUCUUAGUGUCAAUAUUGGUUAAUCAUUUGAGUAUUCAACUCAUGAUCUUCAAUCCAUAUGGUUUUUUAAUACCAUAAACAUUUUGGAUAAGAUAUGUGUUGGCAUAUUAUUCGAUCUGCAGCUCGAGACAAUAUUCCUUUCAACACUUUAUAAUCUUUCUAGACUCUUCAAGAGUUCCAAUCUAAUAUCAACUCUUGCAAGAGUUUUGCUUACCCUUUCAGGGCUUUUUUCAAGCAAUUUGAAUUCUUCAUAGAUUUUCUACACUUCAUGACACAUGCUUCUUUGGAAUUUAUACAGAGCAACUUGCUUCCAUGUAUACUUGAGAGAUUUACUUGUGGAGAUAUGCUUCGGGCAUAUGUAUAAUUCUCUACUGAAAUGAACAAGCUUCACAGUGAGAAAUCAUGUUUUCAGGAGUGUAUUACAAUUUCAGGUUUCAAUUGGAAACCUUGUGUCAUAUUAUGUGAGUGUAUGUCACUAUAUUACAAAUGCCUAUAUGUAACCUUUUGGGUUCAACAUCAUUUGGCGAUUUGUACUAUAGGUCUAUUUUUCCCACGUUCUUAAUAAAUUGUAAUGGAAUUGCCUUUCUCCAUUUUGGCCAUUUUGGCCAAUAAUUUUUCUUUUUAGUCAACGAACAAAAGAACGUGGUUCAAUAUCAACACAGCUCAUUGAUGAAUUUAGUAGCAAUUGUAAAAUCAAAAUUAACAUUGGUAAUCAUCAAUUCUUGAUCCCAUAAUUCUCAUGUGCAUGCAUAUUUAUAAGCAUUUUAAAACUUUGGAUAUCCUUGCCUCUUCAGGGGCUUUACAUCGUCUCUUCUAGGACAGUCAUUUCUUAUUAGAUGAAUUGUUUGAGAAUUUGGAUCAUAACCUUCUCUAAAGCAUUAUAGAGCUUGGAUUUUUAAUCUUCACUUCUAGGGAGUUGAAUCAUUGGAACCUACACAUUGAUUAUGCUUCAGGAUGAGAUAUAUUAAAAUUAUCGAGUCCAUGGAUUAUCCUUUUGGAACUUGAAUCCACGCGACGAUUGUCAUGCUUUAGGCAUGCAAUAGUUCAGUAGUGCCAAGUUUAUGGAUAGUCUGACUGAGACUUCAAUUUGUAUGGCAUCUUUGUAACUUGUAAUCAAUUAGAAAUUUUCAUUACCUUUUUGUACAUCAUGUGAAUUAUGUAAACUAGUAGUGUUUGUUGGGGUUGUGAGUAGGAUUCCCAUCAUUGAACUUUGGUCUUCCAUUCACUCAGUCAGCCAACAAUUUUCUCCCUUUGGACUUCUAUGGGCUUAUCGUUGAUCCUUCUGCUUCAGUCUCUUACACAGUAGAAAUGGUGCGCAACCUUUUCCUUUGGAUGGUCCAUCACUUCUUAGUAAACCAUCCAUGUUUGGUAGCUUCAGUGUAAAGAGCCAACAUCGUACCAAUUAUUCUGCAGUGUUGGUCACUUAAGACCCGGCUCCAACAACAGUUGAAGAUGACUACUCGAGAGCAAUGCAAGGUAAGCAAUCAGGGAAAGGUCCUAAGCAAUCAGUUCCUGACUGGAAGUUUGAUUUCAGGUUCCAACUAUUUACUUUCUUUCUCUUUGUCUUGCAGGUAAGAGCAAGGGCAAAGGAAAAGACAUGGAAAUAGCAUGAUAUGAGAUACUUUUGCGCUCGACCCUGAUGAUAUGAAAUACUUUUACUCUUGAAGAUAAACAGUAAAAGGAUUUGAUGCUGAUGUAAACCUUUUACAUUUUAAGGGACUUGAGGUAUUCGAGAUAAGGAAGACUAAAUAUGUUGAGAGGUUUAGUUGCAGAUGCAUUAUCGGUAAGGAAUAUGAGUUAGGUGUUUUGGAGGUGUGCUUUGCCAUAGAAGACGAAUGUCGACAUAUAUAAGGAUUUCCCAAUAGUAGGUAAUGGUGUGGUUGUGACCUUGUCACCCACGCUUGUCGGUAACAGUGGUGUAGUUGGAAUAGUGAACUUUACACAUUUUAACUUUGCAAGAGACAUUUUGACAAAGUUGUCCCUAAUACCAGAAAGAUGAGAUUGCAUCUGAGAAAUGUUGACGAACUUUAUUCAGGAAAAUCCAACUUUUGAAAUUUAGAGAGCGGUGUCUCUUCGACUUUUGAACAAGUGGUCAUGCUAUCUCUCUUUUUAUAGAUGUAUCAAUUGUAUCCAACAUGCACCCUUUGAAAAUUGUCCGCCUGUGAAAAUUGUCUAUGUUGUAUUUAUGAGAUUUCACUCUAUCCAACCCUUUUUUUUUCAUCAUUUCUAAAAAUGGCUUGCCCAUCCAACCUUUGUUUAGAUUUGAGUCUCGGAGGAGAUACACACGAGAUGCGUCAGGAUAAUAUAUGGUGCUCGUCCUUUUUAUCUUCUAAUGGCUUUUUUACAGUUGGAGGCUCUGUGAUGAGGGAUGAUAUAACGGCUACAGUAGUAGCUAGGAACCUUCUCACUCCUAGAGAUAAAAGAAUACUUUCAAAAAGGUCUGAUGAAUUAGUUGUUCAAGACUCUUUAGCUUUCAGUGUUCAAUGUGCGGGUUCUGUAUCCAACAUGGACCAACGUCUACUUGCUUGAAGUCGCCAAGUUGAAACAUUAAUGGCUGAGGUAGGAAGUCUUAGACAAGAAAUUAGAGGGCUCAAGCACAAGAAUAAAGAGUUGCAUAAACUUGCAAAUAUUUACUCGAUGAGCAUGAAAAGAAAACUUGACUAGCUGCAGGAAUCCUAAAGUUGGAUUCAAAGUGAUCACCAGAGAUUCGUGGCUAGAUUGUGAAGGAAACUAGUGCCUUCCCUUUCUGGUGUUUUGCCAAGUGUUAGGGUGUCAUGAUUAAUCUCUAGUAUCUCCUUCUUCUGGGGUACUGCUAAGUACUGAGGCUUCACAUGAGCAACCCUUAUGAAACAACGCCCCCCCCCCGGGACCCCCCAAUUUAUUUGUUUUUGUAGUUGUAACUCAUGUGUAUGUAUAUAUAUUUUUUUCUCCCAUUUGAUUUUAUAUAUGUCAGAAAGCUUCUACUUUAGCUUGUUAUAUAUGGGAACCCAUGGAAACUUCUGGUUCCAUGAAUAUGAUUCAAUGAGCCUUUAAGUAUAGAUAUUUUUUAAUAUCAUAUGCUUCCACAUAAGUUCUCGAGCAUUAUGAAUUCAUGAAAGUAUCUCUUGUGUAAGAUGUCGAUGGUCACAAAAUCGGGUUUUGCUAAGUUCACCAUUAUCUUAUUCCCAAAAGGAAGAAAUUCAGGUAUGACGGAAAUUGCUAUAAUUAACUCAUAACACAUAUAACAUAAGUCUACACAAAAUAUUAGAACUUCAAGUUCUUAACGUUAUUCAUAUUUUGAAUUUCAAGUCAAAACAUUAUUCAUAUGUACUUGAAAUUUAUUUUUAAAAUUGACAUCAUUAGAACCUUUAUGUUCAUAUUUUUGGAAUUCAUACCCAUACUUAAUUUGUACAUGGAUUAAGAAAUUUAUGGUCCUCAUUUACACGAAUCAAGGAACUUCUGGCUCUCAUUUAAUAGUUUGUGGACUAAGGUGCUUAUGGCCGUCAUUUUAUUUUAAUUGAGGAACAUAUGCUCUCUCAGUUGAUUCAAAAACUUGAGGUUUUGAUUUGAUCAAAGAACUUUGGGUCCGAUCUUUUUUACAUGAUGAUGAUCAAGGAACUUCAGGUCUGAUCUUUUUUAAUGGUGGAACUUCAGGUCCAAUCAUUUUAUAUGAUGAGGAUCAAGAAACUUCAGGUUCUAAUCUGAUCAAGGAACUUCGGAUCUUAUAUACUCAUCAUAAAAUGUAGUACACUAAAUAAAUUAAAGUAAUAGGCAGCAAUUCCAAUCAUGUUAAAUAAAUUUGUAGACAUCGAAAUUUCGGUAAAUAAAUGUUGACCGAUAAAUCAAAGUGUCAACGCUCAUGUAUUACAUAAAUUUUACACGUAGCGUGUGACUCAACGAAAAUUGAAAUGAGUUGGAAAAGUCAUCAAAUAGGACACGUGUCAACACCUGGCAGAAACGACUUAUUUCAUCUGGAAUAUUAUAUUCAAAAUUAGGCAUUGGAAAAUUCUAUAAAUACAAGCCCAUUUCAUUCAUUUUGAAAAAACCCAUUCAUAUUACACCUUGAAGCUCUGAAGCUCUGAAGCUCCGAAGCUCUCAAGCAUCCAGGUUCCCGAAGAAUCAAGAAAGCUCUCUUCGUUCUUCGUUCUUCGUCCAUCGCUCUUUCAAGAUCAAGCCCCGACGGCCCUUGAAGAAAGCACCAUCGUUCAUCAUCCGUUCUUCCAAGAUCAAGCCCCAACGGCCCCUUUGGAUCGACAACAUCAACAAAUCCGCUCAUCCGCUGUUCAUCAAGCCCAAGCCCCGACGGCCCUUGAAGAAAGCGUUCAUCGUUCAUCACUGUUCUUCGAGAUCAAGCCCAAAAGCCCUCGAAGAUCCGUUCAAGCCCAAAAGCUCUCGAAGAUCCGUUCAAGCCCAAAAGCUCUCGAAGAUCCGUUCAUCACUAUUCUUCGAGUUCAAGCCCAAAAGCCCUCGGAAAUCCGUUCAUCACUGUUCUUCAAGAUCAAGCCCAAAAGCCCUUGAAGAUCCGUCAAUCACCAUUCUUCAAGAUCAAGCUCAAAAGCCGUUGAAGAUCCGUUCAUCCUCGUUCAUCCAAGAUCAAGCCUCGACGGCCCUUGGAUCAAUCGCACAUCCCACAAAUCAACACCUUACGGAGAUCGAAUCAGAGGAUCAAAUUAGAGAGAGAUUGUAACCCAAAAUCAUCAAAUACAAAUAUUUGUUUGUGCACGUCGUUCUUGUCUCUUUCGUUUCAGGAAUUUUCCGUGUUCACAAAUUGGCACGCUCGGUGGGACAAUCUCUGCCUCUCAUCUCUUUCUCCGUUCAAGAAAUUCAAGCACACUUCCAAAAUUAAUGGCAUCAAGGAAGGCUCAAACUGUUCCCGCAACCGGUGCAAAGAACAAAAGCGUCCUCGUCGCAACUGGUGUCACUUUGGGCAUCACGACUCGAAGCAUGGCAAGAGCUACUUCUGCCGCCUCUUUCACCUCUGCAUCAACUCUGCCAAGGGAACAAAAGCACCCAAGGCACGAGCCUUUGAUCACCUUAGCCUCACUAAGGGCACCAAGGGGGGGAAGCCCAAGGAAAUACUCCGAAUCCAUGCUCUCCGAUGCCGAUUCAAGCGGCAGUGCAGCCAUGCAAGUCAUGACCAUUGGAGCAACUUCAAUCGAUGAGCAACUGGCUCAAAUGAAUGAAGCAAUCGCAAGGCUAACCCGAACUGUGGAAGAAAAAGACUUGCAAAUCGCUGCACUCGUCAGCCGACUGGAGCCACAGGACGACGAGAACCCUAACCCAGAAGAUGAGCCUCAGGUGGAGAAAAACGAUGCGAAGCCCGAGCCAGAGCAAGCAGCGGCACUCAUGGGAUCUCUUUCUAUCCAGCAGCUGCAAGAGAUGAUCACCAACACCAUCAAGGCACAGUACGAAGGGAGCUCAAAUACCUCCGAGUUGUACUCAAAGCCGUAUUCAAAGAAGAUCGACGCCUUAAGGAUGCCGAGGGGCUAUCAACCGCCGAAGUUUAUGCAAUUUGACGGAAAGGGAAACCCGAAGCAACAUGUCGCACAUUUCGUGGAAACCUGCAACAAUGCAGGGACGGAGGGAGAUUACCUCGCCAAGCAGUUUGUGCGCUCGCUGAAAGGAAAUGCCUUUGAGUGGUACACGGACCUAGAGCCCGAGUCCAUCAACAGCUGGGAGCAAUUAGAGCGGGAAUUCCUCAACCGCUUCUACAGCACCCGCCGCACUGUGAGCAUGCUAGAGCUAACGAGCACAAAGCAGUGGAAAGACGAGCCAGUCAUUGACUACAUCAACAGAUGGCGCACUCUAAGCCUCGACUGUAAAGACAGGCUAUCGGAAACCUCUUCAAUCGAGAUGUGCAUCCAAGGUAUGCAAUGGGGUUUGCAAUACAUCCUUCAAGGCAUUAAACCACGGACCUUCGAGGAGUUGGCCACUCGCGCCCAUGACAUGGAGUUGAGCAUCGCCCAUCAUGGGAAGAAAGAACCGAUCGCCGACUACAAGAACGACAAAGCUCUUGGGACAAAGGUGGAAAAGGCUGCAUGGAAACCCACCAAGGAAGCGAUGACGGUCAACACAUCUCCCGUCAAAAUAUCCACACGAGGCAAGGCGAUUCAAACCGAAGCUUUUCGUGAUCAAGAGACGCGUAGACGCACUUUGAAGGAGCUUGAGGAGAAGACUUAUCCAUUCCCCGACUCUGAUGUGGUUGCCAUGCUAGAUGACCUGUUGGACAAGAAGGUGAUCAGUUUGCCUGAGUGCAGACGGCCGGAAGAGAUGAAUCGUACUGACAGUCCAAGAUACUGUAAAUUCCACCGCUUCAUCAGUCAUCCGACAGAAAAGUGUUUCGUGCUGAAAGAUCUCAUCAUGAAGCUGGCUCAGAAAGGAAUCAUCGAGCUAGAUCUUGACGAAGUGGCGAAGUCAAACUAUACCACCUUCACUUCUGGCUCUUCCGACUCAAAGUUUUCACCUCAACCGCUGGGGGCAUCCUCCAAGACAAGCAAAGUUGAAGGAUGGACUCAAGUCACUCCUAAGAAAUUGCACAAAGAAGCAUACGUCUCCUCCACAAGUCCGCCAAUCGGAAAGGGGGCAAAACAGCUCUUGUCAACCUUCAAAGCAACGUGAACGUGUUGAAGAUGAUGAAACUUCGACACAAAGAUCGUCCGUCCCCAUCACGAUGCGCGACUUCUUGCCCGAAGACUUCUUCAAUCACGCGGUCAAAGCUCCUUGCUAUGAAAAUUGUGAAGGAACGCCUCUCCCGGAUUGCUUGACAAAAUUCAUAAAUGCUCCUCGCCUGCACGAGCCUAAACUGCAUGGCACAAUGCUCCUUGUUCGCACGAGCCUAAACUGCAAGACACAAAGCUCCUUGUCUGUAAGAGCCUAAACUGCAAGACACAAUGCUCCUUGUUCGCACGAGCCUAAACUGCACGAACCAAAGCUCAUUGUCCGCACGAGCCUAAACUGUAGGACACGAGGCUCCUCGCCUGCACGAGCCUAAACUACAUGGCACAAACGCUCCCGAUCCGCAAGAGCAUAAAAGGCGACAUCAACGCUCCCGAUCCGCACGAGCAUAAAAGGCAACACCAAAUGCUCCUUGUCUGCACGAGUUGAAACUGCAUACGACACCAAAAGCUCCUUGUCUGCACGAGUUGAAACUGCAAACGACACCAAAUGCUCCUUGUCUGCACGAGUUGAAACUGCAAACGACACCAAAUGCUCUUUGUCUGCACGAGUUGAAACUGCAAACGACACCAACACUCCUUGCCUGCAUGAGUUCGGCACAAAAAAAAAAUACCAUAAAUAUGUAUGUAUUUGAACUACGUUACGACUUGAUCUCUUUUUUGGAGGGGUACGUAGGCAGCUCGAAUAUUCAAAAUUUGAGUUCAGUCACACCAGAAUAAAGAUUUUAUUAAAAGUUUGAUGCUAUUACAAUUUCUUUGUACAAAAAAAAGGAAAAAAAAAAAGAAAAAGAGAAAAAGAGAUACAUGUUUUAUGUAUUUACAAAAAAAAAAAAAAAAAAAAAAAAAAAAAACAUAUGUUUUAUGUAUUAUUAAAAUAUAUAUAUAUAUAUAUAUAUAUAUAAAGGGCCUCAGAAGUAGCCCGUGUCCAAAUCCAAUCUAGGCCCAAGCCCAACUUACCUCUUUUCCGUUUUUGAUCCUUCUCUCUCUCUCUCUCUCUCUCAAAUCAAUCUCAAUUAAACAAUACCAUUUUCAAGUCGGACACCACACACAGACGCAGCUGAACAAAGUCGGUGGGGAGGAGAGAGAAACCAGAUAGAGAGAGAAAGCGGAAGCGGAAGCUCACAGGAGAAAACCCGAAGCCAACCACGCCCGCUGGGGCUCAGAGCGACCGCCGCUGAUCCAAUCGCCACCUCAGAUUCCGGCAGCUCCUCUGUCCGCAUUAUCGCUGGAAUGGCAGAUUCCCAUCUCCUCGACGCUCACGGGGGUUGAAAUGAACGAGAUGCAGAUCGGCAAAGCUCACGACGCGACGCGGACAAGGCUUUCCCUGGAUGCUUGGGAAGAAUGGUGAACCUCUUUGAUUUGGGUAAUGGGGUUUCUGGAAACAAGCUGCUCACUGAUAAACCGCACCGUGAUGGCUCUUCACUCUCAAGGAGUCAAUCGGAUGGCGGCCCACGGCCCGGCCUUCUGCGACAUAACCUGGGGUGCCGGUGGCUCCACGACGGAUCUGACGCUGGACAUUGCCAACAAGAUGCAGAACCUCAUCUGCGUGGAGACCAUGAUGCACCUCACCUGCACACCCAUCACCGUUCAUCCAUCGUUGACCAAAUCAACCAGGCGUGUCGAAAGUUCGGUUUCUUCCAGGUCACAAAUCACGGAAUCCCGUUGGCAGCUCUGGACCGUACGAUCUCAGCCAUCAAGGCCUUUCACGAGCAGCCGGCGGAGGUCAAAACACGGGUCUACCGUAGGGAUAUGGUGACGGGCGUAAAUUAUGCCUACAACUUCGACCUCUACAGCUCAAAAGCCGCCAGCUGGAGGGACACGCUAGCAGUUAGGUUGGGUCCCACGCCGGCGAAUCCUCUAGGGGUGCCUGAGAUCUGUCGGGAUGCGGUUGCUGAGUGGGAUCAGGAACAAAUCUUGAAUGACAACCAGCCUGAUAUGGAUGAUUGCGAGGGCUGUGAAAAUCAAGAUGAGGAACCGGUUGCAAUGGUUAAAGAGUCACCUUCAGGGGAUGAAGCUGCAAACAGCAAUGACUCAGACUGGGGAAUGGAUUGUUCUACAGUUGUGAGAGUUAAAACAUUGCACAUUAGCUCUCCAAUUUUGGCAUCCAAAAUUGUCCCUUCUUUCUCUGCUCAACAAGAACUCAGCAGUCAUUCACUCAGCGUCCUGGAUGUUUGACUAGCCUCGCUACUCGCCGAGUCGUCGUCCCGAUCCGACCCAAAGCCUACACCGACUGCGCUAACGUAUGCCCCUGCGGUUGCUGCGCCACGACGUCGUCUUCCUCGUCUUCUUCUUCGUCCUCUCGCUUCCCCGCCGGCGACGGCGUCCGAGUCUCCAAGAUUCUCGAGAGCGAGCCGUCUUUUCGGCGGUCCCGGUCGGUUGCGGUCCCUUUUCUGCGCUCCACGUCGAAGUUUCUCGGCGGCGCUUUUAGACACGCGGACUUUGACUUCGCCGGUGACAGGAGUGAGCCCCAGAGCGGCGGACGGACUAAAACACCGUCGUUUUGGUCGUCGGUAUUCCGGUCGUCUCACAGGAGUAAGACAAGCGAGGUUAAUAAUGGAGAACACGAGACGACGGCGGAGAAGAAAGCCGAGGGCGAAAUCCAAGAGGAGGAAGAAGACGCAGAUGCUGCGAUGAGAAGGAAGAUGAUGAGAAAAUCGAGGUCGGUGGCCGUGCCGAUGAUGUCUUCAAAAGCUGGUGACAAUGUGAGGGUUCUGCUCACUGCUAUGUUCCAUGAUGUGUGCAGCUGACCCUCGCCAUGGUCGGUAUUUGACUGCCUCAGCCAUGUUCAGGGGUAAAAUGAGCACAAAGGAAGUUGAUCAGCAGAUGAUCAAUGUCCAGAACAAGAACUCUUCUUACUUUGUGGAAUGGAUUCCCAACAAUGUCAAGUCUACUGUAUGUGACAUCCCUCCCGACAACGGCACAUCUACCCCGGAGCCUCAAUCCAUUGCUUCGCACGCUAACCCUGCUCUCUCUCCAGCAACAUCUCUUUCUGCACCACCGUCAUCUGCUCCUGCCUGGUUUCGGUGAUAGUCAACAACAACGGCAGAGAAAGCAGAGGGCUCGGAAUCAACCAUCUCAUCGUCCACAUCGGUCUUGUCCUGGAGCUCCUGGACAAUCAGCUCCGAAGUCGUCAGAGGCCGCUGUUGCGUCGUGUGUGUGAAAGCUAUGCCUUCGUAUCCUCGCCCAGCGCUGCAUCUCCUCCGUCUCUUGCCUCGCAACUGCCAGCAACUUCAAAGACCGCUGUCAAACGACUAGCCGGCCGAGAAGCUCUUCCUCAAGCUCCAGCUCUAAGUUCCUCCUUGCUCCGCUCCCUACAAAUCCUCCCGCCAAGCACCCUAAUUUAUACAAAAAGAAAGACAAUUAAAAAAAAAAAAAAAAAAAAAAAAAAAAAAAAAAAAAAAAAAAAAGGUGGUGGUGCAUCUGGCACCACGUGAAAAAAGAGGAAUGGUGGAUCAAAGAUGGGGUACAGCCCCAUGGCAGAUCAAAAGUUUCUGGUGGUGCAUGGGCACCAUGUGCAGAAAGAAAAAAAAAAAAAAAAAAAAAAUUGUAAAAAAUAAAAAAAAUAAUUAAAAAUAAUUAGAAAAAAAAAAAAAAAAAAAACGAUGGAACUUGGUGCAUCCAGCACCAAAAGAAAAAGAAAAAAAAAAUGCAUAGAGAGAAAUAGAAGGUUCAUUUUAUUUAUUUUUCUGAAAAUUAUACAUAAAUUUGCAUUAUACAUAAAUUAAAAAAAAAAAAAAAAAAAAAAAAAUCAAAUCAAAUCAAAUUUACAAGAGGGGAUAUUCAAGGACGAUCAGGUGCCGCCUCACAACUCGGCGGAGCUCCAGGAAGAGAAGGCGUCGGAGGUUGGCUGUUUGAAGCCUCAGCAGUCGGUACAGCCCCAGAAGACGAAGGUAAAUGCUGCUGGAACAAACCCACAAACCUCCGAUGAUCAAGUAAAAUCUGACCAUCAGAUUCCUGCAUCUGGUCAAUUUUCCUCUUCAUGUUUGUGGCAUAGUUGUGUGCAAGCUUGUGCAACUGUUUAUUCUCAUGCUUGAGCCCUCUGAUCUCCUGUUUGAGACUCAUCACUUCAGCCACCAACGAUUCAACUUGACGGGUUCGAGCAAAUAGGCGUUGGGCCAUGUUGGACACAGAACCCGCACACUGCACACUAAGAGCCAGGGACUCCUUAACAGCCAACUCAUCAGACCGCCUGGAAAGUAGUCUGUUAUCUUUGGGAGUGACAAGGUUCCGGGCCACCACCGCAGCGGUCAUAUCAUUCUUCAUCACCGAAUCCCCAACGGUAAGAGGACCAGUAGGGGAUAUGAAUGAUGGGCGCCAUAUGUUGUCUGGAGAAGGCGGGACUGCCUCUUCACCAAGAUUCAAGUCAAAACGACGGUCGGAGGGUCCAGACAUUUUCAAAGUGUUGAAGGAAGAAGAGAUCGGACAAAUCAAGAUCUUAGAAGUGCAAGAGGGGAGUUUUCACAAGCGAAAAUUCAAGUGUGCUUUGAAACGAACUGCAUGCCUCUAUAAAAAAUCAGCACUCGACGGGAUUUCAGAGAUCGAAGAGGCGAGCUCAGAAUUCGAAGAGGCCAUUCAAAAAUCGAAGAGGCAAGCUCAGAAAUCGGAGAAGCAUCUUGCUUUUCCAGACGCGUCAACACCCGUCACACGCAAACUCAGCUUUGCGGAAAUCACGGGCAAUUUGUUAAAGCACCAAUCCCAGAUAUCGAAGAGGCGCCAGUCUUUUUCAGCCUCGUCAUCACCUGUCAUAUGCACACUCAACUUUGCGCAAAUCACGGGCAAUUUGUCGAAGAUUUUAGGUGAAGGAGAAAGCACGUGAAAGUUUACUGUUCAAUCAUCCAACGGUUGCCGACACGAGUGAAAGAAUAAUACCUCUACAGGCGUUAAAGAACUUCCUAUAACUGUCCACCUUCACCUUCCAUAGCAAGGCAGACAUACAGAGCCUUUCUUCAUCUCCAAAAAUGCUUUCCCAACGAAGCCUCUCGAGUCACUUAGUGUUCCUUAUUCCUUGGGGUACCUCUGUAAGCCAAUAACUUCAAAGCAAAAGUAUCUCAUAUCACCAGGGUAGAAAGCAAGAGUAUCUCAUAUCAUGCGUUCUCCCUGUCGUUUCCUUUGUCCUUGCUCCUACCUACAAAGACAAGGAUAAAGAAAAUAAUAUGCCGGAACUUCCACUCAAACUCGGGUAAGGAACCGACUGCUUGGAACCCUUCCCUGAUUGCCUACCUAGCACUGCUCUCGAGUACUCGCCUUCCACUGCUGCUGUACUUUCAAAGAAGCUGCCACAUCUGCCUGGAGGACAGAUAAGGCAAGUGAAAAUGAUACCUUGCAGCAUGUGGAGACAAGGUGCAGAAGGAACAAGCAGAGAGGAAUGCGGUCUGCACGGUCAACUCAGCAGAAGGAGUCCGAACUGAGGAACUCAAGAAGCUGCCACAUCUGCCUGAAGAAACAAGCAGAGAAGAAUGCAGCAUGCACAGUCAACUCAGCAGAAAGAGUCUGAGAUGAAGAACUCGAGAAGAUGCCGCAUCUGCCUGAGGACGGUGAACUCGUUUUGACCCUCAAAUUCUUGGGUCGACUUACUAGGCGUUGUGGGCUGCACGUGCUGAUUCACCACCCUUGAAUCAAAUCCUUAAAGAUCAAGUCACCAACUGGAAUAAAAGCCCAUCAAUCUUGAAGAUCAUACCAUUGACCAAACUGCUCAGGUGUGAAUUAGAAAGAUUGAACAAAGAAACAGGUCGUCACCUUUACCUCGUGCCUGCUUGCCAUGUGUUCGAGUCAGCCUUCAAGAAUCAAGCCCCAACGGCCCUUGAAGAAGCUUCCAGCCGAAUUCAAAAUCAAGCCUCGACGGCCCUGGAAGAAAUCACAAGUCUGAUUCAAGAUCAAGUGUCUACCACCCUUGAAUCAAAACCUAGUUCAAGAAUAAGCUGUGGAAAGUCAACAAGCGCAACAAAAUACGUGCCGAUUCAUCCACUACCAAAGCCAAAGAUCAUCUACCACACAUGAAGCUCCUUGUGGCCCAAUUUCAACCUUCAAGAUCAAGUCUCGACGACCCUUGAAGAAAUUUCAAACAAAAGUUCAAGAACAAGCCUCAACGGCCCUUGAAGAAAUCUCAAGCCCAAUUCAAAAUCAAGCCUCGACGGCCCUUGAAGAAAUCUCAAGCCCAAUUCAAGAUCAAGCCUCGACGGCCCUUGAAGAAAUCUCCAGCCCAAUUCAAGAUCAAGCCUCAACGGCCCUUGGAUCGACAUCUACAGUAAGGGACUUCAAAACGCAUCUCCUACACGUGACAAGCACAUGUAUACGACGUGCCUUGAAGUGGGGGCAUUUGUAGACAUCGAAAUUUCGGUAAAUAAAUGUUGACCGAUAAAUCAAAGUGUCAACGCUCAUGUAUUACAUAAAUUUUACACGUAGCGUGUGACUCAACGAAAAUUGAAAUGAGUUGGAAAAGUCAUCAAAUAGGACACGUGUCAACACCUGGCAGAAACGACUUAUUUCAUCUGGAAUAUUAUAUUCAAAAUUAGGCAUUGGAAAAUUCUAUAAAUACAAGCCCAUUUCAUUCAUUUUGAAAAAAAACCCAAUUCAUAUUACACCUUGAAGCUCUGAAGCUCUGAAGCUCCGAAGCUCUCAAGCAUCCAGGUUCCCGAAGAAUCAAGAAAGCUCUCUUCGUUCUUCGUUCUUCGUCCAUCGCUCUUUCAAGAUCAAGCCCCGACGGCCCUUGAAGAAAGCACCAUCGUUCAUCAUCCGUUCUUCCAAGAUCAAGCCCCAACGGCCCCUUUGGAUCGACAACAUCAACAAAUCCGCUCAUCCGCUGUUCAUCAAGCCCAAGCCCCGACGGCCCUUGAAGAAAGCGUUCAUCGUUCAUCACUGUUCUUCGAGAUCAAGCCCAAAAGCCCUCGAAGAUCCGUUCAAGCCCAAAAAGCUCUCGAAGAUCCGUUCAAGCCCAAAAGCUCUCGAAGAUCCGUUCAUCACUAUUCUUCGAGUUCAAGCCCAAAAGCCCUCGGAAAUCCGUUCAUCACUGUUCUUCAAGAUCAAGCCCAAAAGCCCUUGAAGAUCCGUCAAUCACCAUUCUUCAAGAUCAAGCUCAAAAGCCGUUGAAGAUCCGUUCAUCCUCGUUCAUCCAAGAUCAAGCCUCGACGGCCCUUGGAUCAAUCGCACAUCCCACAAAUCAACACCUUACGGAGAUCGAAUCAGAGGAUCAAAUUAGAGAGAGAUUGUAACCCAAAAUCAUCAAAUACAAAUAUUUGUUUGUGCACGUCGUUCUUGUCUCUUUCGUUUCAGGAAUUUUCCGUGUUCACAAAAUUGUUUUUGAGUAAAUAAAGCUUAUGACAAGGGCUUUGAUUCAGCACCAUUCACAUAAAUAUCAAAGCUCUAAAGAAAAGGGUAAUAAUUUCACCCACUGUAAAUAAAUAGAACUUGUGAUAGGACUUUAAACCAGCAUCAUUCACAUAAAUAUGCCAAAAUAGAAAAGGCAAUGAUUAAGUCUCCAUCUUUUUUUCUUUUUCUUUUUCUUUGUCUGCCACUUUCUUUUAUUUCAUCCUUUUUAUUUUAUUUUCAUUUCAUAGUUCUAAGUCCUUUUAGUUACCCAGGAAGUAAUAGUAACAAUAAGUCCCAAUUGGUGUUCCUCCUCCGGUGAGUUUCGAAAAAGUCGAAACGGUUCCCAUAAGUUUUGGAGUCAAGAGUAGUGUCUGCAACAUAUAAGAAGAUCAAACCGUUUGAUUUGGCUCAAAUUUUAGUAUGAUAUGGAUAGCAGGAUACCGAACAACUUUUGUGAAGAAACAAUGAUCUGAGUACAGAAAAAGGAGUUUCGGUAGUCAUAAGAUGGUUGUCCAGUUUUCUGUGGAAUUGGAAACUGGGUUGGUGUUUCAGGCAUCUGCGACAAUCGCGCCGUUGAAUUUUCUGAAAAUUUGAUAUGUUAUAUUUACUGGGCGGAUGAACAACUUUCAAGAAGGAAAUAUCUCAAUCCAAGGUCAGCAAGUUGGAGUUCAAAUGUUGUUUACAUGGCUGUCAGAUUUUCUGCCAAUAAUAAUAAUAGUUACAUAUACAUAUGCACAUACUUACUAAGAAAUAUGAAUAUAUACUAGCGAUUAUGCAUAUAGCUUUUGACGAUGAUUAGUAGUUGAUGAACCAAACCGUUAAAUACAAUUAUAUAUAAUUUAUGGAAGAAACUUGGCAACGGCAUAAUCAAAUCAAAAGGGCACUUAACAAAAGUGAAGAACCUUACCUCCAAUCCCUGAAUUGAGUUAAUCAGACACCAAUUAAACUCUAACAACCGUAAUUAAGCCGAAGAACAUCUCAUUACACAAAAUUAAAACCUAACUUGAUUAAAUCCUCCAAUUGGGAUUUCUAUUUGGAAGGAAGUUGUAUAAUAAAUAUCUGACAGCAUCAAGAUUCGUGGUACUGCGGAAGAAGAGUGAGAUUUGGGUUGAGAGAAUGAAUAGAACAUGGGUUGUCUAUUGAGAAGAGGCCCACCUACUCGUCAAAAAUAUUUGCAUCUCUUUCCUCCCAAUCCCAUCGCAGCUUCUCAUCUCUCUCUCUCUCCCUCCGUUUUUCUUUUUUGUUCCCCCGGAAGAAGGUCGGUUCCCCCUUCCUUCUUUUCUUUUUCCCCCAAUGGCUUUUUGUUUUCUCUCCCCCCUCCCGAGCAGAGAGAGAAGAUGGAACAAAAAAGGGGCAAUGAAGCCAAAUAACCAAUAGAUUUAUCUAGAAAAGAAGGGAUUUUACAAAAAAAUGCCCUUGACUUUAAACUCCCAUAAAAACACCCUUGACUUUAAACUCCCAUAAAAAACUCAUUCUGAAACCAAAUCUCGUUUUGCUUGCGUACACGGGUUCCUAGCGAUGAAUACUAUAAUAUUAUACUUAGUAUGACUUUGUAAGGUCUACAAAUUUUUAAUGAUUAUUGACCAAAAUUCAAACUUCGUAAUUAGUUUAAUUAAAAUCUAAAGUUAAUAUAAAUUCUCAAAAAUAAUAUAAAAUCUCCUUAAUACCAAUACGUAGUUUGCAAUAGUGAAAUCCAGGAACGGGAUUAACCAAAUGUAUAUUUACUUUAACAAAAUUAGUCAUACAAAGAUAUGAAGAUGAAACGAAAAGAUUUUCUUAUCUGUGAGAUUCCAACAGACAGAGGUGAGAGGUAGGUAGUGCUUCAUCGGAUUUAUGGUGUGUGCUUUCCACUGACACAAGAGCUUCUCGUGCUGAUAACGUGUUGUAAAGUCGACAGGUAUGUGUGCAGUGGAAUAUAAAGUAAAUAAGACACAAUAUUUACGAGGUUCAGCAAGGGUGCCUACGUCCUCGAGGCAGCAGUAGUAUUUUCUUUCAUUAUCUGAAAUAAUAGGAGUACAAAAUAACUCUCAUUAUUUUCUCUUUUCUCUCUAGUCUGGCUCACUGGUAAUUUCCUCCGCAUCUCUCUUCUUUCCUUUUCUUUUCCUUUUCUCAAUUACUCCUUUUUUUCCUCUAAAUGUUUUUCUCUCAUCUCACUUCUUCCUUCCUCCAUAUGCUCUCAUUUUAUAAGCAAAAGAUUACUCUAGCAACAUUAUUCACUUUACCAACUUUCCUCAAAUUAAUAGUGAAAUACUUUGCAUGAAUAGUAAUCCAUCCGUUUUUCUUCAUAUGAAUAAUAGUCCAUCUGAUUUUUCUUUGGAUGAAUAGUAAUAAAGUAUUCAUUUGGGCCAUCUACAUAUUAUAUUACAACAUUGAAUAAUUAGUAUAUGUUUUAUUCCCAACUGCAUAGUUGUUGUUUUAUUGAUAGAAUCAUAAUAUGGAAAGCAAAUUAAGGUACAACCCAAAUUACAUUUUUACAGUCCUAACGGAUAGUAGCUCCUUAUUUUUUUUAGGUAACUUGGGCUCUGGAGAUUAUACUUUCAAAGGAAACAUCACAAUAAGUCGAUAUUUUAGGCUUAUAAGGCCAUGGGUUCUACUAGUGUAGAAACUAUAAGAUCUUUUAUCAUACCAUUAGCAUUAGUGUAUCCAUCUUCAUGCUUGUACAUAGCAUCCAUGGUCCGAGCAAAAUUGAGAAUACGAAUUAGCAGGGGCAUGGGGACAGCGGUAGGGUGGAGGCACGCUUCGUUUAUGUCCUUCCAUGCAUUAUUCACUUGUCUUUGAAGUUCGGUUAUCGCUUCUUCUUCUGUGGCCCCAUAUUUCUUCAUGUAACAGUUCACAGCUGAGAUAAAAUUUUCUUUCUCUUGCUCUAACUAGUGCAUGAGGAGUAAGAUAAAAAGGACCAUUAAUUAGUAUAAGUAUUAAUGCAAUCAUAAUAGUUGUGCUUGUCAAGAUUUCAGUUAGGGGGCUAUCAGUCCACUACUAAUGGGUCAAGCAGUGAUAACAUUCUAACUUAACCACUUGUAGCCCAACAGGUAUAGAGUUUUGUCACAAAAGCGUUUGGUGCAAUUAGAAGUGGAACUACUUAUAUGAGUUAUAUUUUAUUGUUUUUUGUGUGAGACUUUUUACAUUCGACAAUAUUCAUUAAUACUAUUUACAUAAACGAUUAAGUACCUUGUGUUCCGCUAUGUCAUCCAUGAGUCUGGUAACUCAUUAAUACUAUUUACAUAAACGAUUAAGUACCUUGUGUUCCACUAUGUCAUCCAUGAGUCUGCAAACUGUUGUUGCAGCCUUCACUGCUGGAGGGGAAGUUAACAACCAAUCAAAUGAGUCUAUUGUAGCUUCUUCCAUUCCAACAAAGGAUGUGGUUAUUAGCAACUGGUAGCCACAGGUCACGAGUGAAACAGAUAUGUAUUCAUCCAGCGAUGGCAUGUGCUUCUGGCGGAACAAUUUGGCUUCAUCGAAGUAGCCUCUAACUUGUUUUUUCAUCUGACACAUACUAGAUAAUGAGAUUACAAUAAUUCUUUAUCAUUUCUACUGUUAAUUCUUGAUAUACAAAGAUUAUAUUAAAACAAUUAAUUGUUUCUAUGCAUAUUCUAAAGUAUUUGCAGCACGUUUCUCUGGCCUUGUAACAACUUUAGACUCUAAACUAAGCAUAUAUUGAGGAAUAGUACCGCUUCUCUUGCAUGGUGGAUGCGAUAUAAUUUCCCAUCGUGUGCAAGCUUUUCAUGAAUUUCACUGUAUACAUCCAACAACGACCGAUAGCAGACUUUCAUAUUCUCUGGAAGUUGAUCCAUGGCUGAGACGUCCCACCUGAUCGAGUAAUACAUAAAUCAGUUGUGUGUAAUUAGGUUAGUUUUUCCUUUUUGAUCGGACGGUGAUGUAAGGUUAGAUACUUUAUAUAUAAGAGAAUUUUAACUAAUGAUAUAUUCAUACCUCUCAAUAUAUAGCUUCAGUAAAGAGCUCUAGUUGUUCAUUUGUACCAUAUUCAUAAAUGUCAUCGAGAAGGGAUACUAUAGCAGCAACUUUGCAUGAUGUCCUCCUAGCAAAGGAAUAUUGAGGCUGAAAGUAGACUGACAAACCCCAGCAGAAGUAGAUCUCAAUCAAUCUGUCUCUUGCAGAAGGUAGCUUGUUUGGCACGUCCAAGUCCUUCCACCAC